RNAcentral lists this long non-coding RNA (127650 nucleotides) under Citrus sinensis (sweet orange). RNAcentral describes it as "long non-coding RNA (CSIN_LNC003383)". Lineage: Eukaryota; Viridiplantae; Streptophyta; Magnoliopsida; Sapindales; Rutaceae. The record is from RNAcentral.
CCCUUACAGGAGAGAGCUUAAGCUUGACACCAAAGUCCCUAAUUUUCUGGGACGGCUCAAUGAAAGUUCUCCCAACAUAGUGUGACCUUAUCAACCCUUGUUGAAAUGGUACCCCGGCUUUCGCAGCGUACCCAAGUGCAGCCACCACUCCAGAAUCUGGUACUGCAAUCACGACAUCAGACUCAACAGGAGCCUCGGUAGCAAGUACUUCCCCAAAAUGAUUCCUCGACUCAUAAACAGACCUUCCAAAAACAACAGAAUUAGGCAAAGCAAAAUAAAUAUGCUCAAAGAUGCACUGCUUAGGUUCAGGGUGAGGCAUCAAACAAGGUGAUUGAACCCCAUCUUCAUCCACCAUCAAAACUUCACCGGGAUAUACCUCUCUCUCGUAUGUGGCCUCAAUCAAAUAGUGCACAAGUCUCUGACGCAAAAACCACAGCACCAUUACUCCUCCUACCCAUCACCAACGGCCUAAACCCAUACGGGUCACGAACCGCAACAAGCUUAUCCUCAGUAACAAACACCAUUGAAUAAGCACCCUCAAGCUUCUCACAAACAUCCACAAUCCUCAAAAAGAACGGCCUAGCUUUUGAUAUCGGAAUCAAAUGGAGAACAACCACAGUAUCAGAACUAGUAUUACAAAAUGGAUCCAUUAUCUUCAAGCUUAGCCCUCAAAGUAUUAUAAUUAACUAAAUUCCCAUUAUGUGCAACACCAACAGAACCAAACCUGUACCCAGCAACAAAAGGCUGCACAUUCUUAAGCAUAGAACUACCCGCAGUCGAAUAUCUAACAUGACCAAUGGCCAUAUCACCCGGCAAUUGAUCAAGUUUAGACUGAUUAAAUACAUCAGAGACUAAACCAACACCAGUAAUAGACUGAAGAACUUUAUUAUUCACAGCAACUAUACCUGCACCUUCUUGGCCGCGAUGCUGCAUCGCGUGUAGCGCCAAAUAGCACAAACGCGAGGCCUCUGGGUCACCAUAGAUGCCCACAACACCACACUCCUCACGGGGCUUAUCGUCGUCAUCAUCAUCAAAACUGCCAAAACCGUCAUCUGGGUAUUCUUUAUUUGUGGUGAAAAACUCAGAGAUGGGGUUUUUUGAUAGAACAGUGAAGUUAUUUUUGUGGAUUAAAGAUUGUUGUUUCUGAGGAAAAAAAGGGUUUUUUUGCAGGGUUUUGGAGAAAAGAGAAAGAUAGGUUUUUGGCGACGGCUUAGGGUUAGCAGAGGGAGACGAGUUUGAGAGAGGGCAGAUGUUGGCGGUGCCUGUGGUUGUGGCUGCCAUUAAUGGCUGAAUUUAUUCUAUUUUAUUUUAUUUUAUUUUUUGGGUUGCCUUGCUCAAAGAAAAAACAGAGGAGGUGUGUGGAGGGAGACAGUGGCGAAGGGUACUUUAAGUAGAGGGGAACUUGUUCUAGGUUUUUUUCUGGAAUUGUGAGGGAAUCUGAUCCUGUGUUUGUGCAUAUGAUUCAAUUACUUAUAGGUGAUACUGUUGUGUCACCACAAAUUCUAAUUGGGAAGCUUCAGCUGUCAAUUUUUUUCCAAGGGUUAAUUAGGUAGAACUUUCAUGUCGAUUUUAUUUGGAGAUUCUAAAAGUAGUUUCCAAAUAAAGAGAUGGACCAAAAUCAACAAUGUGACAAGGAUACUUUAGAUUUUUUUUCCUUGUGGGACAUGAAAAUUGAUGCAUGUUCCAAUGCAUUGCUCCUAUCAGAAUUGGAAUUAAACUUAGUUUGUGUUCUCCUAUUCCGAAAGCAAAACUUAUACUUACUGUAUAAGUGAUAUUCUAAUAAGUAGAAAUUAAGAACCAUAACAAACUUGAUGAUUCUAAUUUGCUAGAAAUAUUGCAAUCCAAAACUAAGAAAGUUCAAACCAAUUAUUAGAAGAAAAAAGUAGGACGGAAGCUCCCAUAAUAUUGUUAUGUGUUGUAUGUUUUCAGUUUGUAUUUCCCAAUCAAUAAGGAAAAGUAAGUACACAUGUUACAAAAAUUUAAUAAAAAAGAUUGGAGGUGACAAAACCGUCAAUCUUCUAAUUAACUUUUUCUCCUUUCGAAUUUCCUAAGUUUGGUAGAGACUACUUAAGUGGUGUAUCUAUUAUAAACACCUGAAGUGAAAGUUAAUGUUUUAAUUGUUAAGAAAAGUUAGAAGAAGAAAUUUUUGUAUAAGAGAAUUGGGUUUAAAUUUAGAAUUCCUGGGGAGGAAAUGAGUCUAAAUUCUAAUAAUAUAAUUCAACACUAUUUAUAUAUAUAUCAUUAGUUGGGUGAAAAAUUAAUUUCCAUCCUUUGAUGUGAAAAACUCUCUUGAUCGUCUAUUUUCAUAUGAUGGUAAUUUUUUGUUUAAAGUGAAGUUAUUAGCACCCUUUCAUUAUUCUUAUAAAAUCCUACUUCAAAUAAAAUUACAGUUAAAGACAAUAAAAUUAAAUAAUAUAGUUUUUUCUUUAAAACAAAUUACUCAUUUAAUUUUCUACAGGUUGCUUUGUAUCUAAUUAAAAUAAAUUGUACAAAUUUAAAAUAAUCUAUUAUUUUUUUCAAAUUUCUUAUUGAUUAAAUAUUUGUGUGCUUAAGAUAGCUUUAAAAUUAUAAGAUAAUAUAUAUAUAAUUUAAGCCAAUGAUUAACAUUAAAAAAUUUAUCUCUCAUAAAAGUUUUUAAUUUGUGCGUAGGGUAAUAAUAAAAUUGCAAAAGAAAUGAAAAAUAGCGUAGCACCAUUUUGCGUUUAAACAAUGAAAAUUUUAAAUGAAAAAUUAGAAGUGUAUUUAAAAAAAGGAUAUUUUUGAAAAUAAAAUAAAUAUAAUUAAAAAAAAAAGAGCUUCAUGAGGGUGCAAUAGUUCAACUCUUUUGUUUAUAAGUUUUAAGAUGUUGGUAUCCGUAGCUUAGCUUUUCCCUAAUUAUUGUAUUAAAAUGUAACAACAAUGAUGAUCAACCCUAAUUUCAUGGAGGUCAAAGAUUUUGGUCAUGCCGCAUUAAUUAGUUCGGUCAUACUUUCUAUAAAUUUAUUUACAUUUAAUAAUUUGACCAAGUCUAGGUAAGGUGCCGCCUGUAGUCAUAUAAUUUUUUAUGUCAAAAGCGCGUUUCACUUCAAUUAAGCCAUAAAUCUCGUUUAAUAUGCUCAUUUGUAUUUUUUUUAAAUUUUUUAUUAAUUUUUUUUGUUUUUAAAAAUAUCAUUUAUUUAUUUUUUUUAAAAGUUUUUUAAAGGUAAAGAAGUGGGUAAAGUUCAAAUUCAAUUUUUAUCUCUUACGUCAUGGCUCCUAAGAUUUGAACUUUGGUGACCAAAUGUAUAAUAAUAGGUAUCUCAAAUUUCAUUUCAAAUGAUAUGCAAUAUAUUAAGUGAUUGUUAAUCUUUACAAGACCUGAGUGAAUUAAUUGUAUUAUCUCACUAACUAAUUGAUGAGUAUCAUAUUAUUUGGAAUAACUUUUGAAUAAAAAAAUUGUGCCCGAUGAAAUAUUCUUUUGAAAAUUUAUUGACUUAACUCAUUUAUGACUUAUUGUUGCAUUUAAGUGAUAUUGCAAAUAAUUUUUCCGAUAAUAUUAUUGUUUUGACGAGUAUGUUUGGAGUAAAUAAUACAUAUGGCAAGUGUGAGGUUUGUUAUUACAUAUAUUUUGUGGAUCCAUUUUAAAGCCAAAAAGAGGCAUUUCAAUUCAUUAUGAUUCCGGAUAAUUUCAAGCCAUAUGUCACUAUUGAGAUAAAAAUAAAGUAAAAUGGUUAAAACUAUUUUUAUGUAAUUUAUAAAAAUUAAUGAAGCAACUGCAAAAUUUUUUAAACGAAAAACAAUUGAAAUGUGUGUGGAAAAAGAAGAAAAAAAUAAGGCAUUUAAAUAUCUUCUUAAAAAAUACGAUUGAGUAAAAUCAUUUUAACAGAAUGCUCUUCCAAAUGCAAUUCCACAUUAUUUUUAUUACAUUGGGAUAUUCCAAAAUUGGUACAACUCAUUAAGAAUUCGGCAACUCAAAUUUUAUUUAUCACUCUAUGCAUUUGACAAAUUAAAAAGAAAAAAAAAUCAUAUAUCUUCUGUUCAAAAGAAACCUUGGUAAAUAUUGUAAAACAAAUUACCAUUUUUUUUUUAAUUUAUGCCAUUAUAUCGUCGCUAUUUUCUCACCCACUUUCUUAAAAUAGAAUCAAUAUUCAUUGAUGGGUUGGGUUCCAGAGUAAGCACCAAUUCUGCAAAAUGGUUUUAUAGCAGAAAAAGCACUUGUAAGACAUUCAGAACACAUUUUUCAAUUUUGUCUUUUGAAAAUGAGUCUUGAGUUCCACAAGCCAAGAAGAAUGGCUAAAAAAUGUAUGGUAUCAAAGAAAGAGAAACACCCACACACAGAGAUUAAUGGGGAGAUAUAUGAGUGUGUAAUUUGCAUAUAUAUCCCCAUUAAUUGUUGAUAGUCCAAUGGGUAUAUGCAAAAGGAAAAAAUUGGCUGUCCUUAAAGACAAAAUUGACUGUCACAUGAAAAUAAAAAAAUUUGUUACCACGCAACGAAAUAAAGAUUCCAAGAACAACUUUAUGGUCCCCUUUCUAUCCAAACAUAUGCGAUAGAAAUUAGUGUAAACGACACUUGAAAUAUAUAUAGUAGAUCCUCACACAAUUGAUUAAAUAUUUAUAGUAGGAUGGAGUGAUAAAUAGUUUCACAAAAUUAUUGGAAUUAACUAUUUAAUACAUGAGAUCUAUCUCAUUAAGGAUAAAAGAUUUGAGUGCUACUUCAAAAGCAUGACGUUGCCGGCAACAAAUUUAACACAAAAGUUUAAUUAAUUAUCCUAGUUGAGAGGAUAAAAUCUUGGAUUAAGAACAAAAGGUUUGAGGUUCGAACCUUCUCAUUCAAGAAAAUCAAGUCAAAAUAUUACAUCUUCUAGCACAUAUCAAACAUUUUUUCAAAGGCAGACUGACAAUUCAGGGUAAAAAAAACAAAAAAACAAAAGGAAUAUAUGCUAUUCAAGACAGGUAUACCUUGGACAUGAAGUCUGAGUCCAGAACAAGAAGCAAUUAGCUGAUCUUUCAAUUUCCAAAACCCAACAAAAUCUUUGUCAAAAUAUACAAUCUAGUCCCAUAUUAAGCACAUUCAUAGCCGUAUCACCAGGUUCAAAAUAUUUUCCCCAAAAAGAGAUAGAGAUUCCAUUGAAGUUGAGUUGUGACUGUCCCAACGUUUUGUAAUUAUAUGGUUCAGGAUACCAAUAUGCCGGAGCUACAAAGGUUGACUUCCACUAUGCUAUCAAUGUCUAUACUUUCUAUUGAAUUUCCUUGUUUUUUUUAAAUUGCGAGAUUUAUUUUUGGAAAUCUUUGACACAUUUUAUGUAAGAUACCAUAAAGCCAAAUACAACCUUUUUUUAUUUUCAGCAGCAACUUUUUUUUUUUCCUUUUAAAAAAAGGAAGCCAUAUAAAUAAUGCUUUAAACAUUAUUUGCAACAAGGAACAAUUAUUUCAUGCUUUCAUGUAUUAGAAACUUUCCAAAAAUGCUAGCAAGAAAAUGAAAUGGAACUUUACCUAGUCACAGAAUAUGUACUGCUGUUAGCCCAAUUGUUAUGAAGUGGCUUCUGCAUCAGAAGAUUCCAGCUCCCACCAAGCAUUGUUAUCUCUCUUCUGAAUACAAUCUGCAUCGCUGGGCAUGAGUUAUAUCAUUAAUGUUUGCAUCCUCACUUACACCAUCCCAAUCAAGUGCUUUUUCUCCAUAUCUGGAUUAUAAGUCCACUCCAAUCUCUUCAAAACAUCCUAGUCCUUCCAUCACAACUGAUACGACUUCCUUCCUAAUUACUUUCCCAUUAAUAAAUCGCUCCAAGAAAAAAAAGCAUUAGCAAUUCUCUUCAACGCCCCAUCACUCAUAUCCCCUACAACAACCAUCUUUAGACACCUCAACGUUGCCUCUUGAAAGACCUCCACAAAAUUCGAAUCAUCUGACACAACCAUCAAACACCCAAACCUUCUUUAGUCCACCAGAUCCACCAUAUAAUUCCUUAACUAAACAUCGACAUCUUGUGGCUUAUCUAACACAUUCCUGACACAAAACCAUGCUCUUUUCAACUCAUCUGCAAAACCAUAACCCACUUUUGGAGUCAAAAUUGCGCUUACAGCCAUUUUAUAUUUCUCCAUCUUUAUUGAUAGUUGCCAACCAAAAGCACUCUCACCUUCCCUCUAGCUGAUUCUAUUUGAUUCGAUCUUUUCUUUUGUUCACCCUCAUGAAUUUGCCUAAAAUGAUUAACAAGUUUGUCAUUAUUAUAAAAUCUCCUUCCAUAAUCACCAAUACAUACGGCUUAGCAGACCUAAUUACACCCUUGAUUUCUAAUUGGUAAACAAUUCUCUUUCUUUCUCAAAUGAAGAUAUUAAUUUUUUUAGUUCAACUGAUGCUUCAAAAUGGGGUACUGAACUUGGAUUUUGUUAUCCAAAUACCAAAAAUUUCUCACAUUGUGUUGGACAGUUUUUGGUUCUAAAGUUGAUGACUGGUUUUGCGAAUCAGGCUUCAAAUGAGAACUUCUAAACAAUAAGACAAAUGGGUUUUUAGUUUAUAAUCUUGUAAACUUUGUUCAAUUGUAUAAGUUAUGAAAUCGCUGAAACAUCACUACAGCUACAGGUCUUUAUGUGUCAAUGAACUGCAGAAGCUAAUGAUCUACUUGUAGUAGACUUCUAUUGCCCCUACCGUUCUAGGAAGACAAACAAGUUCAGGAACUACUUCUGGACCAAACUCAUAAUAUUGCCACUGCUUUGUGCCAAUCUGAGAGGGAAAGAAGAUUGAAGUUCCUAAAUAAGGCACAUCAUGAUUUGAUAGAAGUACCACUAUAAGGAAAAAUUGAUUUCAGAAAAGCACUAAAUUAUGACAUAAUCUCCCCCUAAUGGUCUAAAGUAGUCAAGAAAUGAUAUUAACCAAGUAAAAACCCAUAAACUAGUUGAGAUACAAAGUUAUCAUAAAAGUCAAUUUUGAUCACAAAUCCAUUAAAAUUAAAAGUCAUCAGAAACUUAGAGAAAAUUAUAAUUUAGGACUCAGCUAAAUUGCAGAUUCUGUAACUGACAGCUAAGUCCACAUUGGCCUUGCAUCAGCUGAGUUUGGGUUGCUUUUCCUCUCUCCUGCAAUGCGUGGAAGCGCCCCAUUUGCUGUGUUAUACAGAGUCGGUACCGUAGCAAGGCUCCUAUAAUUUAAGUUUGAUCACUGUAGACAAUAGUCUGCCUCUGCUCAAAAGCUAUGCUGCAAGAUAUAACAUCUUUGCAAUGUUAUACUUUCUAAAAGUAAUAAGAAAUGGAACCAAGGAGUAAAUCGAACACCAAAAGAAAUUUAGUCGGCCAACCACAUUAUGUCCCACACAGUUCACUAAUUAAGUUAAUUAUUAAAGGGAAUCAAAAUCUAAGAAAUCUCAUCUUCAAGCAGAAUACAAACACGCCGCGAUUGAAAAUCACAAAAUCAUAAAAAGAAGCUGACUUGAAAAACUCAAAUAUACAUUCAUCAGCCUCUCAACUUAUAUCUAAGAACAAAUGCCUGCAGCCUGUGAAGACAUAGAUAAUUGAAGCUGAUGAGGCUUAUUUAACAGAUGAUAAUCAAAACUCGUGUGAUUAAAAUUAUAAUUCAAUACUGUGAAGACAUAGAUAAUUGAAGCUGAUAUCUAAGAACAAAUGCCUGCAGCCUGUGAAGACAUAGAUAAUUGAAGCUGAUGAGGCUUAUUUAACAGAUGAUAAUCAAAACUCGUGUGAUUAAAAUUAUAAUUCAAUAAUGGAGCACAUAAAACAACAAGUAACUAGUUGUAUAUAACUAUAUAUACCAAACAACUUUCUGGAGUUAAGGCGUAAAACAACAACAUAGAACAAAUUAAUUAAAUAUACCAGCACCAAUACUCUUAUUAUUAUCCACAUAGAAAAGAACAAUGUAUCAAACAAGGAAAAUGAAAUAUUGUUAAUAACUCAAAAACCACUAGUGUCAAGAACUAGACUAAUAAGUGAAACCCAUAAUCAGACACAACCUCAUCAAAAUCUCUAAAAAUUGAGGUCUAAACAUUGAAAACAAUUAGACAUAUAUAACAGUCAAUCGAAACAAAGCCUCAAAAUAAUAAUGAACUACAAUAAGACAGAAACUAAAUUGUACACAAGCGCAAUAGCGCAUACCCAGUAACAAUAAUUAAGUAACAAAUCAAAACCAGAAUCAAAUGUAGAAUUUUGAAAUCCAUACGAACUCUAACGUAUUAGAAUGAAAGAAUAAGGACGAUCGAUAAACUAGACUCAAACAAAAACAUGCCCAGUUAAAAAACGAAGGUAAAUAAAUAAAAAUGGUAUAAAACUGCGAAAAAAAUUAAUGAAAUGAAGAGAAAAUCACAGGAAUCCUAUGAAGAGGAAGGUAAAUGAAACCUUCCGGAGCCGAGAAGAUGCCUUUUUUGUUGACGUUUGUGCCUAUACAUUUAUUUUUUUUUAAUUUUGAAGAAAGUAUUGGUUAACAGAACGAAAUAUUAAUAAUAGAUGCUGGCAAAUUUUGAGCCAGCUUGGCUAAAUUUUGAGCACCACAUUACAAGAUCUAGGUGUAUAUUUAACUAUGCAAAAUGAAACAUCUAUUAAAUGUAAGUCCCUUGACCUCGGGAACCAGACAACUAGUUGGAAUAAUAUUAUUUACUAAUAAUAUUUACUAAAUCAUGUUCUACAGUUAAUGAAGUUGGACCCAAUGCAAUUGUUAGGUUAAUGUCACAUGCCACUCAAAUUUCCCGUAAUUGGAGGAUAAUUAUGUUUACAUGAGUUCGCUUAGUAAAAAUCCUCCUAGGCAUGGAGUACACUUAAAAGCGGGAUGAACUUAGAAGUGGGAUGCGCUUAACAAAUCACUCAAGCCCGGCCCAAAAUCUAGAACUCUCUGUAAAUUAAAAAUAAAGUAAAAGUUUCUAUGUUUCUCCACAUAGUUCCCUAGGAUAUUUAUGGAAGUUGUUAGGAAGUUUCCUCCCCAAGAACUCUAAUACUUAUAAAUAGGGGUAGGCCUCCUCAUUUGCUCGCCCACCAACCACAUCACACACACCAGCUCUCUCGAUUUUGUAAAAAGCUCUCUUGUAUAUUCUCUCUUUGAGAGUAAUAAAAUCAUAUUCAGCCAUAUUGCUCUACUUCUCUCUAGCAUUUUCCGCAAGUGUUCUUGCUUCGCUAUUUUGAGGAGUGUUCUAGGCUUGCUUAGCAACUUGUUUGCUACAAAGACAUCUUGGUCACAAAACAUGGACAUGCAAGGAAAAAAAAUUAUUGAUACGUUCUAAAAAUAAUACGCAUUCUUCUAUAGUGAACAAAAAAAUUUAGGCUAAUGGUAGCAAGUGAAGGAAUUGUGAUUUCACGUGCAUUUUGUUGACAUGAACGUAAAGAACUUUUUUAUAGUUUAUAUUGUUUAAUAUAACAUUUGAAUUGCAAAAUAGGGGUACAAAAUGGAUACACGAAGUGAUAAAACUAAGUUGAUUAUGAUAAAUAUUGAAUUAUAAGAUUUACGUUUAAUCAUAAAAACAUAAGUGGCACACAAAGUCACGAAUUAUCAUCCAUGAUGCAAGUUCAAACAACUACAUAAUAGGUUGCCCCAAGCUAAACUAUUAAUCUAGUAACUAUUCCAGGGAUAAUUUUCCUAUCACCAUCUAUCACGUGCAAGCCGAAUUUGUUGCUUGGUCCUUACAUGUGGUAAGGUAAUAUGAAUCCACUUGUGCAUAAAUUUGGCUCCUAUAUUAUAUAGAAGCCUAUGACCCAAAAUUAUACUUAAAGGUUAUUUUAAAAUUUGAGGGUUGCCUCAAGCUAAUAUUAUUAUUAGCGUGGUAACCUUUUUUUUUUGUUGAUAUGUGAUAUUUUCCCUAUAACUUUUAUUAAUCUUUAUGCUUAUGUUUUGUCAUUUAUCCCAAAAUAUAACAUUAACAAAAGUUCCAAAAUUUCCUUCAAGAGAUAUAUUUGAGACAAGUAAUUUGUGCAAUAACUUUGUGAAUUGAUGAGCAAAUUCAGAGAAAAGAAUAUAUGUGCCAAACGUAACGUUUAUUAUUGUGUUUAUUUGUAGAGCUAUUUAAAGCCCAAAAAAAAAAAAAAGAGCACGGGUCCGCUAUUAUUUCAAAUAAGUUCAAGCCCUAUGUCAUUAUUGGUACAAAAAUGUAUNNNNNNNNNNNNNNNNNNNNNNNAAUCUAAGUUUAUGACCUCCAAGAUGUUAAUUGCAGUUUGUAAUUAAUGAGUUUAUAAGGAUAAUUUAGACACUCAAUAUGCAAAAUAAAAAAUAAAAUAAUGGCUUAAAACAUUAAAACAAAAAACUACUUUUUAUAAUUGAUAUUCAAUUAAAUACACAUAAACUCUAUUUUUUCUUAAUUAAAAAUAUUCUAAUUUAUUUUCUCAAUUUAUCAUCAUAAAUUUACAUUAAUAAACUAAAUCCACAAAUUACCCUAAACCCUAAUUCAUAAAUGCCCAAUCAAUCAAAUAGUUUAAUUCGAUUUCAUAAUUAAAAAAGCUAAAUUUAUUAUAUUAAAUUUAAAUUUAUUCAUAAAUGCCCAAAGUAAAAAAUGCCCUUAAAUUCAAGGGUAAAAUAACAUUUUAUUUAAAUUCUAUAAAUUAUUCUAACAAUGUUAACAUUUUGGUGGAUGGUUAAUAUAAGUUACAAACUUAAAAUAGAAAAUCAAAUAAAUUCAAAUUUUCAAACUAUUUAGGGCAAAUUUAGGAUAUAUGGUUAAUAAUUUUCCCAUGUCUUUUUACAUUGGUUGAUAUAAAUUACAAACUUAAAAUAGAAAAACUUAGGGUAUAUGAUUAAUAAUUUUCUUUUAUCUUUUUACGUUAAAUUAAGUUUCAAAGGUAAAAUGGUCAAUUUAUUAUAAUUCUAUUAAUUUUUUAGUGGAAGCAAACGAUAUAAUGGACCAAUGAUAUAAAUUGUAAAAUUAAAUUAAGGUGCAUGAAUGAUACAACUUUAAAGUAUUGUAGUAAUUUUAAUAAUAGAACAAUUUAAGGGUGGAUUGGCAAUAAUUUAAACUUUAAUGAAGCAGCUAAAAACAAUUUUUAACAAAGAAAAAUAAUUGAAUGUUUUGUGAAACCCAAAAAUAUUUGAAAUGCUUUAAGAAAAAUAAAGGAAAUUAAAUAUCUUUAUAAAAACAUAAUUGAGUAAAGUCAUUUUACAAAAUGCUAUUUCAAAUGCACAUUCCACAAGCCAAGAAGAACGGGUGGGUAACAAAAAUCUCACUUUUUAUGAGUUUAUAAAAUCUCACUUUUGCAUAAUCCAAAAAUAACAAAUACUAAUCACACAAAAAAUAAAGAUUAUUGCUGUCACGACAGUACACACUUUCUUCGCCGUCUAGAAAGGUAGAACAUUUUGAAGUUCCUCAAUACAAAAUGCGUGCUACUACUAAAUUGGCACAAUUAAUGCCCAUCGAAAAGGCCAUCAAUUUAGCCAACAAUUUUGUCAAAAUUUCAACAAUUGAAGAAAUCUUGAGAUACAUAAAACAAAGUCUUGAAACUUUAGUCUUCACAAUUUGAGCACGCACUAAAUAUUAACAAUCCAUCUGCAGAGCAAGUAUAGAACAAAGCUUAUUAGCUUCUUGUGUGAACUGAACACGCUGAACAAAGCAUUUUUUUUUUUUUGGAUUUUUGGAAUUUUUUAAAAUCAUUUAUGUUCGCUGUCAUCUUUUUCUUCGCUGGCGUCUUCAUUGGCAUCUUCCUCGUGUGUAGUUUGCUGUGUCUAUAUAUCCAACCAAUAAAUUGGGCAUUAAAUACGAAUGAAUGAUGAAUAAAAUGAUAAAAAAAAAAACAAACAGAGAAAAUUAUAAUAUAACACAUAUAUAUUGAAAGAGAAAUUUUGAUUUUAGGAUAGAUCAAUUAACUAUCACAAACGAAAACAUGAACCAACUAUGUAUAGAGUCAAUUAAUUUAAAGUUCUCAAGAAUUACCUCUGCUCCACAAUUCUCGGAAUCAUCUUCUCCUUCUGAACUUGGACGAAACUUGGGACAAUUACGAACAACUUCAUAUUUAGAAGAUGGAAAUGGGAUCUGAUAACCCGCAGGCCAAAAGUUGCUGAGGUUUGGUAAACCAAACAAUGUCAAGCUCCAAAGUUCAUUCAUAACAAUUUCAUUGUAAUCCGUGACGUCUGCUCCAUCUUUAUGCCAGAAUACUUCUUCUAAUUCAUCAUUAAAUCCUAUGCGUAGGGUCCUCAGUUUUUGAAGACUUGGAGCUACGCUGAUAUGAAAUAGAUGCUUUAGUUUGGGGCACUUAUAGACACCGAUCCUUGUGAGUUUUGGGAAACAUACAGGUUGGAGAUGAUCCUCAUCCUCAUCCUCAUCAAUGAUUUGCUCUAAUUCCAAGCAAUUCAAAAUAGAUAACCCCUCCAAUUGCAACAGAUUUCGAGCAAGUGUUGAUGAGAGGAGACGUCUCAGCCACUCUUAAAUAGGUAAGAUUUUGCAGGCUGAAAUUCUGCGUGGGACCUAUGUGAUAUAAUACUUGCAGUUCUCGAAGGUUUUCCAAACACAACGUCUCCAAACAUGCGAAUAGUUUGUUUUCAAAGCCAUGCUUCAACAGUGCUGGAAUCGUGUCACGCAAAUGGGAACAAUUGGCCACAUCUAGAGUUUUUAAGUUCUGAGACAAAUAAAUAAAUAACUUGAUGCAAUUAAAAUCUAUUAGCAGCUAGGAUUAUCACAUGAUAAGUGAUGAACACUGCAAAAAACAAAAACAGAAAACAAAAUCCAUACAAAAAUAUCAUAAUAUAUAUGUAAACUAAUAAAAUAAUUGAAAAGUAAUGGAUUUAAAAAAAAAUGAAAUUAGUUAAAAGAGAUCAUGUGAAGUGAUAUAAAUGUGACAUUAGAUUGUUUUAGAAAAAUUAUUAUUCUAUUAAUUUAUAUGGCUUGAUCAACUAUUUAAUUGAAUUUGAAUAAUAUUAUAUACACUUCAGAAGUAUUUGCAUCAAUUCUUUCUAAACCAAAAUGANNNNNNNNNNNNNNNNNNNNNNNNNNNNNNNNNNNNNNNNNNNNNNNNNNNNNNNNNNNNNNNNNNNNNNNNNNNNNNNNNNNNNNNNNNNNNNNNNNNNNNNNNNNNNNNNNNNNNNNNNNNNNNNNNNNNNNNNNNNNNNNNNNNNNNNNNNNNNNNNNNNNNNNNNNNNNNNNNNNNNNNNNNNNNNNNNNNNNNNNNNNNNNNNNNNNNNNNNNNNNNNNNNNNNNNNNNNNNNNNNNNNNNNNNNNNNNNNNNNNNNNNNNNNNNNNNNNNNNNNNNNNNNNNNNNNNNNNNNNNNNNNNNNNNNNNNNNNNNNNNNNNNNNNNNNNNNNNNNNNNNNNNNNNNNNNNNNNNNNNNNNNNNNNNNNNNNNNNNNNNNNNNNNNNNNNNNNNNNNNNNNNNNNNNNNNNNNNNNNNNNNNNNNNNNNNNNNNNNNNNNNNNNNNNNNNNNNNNNNNNNNNNNNNNNNNNNNNNNNNNNNNNNNNNNNNNNNNNNNNNNNNNNNNNNNNNNNNNNNNNNNNNNNNNNNNNNNNNNNNNNNNNNNNNNNNNNNNNNNNNNNNNNNNNNNNNNNNNNNNNNNNNNNNNNNNNNNNNNNNNNNNNNNNNNNNNNNNNNNNNNNNNNNNNNNNNNNNNNNNNNNNNNNNNNNNNNNNNNNNNNNNNNNNNNNNNNNNNNNNNNNNNNNNNNNNNNNNNNNNNNNNNNNNNNNNNNNNNNNNNNNNNNNNNNNNNNNNNNNNNNNNNNNNNNNNNNNNNNNNNNNNNNNNNNNNNNNNNNNNNNNNNNNNNNNNNNNNNNNNNNNNNNNNNNNNNNNNNNNNNNNNNNNNNNNNNNNNNNNNNNNNNNNNNNNNNNNNNNNNNNNNNNNNNNNNNNNNNNNNNNNNNNNNNNNNNNNNNNNNNNNNNNNNNNNNNNNNNNNNNNNNNNNNNNNNNNNNNNNNNNNNNNNNNNNNNNNNNNNNNNNNNNNNNNNNNNNNNNNNNNNNNNNNNNNNNNNNNNNNNNNNNNNNNNNNNNNNNNNNNNNNNNNNNNNNNNNNNNNNNNNNNNNNNNNNNNNNNNNNNNNNNNNNNNNNNNNNNNNNNNNNNNNNNNNNNNNNNNNNNNNNNNNNNNNNNNNNNNNNNNNNNNNNNNNNNNNNNNNNNNNNNNNNNNNNNNNNNNNNNNNNNNNNNNNNNNNNNNNNNNNNNNNNNNNNNNNNNNNNNNNNNNNNNNNNNNNNNNNNNNNNNNNNNNNNNNNNNNNNNNNNNNNNNNNNNNNNNNNNNNNNNNNNNNNNNNNNNNNNNNNNNNNNNNNNNNNNNNNNNNNNNNNNNNNNNNNNNNNNNNNNNNNNNNNNNNNNNNNNNNNNNNNNNNNNNNNNNNNNNNNNNNNNNNNNNNNNNNNNNNNNNNNNNNNNNNNNNNNNNNNNNNNNNNNNNNNNNNNNNNNNNNNNNNNNNNNNNNNNNNNNNNNNNNNNNNNNNNNNNNNNNNNNNNNNNNNNNNNNNNNNNNNNNNNNNNNNNNNNNNNNNNNNNNNNNNNNNNNNNNNNNNNNNNNNNNNNNNNNNNNNNNNNNNNNNNNNNNNNNNNNNNNNNNNNNNNNNNNNNNNNNNNNNNNNNNNNNNNNNNNNNNNNNNNNNNNNNNNNNNNNNNNNNNNNNNNNNNNNNNNNNNNNNNNNNNNNNNNNNNNNNNNNNNNNNNNNNNNNNNNNNNNNNNNNNNNNNNNNNNNNNNNNNNNNNNNNNNNNNNNNNNNNNNNNNNNNNNNNNNNNNNNNNNNNNNNNNNNNNNNNNNNNNNNNNNNNNNNNNNNNNNNNNNNNNNNNNNNNNNNNNNNNNNNNNNNNNNNNNNNNNNNNNNNNNNNNNNNNNNNNNNNNNNNNNNNNNNNNNNNNNNNNNNNNNNNNNNNNNNNNNNNNNNNNNNNNNNNNNNNNNNNNNNNNNNNNNNNNNNNNNNNNNNNNNNNNNNNNNNNNNNNNNNNNNNNNNNNNNNNNNNNNNNNNNNNNNNNNNNNNNNNNNNNNNNNNNNNNNNNNNNNNNNNNNNNNNNNNNNNNNNNNNNNNNNNNNNNNNNNNNNNNNNNNNNNNNNNNNNNNNNNNNNNNNNNNNNNUUUGCAUAAUCCAAAAAUAACAAAUACUAAUCACACAAAAAAUAAAGAUUAUUGCUGUCACGACAGUACACACUUUCUUCGCCGUCUAGAAAGGUAGAACAUUUUGAAGUUCCUCAAUACAAAAUGCGUGCUACUACUAAAUUGGCACAAUUAAUGCCCAUCGAAAAGGCCAUCAAUUUAGCCAACAAUUUUGUCAAAAUUUCAACAAUUGAAGAAAUCUUGAGAUACAUAAAACAAAGUCUUGAAACAAAUAUUAACAAUCCAUCUGCAGAGGAAGUAUGGAACAAAGCUUAUUAUUAGCUUCUUGUGUGAACUGAACACGCUGAACAAAGCAUUUUUUUUUUUUUUGGAUUUUUGGAAUUUUUUAAAAUCAUUUAUGUUCGCUGUCAUCUUUUUCUUCGCUGGCGUCUUCAUUGGCAUCUUCCUCGUGUGUAGUUUGCUGUGUCUAUAUAUCCAACCAAUAAAUUGGGCAUUAAAUACGAAUGAAUGAUGAAUAAAAUGAUAAAAAAAAAAACAAACAGAGAAAAUUAUAAUAUAACACAUAUAUAUAUUGAAAGAGAAAUUUUGAUUUUAGGAUAGAUCAAUUAACUAUCACAAACGAAAACAUGAACCAACUAUGUAUAGAGUCAAUUAAUUUAAAGUUCUCAAGAAUUACCUCUGCUCCACAAUUCUCGGAAUCAUCUUCUCCUUCUGAACUUGGACGAAACUUGGGACAAUUACGAACAACUUCAUAUUUAGAAGAUGGAAAUGGGAUCUGAUAACCCGCAGGCCAAAAGUUGCUGAGGUUUGGUAAACCAAACAAUGUCAAGCUCCAAAGUUCAUUCAUAACAAUUUCAUUGUAAUCCGUGACGUCUGCUCCAUCUUUAUGCCAGAAUACUUCUUCUGCUGUACCGUACAUCCGCCUUGGCCGUACAGCACUCUUAAAUAGGUAAGAUUUUGCAGGCUGAAAUUCUGCGUGGGACCUAUGUGAUAUAAUACUUGCAGUUCUCGAAGGUUUUCCAAACACAACGUCUCCAAACAUGCGAAUAGUUUGUUUUCAAAGCCAUGCUUCAACAGUGCUGGAAUCGUGUCACGCAAAUGGGAACAAUUGGCCACAUCUAGAGUUUUUAAGUUCUGAGACAAAUAAAUAAAUAACUUGAUGCAAUUAAAAUCUAUUAGCAGCUAGGAUUAUCACAUGAUAAGUGAUGAACACUGCAAAAAACAAAAACAGAAAACAAAAUCCAUACAAAAAUAUCAUAAUAUAUAUGUAAACUAAUAAAAUAAUUGAAAAGUAAUGGAUUUAAAAAAAAAUGAAAUUAGUUAAAAGAGAUCAUGUGAAGUGAUAUAAAUGUGACAUUAGAUUGUUUUAGAAAAAUUAUUAUUCUAUUAAUUUAUAUGGCUUGAUCAACUAUUUAAUUGAAUUUGAAUAAUAUUAUAUACACUUCAGAAGUAUUUGCAUCAAUUCUUUCUAAACCAAAAUGAGAUAUGACUUUCAUUUGAAGAAUGGUUUUAGGCUCUAAAAUAAAGGAAUUUCCUUAAGAUAUUUGAGCAUUAUUAUUAUCAUCACCACAUCCACGAUCAUCAUCAUCUCCAUAGGACCAAAUAAUUAAUGGCUGAUAAUAAAAUUUAUUGCUAAACUAUCAUUUCGAGUAAAAUUGAAGGAAAAGAAAAAACAUAAACACAAAUGAACAUACCUCUCCAAGAUACUGCAAAUUGGCUUCAAGUUCAGUAUUGUUGAUGGUCAAUUUGGGACUGCUAUGAAGUUCUAACUCUUCCAAUGCCGGCCAAGUUGAAUAAUAAUUCUCUGAACAGAACUUGGUGAGUUCUGGGAGAUUAUACAGUGUUAAUUUUCUCAACCAAGGGAGGGCGAGCAUCGUAUUUCCAUCUCCGACACUUAUUUCCCCUUCAUUGUAAUCAAACUUUGCUUCGACAAUAUAUUCCAGUCUCUCGCAUCCACUUACAUUGAGACUUUUAAGCUGCUCCAAACUUCUAGCUUGUGACAACGUGAAGAUAUAUGUCAACUUGUUGCACCUAUGCACAUUCAAUUUUGUAAGAGUUUGGAGACUGAUCACAUGUUGGGCGGGCGCCUUCCAUAUCCACUUCAGUUCUGGUAAGUACCACAUCGAUAACUCUGCUAAUCUUGAGAGACUCUUUCCAUGCGGCGACUUAGAGGCUUCCAUUAUGCAUUCUAAAUCUUUGCAAUCGCGGACAUCAAGACAAGUCAACUCAUUUAAGCCCCUUUCAUCAAUGCUUGGCACAAUAUUAUGGCAACCUAUUAACCCCCUCAAACAAAGAAAUUCCAGAUUUUGAUACAAUGCUGAAAAAAUACCGAGCGAGGUCGCUUCAGGAGGGUCAUUCUUAAUGAUUAAGCUCCUUGUUUCAUCAUUCUUAAUGAUUAAGCUCCUUGUUUCAUCAUCAACUCCUUUACCUUUACAGAUGAUGUAUCUUUGCAAUUUCGGGAAUGUAAAGUCUUUUGGAAGACAUACAACAGAUCUGUCGGCUUGGGAGUUCAACUCAGCAAGCCUAGCAUUACUUUCUUCUGAACUCAUCCCUUCAACCUCCCAAUUUUUUAUCCGACCAUAAAAUUCUUCCAAUUGACGAAAUUUUUUUAUCGUAAUGGGAGAAAUGGAGCCAGUAGCAAUAUAAGAAGUUUCAAUCUAUGAUGUUCAUCCGACAAUUCUUCAAGAAUUUUAAUGGGAGACUUCUCGAGAAAAAGAAGUUCAAGCCUCUUCAACUUUCCAAGGAAAGACGCGUCACUCACCUCACAUCGAAUCAACUGCAGAACCUGGAGGUCGGUGAGGAUCUGAAGCGAUUUAAGUGAAAGAACUCCACCUAUUAUAGUGACAACUUUCAAUGCUAGCAUCCCUUCAAAAAAAUGUUCUGGAACUUGCAAUCGGUGGCCGUAUUCAGGAUUCUCCAAUCGCAAAAUAUGAAGGUUAGGGCAUACCAAACCACUAGGAAGCUCUUCUUCUUUUUUAUUUCCCACCAAAGAGAUUCCUCUGUAUUGUUCCAAGCCUUCUUUCAUUACCCGUUCUGCCAAUCCAAUGCCAACUUUACUAAAAAAUUUCUUCUCCUCUAGAACUACUGAGCCUAUCCAUAUGGCUACAUCACGAACUAUGUCAUGCAUUUUCACAGAUCUGUCAUUACCAGUGUCUAACAGCAGUGACGCAGCUUUGAGCGCGUUAAUUGUUCCAUGCAGUCGGCUUCUGGCAUUUUCUAUUGACGGAGCACAUUGAUACCAAAUAACCCCCACUGCGUAUCCAACCAAAUCCUCCAAAUAAAUCUCAUAAUCUUCUGGAAACAGAGAACACAACAAGAAGCAUAACUUGGACUCCUCACUAUUUAAAUUGUCGUAACUGAAUUUGAGACAACCGUAAACGCCUUGGUCAUCCUUGUCAAUACCUUCUAUUGCAUAGAGUUUUGCUUCCCUUAGGUUAGAUAGUGCUAGAUUCCAAUCAUCAAAUCCUUUUUCUCUUAGUGCACUUCCAACAACUUCAAUAGCUAAAGGCAGCCCCUUACAUUCGCCAGCAACUUGUUUUGAAACACCAUCCAAGGAGGAGUCGUUUACAUUAAUACGGGCAUUCAUUUUUAGGAGAGUCAAUCCUUCUUCUGCUGUUAGUGUACCAAGUUCAAUCUGUGGGUAACAACCGAAAAAACCACAAAUUGACUUUUUGCGAGUGGUUAGAAGGAUUUUGCAACAAUUGUCUCUAUCACUAAUGGGAAUACCUAAUUUUUUCUCCAAGUCGAGUUGUUUCCAAACAUCAUCAAGGAUUAUGAGGAUUUUGCUGCCUUUAUUCUCAGAAAACAUCAACCGCAAUCGAUCUGCUCUCUCUUUUUCAUCUGUCUCAUUUAACGCCCAGCCUAACGACUUUACCAGCUCACCUUGAACCUUUAUUAUAUCUGGAUCCUGAGACACAGUGACUAUCCCCACCUUAUCGAAAUCCUUUUGUUGCCGAAGUUGAUUGCCCACAAAUUUUGCCAGGGUUGUCUUUCCUACGCCACCGAGACCAUGCAAUCCCACCAUCUUUAUGCUCGCUUUUUUCAGGGCGUCAAUGAUCUGAUUGCGAGCUGAUUCUGUGGUCUCGAAGGUAGAAGAAAAAUAACUUGGUAAACUUAAUUCUCUCUCUAAUGUUAGAGGUUUAGGACGGGCAACUGUGCUGAAUUUGCUGCGGUCUUGUAGCAGAUCGGACAACUUGCUAGUCUUCUUUGAAGCUUUUCUACCCAGCCAGUAUCGCCAACCCCAAUUAGGACACCAUCCAUUAAGACAACUCUUCUUUUCAUCUAUCUUUGCUUUCAAAUUUCGAACGUCGGCCAUUUCUUUGUCUACAUCCUCGAGCCAUGUCUCGACAUCUUUCUCGACUACUAUAGCACGGUGUAUUUGUCGUUCUUGUUCUACUCUUUCAUUGAUGCCAUCUUGUGCCUCCUUCAAAUUGGUUUCUUUAACCUUAAGUUCUUUAUCUAUGCUGUUGAAACAGAGCAGAUAGCGAGCUUGGUUUAUGGUUGCAUCCGCCAAUAAUUCUCCAAGCUUUGAUGCAACACCUGAUAAAAUUUCCAUGCUAUUUAUCUGCAAUUAACAAGUUGAUCUCAGUAUGCUAUAAGCAAAACAUCAAGGCUUGAUCACAAGAUCGAACGAGAAUAUUUAAUUGCUUUAAAUAAGAGCAAAAUGCAAAACAGAAGAGAAUGAAAUAAGGUAAACGUUAUAUAUGAUGGAUUACAUUGAAAUUGGAUUACUUUAGAAAUUUUUAAAUAAAAAUAUCAAACAACAAAUUUUAUAGAAUCCGGAUAAACCUAAGAGUUUGUUGUGCAUGGCGAGUGAACACAGGCAGUUGCGUGGGGAAUAUGAUAGAAGUGAUGAAAAACUGAAAAGCCACCCAUAAUAACAAUUAAAAACAGUAUUAGAGAUUAGAGGAGUUCAACAUCCCAUGCAAGCCCACUCAUGAAAAAAUAUGAAUGGUUUCAAGAUGAUUACUCUUUUUUUUUUUUACCUUUAAUAAAUAUUCUAAUAAAAUAAUACCAUAAUUUCAAAUAAUAUCUUAAUUUCUUUUUCCUUUAAAUGUUCAUUGAUCUCACAUAUUGGAUAAUUAAUUUAAUCAUUUGUUAAAUUAUUUAUUACUCUAUCUUAUUAUUCGAUAGAUAUAAAUGACACCUUAUUUGGUAUGAUAAAAAAUUGGGGUAAAUUUUCUUUUAUUCUCAGAAGUUUGGACCUAUUACUAGUUAUAGUAUUUGUAUUUUUUAAAAUUUUACCUAAACGGUCCAUGUCAUAUCUUUUAUAGCCAUCGAACAUGACUUUUCAAGUGUAAGAUAAUAUUUUUGUCUGUUAUAAAUUAAAAUUCAAAUGAAUCUAUCAUGCAACAAAUGAAACGUAAAUAAUAUUAAUUAGGUUUUAAUUGGAAACAAAUAUAAAAAAUUGCUUUUUUAUUAAUUUUUGUGAAGUCUUUUAAUGUUCGAAUUAGAAUUGAAUAAUUUGUAUAAGGAUAAUUUAUAGGAAGAUAAUCUGCAGAAUAAGCUUAUAUGUCGAAUUUAAAAGAGUUAUAUUAGUAAUCAUAUAUUUAUUAAAUUUUUUUAAUAAAAAAUUUGUUUAAAAAUUGGCCAAAUGGGUUUCAUGAAUAAAAUAGAAGAGCAUGAACAGCGCCACUUUCAAUUUUUAUUGUGGUUGUACAAUUGAAAAGACGCAUUAAAUGGACCAAUUUGAAAUGGCAAGAGAGCAUAAUGGACUCAUGUUGGGACUUGGAUAGGAAAAUUAAUUUUAUUUUAAAGUAUGGUCAACAGUACUGAUUUGGAGGUGAUUGACGUUAAGUUAAAUUAAUGAAAACAAAUGGCAAAAAAAUUUUAAUGAAAAUUAAUUAAUGAAAAAACGCAUUAAAAAAUUUGAACUUAAGAUCGUGAUCAUUUUGUCCGUAUGUUUUUAAUCCAACGGCUCAGAAUUGGCAUAAAACAAGCUCGUAUAGCCAUUGGAAGUAAAACAAAAAUCAAUUUAAGAGCCUAUGAAACAAUAAGAUCUCAUACCUUCUUCGUUAUAUAUCCUCAAUUACUGCUGAAAGCUCCAGUUAAGAGAGUCGCACAAGUUCGGAAAAAAUUAUAAAAAGCUGCAUAUGGCAAUAUAAAUAAACAUCAGAUCAAAACGACAUCGGAUAUAUCUACCUAAUUAACAUCUCAUAUAAGUCCUUGUUCUCAGUCAAAUAUUUCAUCCUUAGAAAAAAGAAAAAAAAAAGAUUGCAAUAAUAACUGUAUGUUUUUAAUCCAACGUGCAAAAUUGGCAUAAAACAAACAUUAAGUUAAGACUUUAGAGCCUAUGAAACAAUAAUAUCUCAUACCUUCUUCGUUAUAUAUCCUCAAUUACUGCUGAAAGCUCCAGUUAAGAGAGUCGCACAAGUUCGGAAAAAAUUAUAAAAAGCUGCAUAUGGCAAUAUAAAUAAACAUCAGAUCAAAACGACAUCGGAUAUAUCUACCUAAUUAACAUCUCAUAUAAGUCCUUGUUCUCAGUCAAAUAUUUCAUCCUUAGAAAAAAGAAAAAAAAAAGAUUGCAAUAAUAACUGUAUGUUUUUAAUCCAACGUGCAAAAUUGGCAUAAAACAAACAUUAAGUUAAGACUUUAGAGCCUAUGAAACAAUAAUAUCUCAUACCUUCUUCGUUAUAUAUCCUCAAUUACUGCUGAAAGCUCCAGUUAAGAGAGUCGCACAAGUUCGGAAAAAAUUAUAAAAAGCUGCAUAUGGCAAUAUAAAUAAACAUCAGAUCAAAACGACAUCGGAUAUAUCUACCUAAUUAACAUCUCAUAUAAGUCCUUGUUCUCAGUCAAAUAUUUCAUCCUUAGAAAAAAGAAAAAAAAAAGAUUGCAAUAAUAACUGUAUGUUUUUAAUCCAACGUGCAAAAUUGGCAUAAAACAAACAUUAAGUUAAGACUUUAGAGCCUAUGAAACAAUAAUAUCUCAUACCUUCUUCGUUAUAUAUCCUCAAUUACUGCUGAAAGCUCCAGUUAAGAGAGUCGCACAAGUUCGGAAAAAAUUAUAAAAAGCUGCAUAUGGCAAUAUAAAUAAACAUCAGAUCAAAACGACAUCGGAUCUGAAAGCUCCAGUUAAGAGAGUCGCACAAGUUCGGAAAAAAUUAUAAAAAGCUGCAUAUGGCAAUAUAAAUAAACAUCAGAUCAAAACGACAUCGGAUAUAUCUACCUAAUUAACAUCUCAUAUAAGUCCUUGUUCUCAGUCAAAUAUUUCAUCCUUAGAAAAAAGAAAAAAAAAAGAUUGCAAUAAUAACUGUAUGUUUUUAAUCCAACGUGCAAAAUUGGCAUAAAACAAACAUUAAGUUAAGACUUUAGAGCCUAUGAAACAAUAAUAUCUCAUACCUUCUUCGUUAUAUAUCCUCAAUUACUGCUGAAAGCUCCAGUUAAGAGAGUCGCACAAGUUCGGAAAAAAUCAAAUCUUUCAUUCUUAGGAGAUAAAAAAAAAAUUGAAAUAAUAACUGUUCAGUGACAUAGGAUUAGGAAGCAAAAGUAACAUACCAAAAUGAGAGUAGCCAGUUCACAGAUGACAGAUCCGGUGACUUCAAGAGCAUAAAAAAUUAUUGAACUUUGUUAGAAAGGUCUGAGUCGUGUUUCACAAAAUUAUUGAACUUUGUAUUUGGGGUAUUUUUUUGGUUGUUAAGUGAAUGAGCUUAAAUCUAAAACAUUUAUUUAUAUAUUUCUUGUUGGAAAGAAUUUAAAUCUUAUUCUUAUUAGACUUAUUCUUUUUAAACAAAGGUAGAUUUUUCUCUUUGUGUUUAACGUGUAUUUUAAAAUUAAUGUUCAACAUAUCUUUAGAUUCUAUUAUAAAUAUUCAUAUCUAAAAUCUCAACAGAUUUCAUAAUAUAUAAAUAUAUAUAAAAAGAGAGAAUAAUUCUAAUAAGAAAUUUAUUAAGUUAAAGAAUAAUUCAAAUAAUAAAAUAACACACUUCAAUGUAUACAUAUCUUUAGAUUCUUUAGUAUAAUAAAAUAUAUUGUAUUAAAAUAUAUAUUUUAUUUACUUUUUUUAAUAUAUCUCUUAAUAACUUAAGAAAUCCUUUAUUUACCUCUCUCUCUCUCUAUAUAUAUAUAUAUAUAGUUUUUUAAAAAAUAGACAAUUUAGAGUUAAACAACGGACAUUAUGGGGGCCUUUACUAGACUACCAAUCUACCAUUUUGGAUUGUAAUAAAGUUAAAAUGGGUUUCUUUCAAAAGAAAGAAAAAGUGACAAUCAAUCUUGCCGGCCAAUACAUCAACUUUUUAGCUGGAUUAUUACCACCACAAAACUAAAUUAUUGCAAGCACUAGCAAAAAGCAAUCGAUGAUUUCGCAAUUUGGCUGUCAAAAAGCAAACUAGAUCACGAUUCCUCCAUUAAAAAUGGUGCUUUUUUUUAUUAAAUACGUAAAAAUUAAACCAACAAUUCAAAAUAGACGAUUGUAGAUGCGUAUAAACUGAAGAAGGUAAAUUUUUCGUGUGUGUAAAUAUUUUAGUUAACAUGAAAGAAUUCUAACAAAGUUAAUAUAAGAGUAUCAUAGCAAUACAAGAGUAAAUAUAUAUAUGUGUGUGAGUGAAGGAAGAAAAAAAAAUUAAGAAUAAUUUUGGCAUUUUGAUGGGUUUUAUAGAGUAAAAUCUAUAUUUUCAAAUAUGAUAAUUCUUUAAUUUAAUUUGAUGUUAUGAAAAAAGGGCAUUUUAAAUAUGUUUUAAGAUAAAGUGAAAACAGUAGACUACCAAUAUACCAUUUUGGAUUGCAAUAAAGUGAAAAUGGGUUACUUUCAAAAAAGAAAAGGUAACUGUGAGUUCUCCAUUUCAUCUUGUCGGCCAAUACAUCAACUUUUUGCUGGAUUAUUAUCACCGUCAAAAAUAAAUUAUUGAAUCACAAGCAAAAAGUAAUCUGUCGUCAUCUUGAUUCCGUAAUUUGGCUGUCAAAAUACAGGGUAAAACUAAGUUCUCAUUAAAUAUAUAAUUGUAUAGUUGUAUUAAUAAAAUUUAAUGGCUAAAAAUAAUAAUGGUACUGUAUUGCUGUUGUAAUAUAAUUGGACCCCAAAAUGCAAUCCAUAAAGAUUACCAUACCUCGUUUUAAAAAAAUACUGUUUCUGAUGAAAUAAAUGAAAAUUAAACUUGCAAUCUACCACGAACACACCAUUCAAUAAGCCGUUUAUUUCUCCUUAAAUUUUUAAUCUCAAUGAAACAUAAAUCUAAUGGGAACUACACAUAUAUAAAAAUACUAUAGAUUGAAGAAGUUGAUUUUUUCUUGUGUUAAGUAUUUUUGGUUAAUACGAAAGGAUUCUAGCAAGUUAAUACAAAAGUUUCAUAAAUUCAUAGUAGCACAAGAGAUUUUUUUUUCUUUUGAUAUUAAGAGUUUUUGAGAUAAAAAAAAUAGGUGAAAGAAGAAGAUGAGAGAAGAAAAAAUAUUAAGAAUAGUUUUGGCAUUUUGAUGCGUUUUAUAGAGUAAAAUCUAUAUUUUAUAGUAUAAAAUGGUACACCCAGAAUUUAAUGAUAAAAUUUUAGAAAAAAAUUGCACUCGUCAAGAAAAAAAAAAAGCUCAGCUUAACUCAAAAUUUUUUUAUUAAUCGUCUAGUCGCUAAUGUAAUCUCUUUUUUAUGAGAUUCUUUGGCGAUUUGAUUUAGUCCAUUGUUAGCAAUCCUAAUAGCUUUUAUGUGGAUCUAUUUUUAUUUGAAAUAUGUUUCAAGCUUGAAUAAAAUCUGCGGGACAACUAGUAAGUAAUAAAGCUCAUCACUUACACUUAGCAUGAUAUUAUUUUUGAUAAGUCAUUGUUUUGGUAGAUUAUUUUUUCUGACACGCUCUUAGAUUUAGUGAAAAUAAAUUGUAUACUUUUAAUGAAGAAAAGUAAAGAUUAACAAAAUAUUUUGUUGUUUUCGGUAAUUUUUGCGCUGUCAAGUGCGCCUGGUACCUUUUUUUUUUUUUUUAACUUUUGAGGUGUUGUUUAAUUUGUAUUAAAAUUAAUUAUCAUGGACCCACGUGCCAUUGUUUUCAUUUCAAGUUUCAUAAUUUAACAGUAGAAAUAGGUUCCACAGAUAAUUUAUUUUAUAAUUUUUUUAAAAAUUACUAAAAUGUAAUAAAUAAGGUAAUAAUAAUUAAUAAAAAGUAGAUUUUAAGAUGGAAAAAUCUUUUUGUGUACUUAAUAAAAAGAUGAUAAGAAUGGGAUGUUUUUGGUUAAUUGGUUUACAUUCUCAUAGUUAUUUAUACUGAAAAAUUACAUCAAAAUUUAAUUAAUAAAUCAGUGAACUGCAGACUUAUUAAAUUUAAGCUAUUUUAAUAAGUCAUAAAUAUACUAAGUUAAAAUAGUAGUAAACCCAUUGUUACACAAUACUCUCCAUUGAGUGUUCACCAUUUUAAGAUAAUCAUAAAAUGACACCGGAAGUGCUAUUAUAGCUGUCUCAUGGAAAGCCUUCACCAAUAAAAAGGUGUUUGAUUUUAUCUUCUUUUAUAUACGCUCCUCUAACUUGUGUAAUAGUAGUAAACGGGUAAUUUUUAAAAAUUUUUCGUGAGGUUUGGGCUUGUUGCAAGUAGAUGGCGAGAAUCUAUUUAUUUGUAAAAAACUUCUUACCGUUAGUUACUUUUAACAUUGACCAUUAGUUGACUGUGUAAAGACAAUAUUACCCUUAACAACAAUUUGUAGAUGGAAUUAAUUAAAAAAAAACUAAAAUUGUUAGCUAUUUUACCCUCUUUAUAUUAUUAAUAUUUUCUUAAAAUUUCUACAAGAAUGAUAAAAUUAAAAACUUAAAUUUUUUUUUAAAUUAUUGAUAUUUCCUUAAAGUUCCUACAAGAAAGAUAAAAUUAAAAAUUUAAAAAUAAACUAGUCAUAAUCUUUCCCUAUAAUAUUAUAAAUCUUUGAAAUUGACAAGGAUAAAAUUAUCAAAAAAUAGGAAUUGUACUUUUCGCGCCAACAAUUUUAAUUUUUUUUUAAUUAUGUCAGUCUACAAACUGCUGUGAAGGGUAAUAUUAUCUUUACACAGUCAACUAAUGGUCAAUGUUAAAAUUAACUAACGAUAAGGGAUAUUUUAUAAAUAAACAAAUUCUCGCCAUCUAUUUGCAACAAACCCAAACCUCAGGGGAGGUUUUUAAAAAUUAUCCAGUAGUAAACCCCUGCCUGUUUUUAUUUCGUUUAGUAUUUUCUAAAUGGCCGAAGGAAAAUUGUUAAAAACUCAUUUAAAAAUUAAAAAAUCAAAGAAAUUCAAGAAGAAGCUUUUGUAUCUGCCAUUUGUAUUUGGGGUAUUUUUUUGGUUGUUAAGUGAAUGAGCUUAAAUCUAAAACAUUUAUUUAUAUAUUUCUUGUUGGCAAGAAUUUAAAUCUUAUUCUUAUUAGACUUAUUCUCUUUAAACAAAGGUUGAUUUUUCUCUAUGUAUUUAACGUGUAUUUUAAAAUUAAUGUUCAACAUAUCUUUAGAUUCUAUUAUAAAUAUUCAUAUCUAAAAUCUCAACAGAUUUCAUAAUAUAUAAAUGUAUAUAAAGAGAGAGAAUAACGUUUCUAAUAAGAAAUUUAUUAAGUUAAAGAAUAAUUUAAAAGAUAAAAUUGUAUUCAACCCAUUUAUAUGAUUAAUUAAGGUUUUAAACAAAUUUUGGACUUGUUCUAUUGUAGAGCUUAAAUUCAAAAUGGAAAAGUGAAGAAGGGAAAAAGAAGACGAAUAAAGAAGAAAAGAGGAGAACAACUUAUACCAAAGAGGGAGAACGAAAAAGUGAAGGACAGAAAAAGAAAAAGAAUAAAGAAGAAAUUAAUCAUCGCUGAUAUGAAAAUAAUUCCUUCUUCUUUAUUGUUCUUAGUGGUUCUACUUUUUUUUAUUGGAUUCUAAAUUUUUGUCGGAGAUGGAUUAUAAGAACUAGAAAAUUAUAAAGAUAAUUUUUUAAUUAUUCGAUUAAUUAAUUCCAGCAGAAGACAAGAAAUUGAUUCUGCUUCGUUAGAAAGCCAUCACAUUCUAUACGCAAUUGCAAAAAGUAUAUAUUUUUGUCUGUUUUAGACAAGAAUAAAAGGGAUGCCUGGUAUUGCAAAUCUAGACACGUUUUAGUGCUUUAUGUCCGAAUGAAUUCUUUCUUGCAACAAUAAACUUGGCCGAUCAGGAUUUGCCGUUUACAUAUGUAGGUCCUGUUGGUUCUGUAGUAGGACUCAUAAAUUUUUAUUUUUAAUUUACUGAAUCCAUAAAUUUAAAAUAACGGUGCAACUCCUGAGGGAUGACAAUGGGCCGGGUGAGGUCUUGGAGUCUGCAUAUUAAAAAAUGUGGAUCCGAAUAUAAAAAAUCCGCACGAAUCCGAAUGCAAGUGCAUUUGAAAAACCGGAUAUCGAGAUAUGGAUAAAAAUUUAUUUCAAAUUAAAAAUUAAAUUAAAUGUAUAUUAAAAAGUAAAUGAAAAAUUAAGAAAGUAAAUUUUAUUUGUGGAUUUAUGAUGUCAUUGUAUAUUAUUCAUGUUGAAUUAUUAAUUGUUGGAUUAUGAUUGAAUUUUAUUUGAUAUUAUUGGGCAAAUUAUUGAAUUUCAUUUUAAAUUAAAAAUUAAAUUAAAAAUAUUUAUUAAAAAUUAAAUUUUAUUUGUAGAUUUAUGAGAUUAUUGUAUGUUAUUCAUUUUAAAUUUUUAAUUAUUGAACUAUGAUUAAAUUUUAUUUGAUAUUAUUAGGUAAAUUAUUAAACUUUUAAAUUUUAUAUUAAAUUAUAAGCAGUAGGAAAUUAUGGUAUUCAGAACAUGUAUACCUUCGCACAUGAAGCUUGAGUCCAGAACAAGAUGCAGCUAGCCAAUCCUUCAACUUCCAAAACCCCACAAAACCUCUGUCAACAUAUCUGCUCUACUUCAAUAUUAAGCACAUUCAUAGCGGUAUCAACAGCUUACAGCUCCAAAAAUAGUUUGAGAUUUCAUUGAAGCUAAGUUGUGACUUGUGACUGUCCAAAUGUUCUGUCACACGAAAUGAUUAUUCUUGUAACACAAAUCCAAUAGCAUGCAAUAUAAUCUACUCUCUAACACUGUGCAUUAGUAAAAUAAAACAGAGUAAAAAGAGAAACCAUGCCUGUGAAUCUCUUCUCCUACCCCCACCACCCCUUUUUUUGGUAAAGUCUAUCAAAUGAAAAUGCAGCAUGACCACAUUGGCCACUACCACUGCCAUUACUCCUUCAACUGUGCCCUUUGUUGCAAGAAAUCCUCAAGUGAAAGAUGGAUUAUAUAAUUAAAGAUUCCAAUAGAAGCAGCAAAGGUUGCCUUCCACUAGCCUAUCAGAGAAUAUGCUUUCUAUUUUCCUAGUUUUAAUCAAAAUUUUGCAAGAUUUAUUUAUGGAAAACUUGGACAAAAUUUUAUGUAAGAUACCAUAAAGCCAAACACAAUCUUUUUAAUUCUCAGCAGCAACAUUUAAAGUAAAAAGAUGGAAGCCAUAUAAAUAUAACUAUAUUUGGUACGAGGAACAAUUAUUUCAAGCUUUCAGAAAUGCUAGCAAGAAAUUGUAAGAGAACUUUACCUAGUCACAGAAUAUGUCAAGCAUACUACCACCAACUGUCUUUAGCACAAUUGUUAUGAAGUAGCCUCUGAAUCGGAAGAUUCAAGCUUCCACCAGGCACAAUUAUUUUCAUUCUCCAUACAAUCUGCAGCAGUGGCAUGAGUUAUAUCAUCAACAUUUGCAUCCUCACUCUCAUCACCCCAAUCAAGGCUUCUUCUCCACCUCUGGAUUAUAAGUCCGCUUCGACAUCUUCAAACAUCUCGGUCCUUCCAUUUGCAAACAACCGAUAUGGCUUCUUUCCUUGCCUUCCUCAUCAUUUAUAUCCCCCCAAAAAAGGGUCUUUAGACACCUCAACUUUGCCUUCUGCAAAACCUCCACAAAAUCUGAAUUAUCCAACACAACAGCUAGACGCUUGAUCCUUCUUUUGUCCAUCAUAUCCACCGCAUGAUUCCUCAACAAACAUCUGCAGCUUGUGGCUUAUCUAACACUGUCCUGACCCAAAACCCCACUCUUGUCAACUCAUCUGCCAAACCAUAACCCACUUUUGGAGUCAAAAUUGCAAAACCCCACUCUUGUCAACUCAUCUGCCAAACCAUAACCCACUUUUGGAGUCAAAAUUGUCCUUGCAGCCCUUUUAUAUUUUUCCAUCUCCAUCGAAUACUUGCCACUCAAAUGGAAUUACCAGACAGGAAUCCCAGUAACACCUCUAGCUGAUUCUACGAUUCAACCUCUUCUUUUGUUUACACUCAUGAAUUUGGAUAAAAUAAUUAACAAGUUUGUCAUUAUUAUAAAAUCUCCUUUCACAAACACCACAUAAAUAUGGCUCAGCAGGCUUAAUUACACCCUUGCUUUCCAAUUGGUUAAACAAUUUUUCUCCUCUUUGCUCUCUUACAACUUGAGGCACAUAACUAAAUGCAUGGCUAUUGGCAUAUGCCACCAUGUAUUUAACAACCCAAGUGAAGAUAUUGAUUUGAGGGUUUGUUGUCCAAAUCCCUAAAAAUUCACACAUUGCGUUGGACAGUUUUUAGUUCUACAAUUAAUGAUACGUUAUGUGAAUUAAGCUCCAAAUUAGAACAUCUAAACAAUGAGACAAAUGGGCUCUAGGUUUCUAAUCAGUAAACAUCGUUCAGUCGCAUAAUUUAUGAAAUUUUUGAAACAUCACUACAGCUACAGGUCUUUAUGUGUCAAUGAACUGCAGAAACUAAUGAUCUACUAGUAGUAGACGUUUGUUGUCCCCACCGUUCCAGGAAGAAAAAUAAGUAGAAGAACUACUUUUAGACCAAAAUUAAAAAAUUGAAACUAUCUUGAAAGACUUUCCCUUCAACUAAGUAAAAAAGAAAAGAAAAAAGGUAUUAGACAAGCAUUUUCAAAGGAAAAAGAUCAUCCAUUUAUUGUAUGUACUCAGGAAAAAUAAAUGUACUAAUAGGUAGAAACACAGCAAUAAAACUCAAAAACUAACAUCUAUAAAGCUCAAUAACAAUUAUGAAUUAGAUAUUUUGUCCCUUCAUAAUUCCUCCUCUUGACUUCACAUUUCCCCUCAGCCCGUGAUAAUUUUACCUAUUGAAUUCACAUUUCCCCUCAUCCAUUGAACUUUCCCAAUAACAAGAUGAGUCUAAAUCAUCAAUCUCAUUAAACACUCACAUCUACUAAAUAAUAUCACAUGCAGUAACUUUAAGUAAGGAUCUAAAACUUACAAGAAAAAGAAAACUACUGUUUAUUAAUUUCAAAAUUUACACAAAAUUACAAAUGAUUUUAUAAACUGUACCAAAACAUGUUCUCUAAAAGAGAUUCAUUAUCCUGCAUUUUCAAAAACAAUAUAAACUAACACUAGAAUAGCCAUUUGAUAAUGAUGUGAAUUUGGGCAGCACCAAGAAGCAGUGAGCCCCAUUUGGUGAAAGCAAAAAGAAAAAAAAUUAAAAUAAAGCACUAUAAAUUCUAAUCAAAUUAUUAACAUUAGUUACACAUCAAGAAACCAGAAUAAAAUCGUUAUCUAAACCACAUACUGAAAAAGAAAAAACAAUGCAGUUAAAAUUCUAUCAUUUUCACUUACAAACAAAUAAAGAAAAAAUUAAGAACAAAGGUUGAAGCAAAGAAUGAUUGUACCUUGAGGUACUUGAGGUUAAUGUUUCCAUAAACGAGACCGAGCGAAAAAGCCGAAACCAGAGCAACCUAUUCUUACUACUCAAAAACCCGCCCAGAUCAGAAAAUAAAUGAUCAUUCAAUAACAAUUCAUAAAAACUCCAUCCCAUCGCGAUCAUUCAAUAACAAUUAAUAAAAACUCCAUCCCAUCGCAUUUAAAACAAAACAAAGAAAAUAUUGAUUAGAAAAAAAAUUACACAUGGAAUAAAAGAAUAUAAAAAUGGAAUUACCAGAGGGAGCUAGUGCCGGAGUAGGAACCAGAAGGCAGCGCCAUAUGCUGCUCUUGUUAUGGUUUUCCUUCUUGUGGGCCUGCGCUGAAGUCGAAGAUGAAGAAACAAGAAAAAGCCAGCAAAUUGAGAAAUCGACUACCAUCUUCGAUUCCGACUCGCAUGGCCAUUUUUCUUUGAUGAAUGAAAUAUUGUUUUACUCCCUAAUUCUUAACCAAAUUACAAGUUUUGACUUCUGUUUGUAUGUUCUUUCAUACGGGUUCUUGUUCACAGGAAUAACAAAUGGGCCGGACGUGUGGCUAAGCCCGGGCCUGGUGUCGAUAGCCAGGCCUGGGCUUUUACGAGCCCAGGCAUUUAAUUCUGAACAUAAUCCUUAUAUCACUUCACUUUUGUAAUCGUAAUUUUAUUGUACUGAAAAUUAUAUAAACGAUUAAUAUGAAUUUAAUUAAACAAACAUGUCUUUACAACUCAUGCAACCUUACUAUUUUCUAAUCCUAAUAUGUGAUAUAAUUAAUUUUACUGAUAAAAUCAAAAUAAUUUUUAAACAAUGAAGAAAUAAAUUAUAAUAACAGUAAAUUUAUUAUGAAAAAGUAUGUUUACAAAAUUUAUUUUAAAUGAUAUGAAAUCUAAUAAAAAUUCUAUUCUAAUUUUAUGUCCUUUUUUACAAUUUUAUUAAAAAGUGGGAUUUCUUAAGAUUUUAGAAGGAGUGUUGGAAUUCUAUUUUUCCAGCUUUGAAUUUUAGUGGCCUCUUUAAGGCCCCAAAAAAAAAAGCACCGGUCCUCUAUUAUUUCAAAUAAGUUCAAGCCCUAUGUCAUUAUUGGUACAAAAAUGUAUUAGAAUGGUUAAAAACUAUUUUUAUUUAACUUAUAAACUUAGGAAAUUAUCAACUGUCCGCCCUUAAAUUGCAUUGUUAUAAAAAAUAUUACAACAUUUCACCUUGAAAUUGCAUUGUUAUAAAAAAUAUUACAACAUUUUUCAGGUUGUAUCAUUCAUCUACCAUAAAUUUACAAUCUGCAUCAUUUAUCCACCAAAUCAUUAACUUCGUUAAAAAGUGAUAGACGUCACAAGGGUAAUUUAGACAUUUAACACACAAAAAAAUAAAAGAGAAAUUAUCUAAGCUUACCAUGUUAUCAAAAUUGCUACAAAAUUUUAAAUUUGUUCAAUUUUCCAAUCUAAGUUUAUGACCUCCAAGAUGUUAAUUGCAGUUUGUAAUUAAUGACUUCAUAAGGAUAAUUUAGACACUCAAUAUGCAAAAUAAAAAAUAAAAUAAUGGCUUAAAACAUUAAAACAAAAAACUACUUUUUAUAAUUGAUAUUCAAUUAAAUACACAUAAACUCUAUUUUUUCUUAAUUAAAAAUAUUCUAAUUUAUUUUCUCAAUUUAUCAUCAUAAAUUUACAUUAAUAAACUAAAUCCACAAAUUACCCUAAACCCUAAUUCAUAAAUGCCCAAUCAAUCAAAUAGUUUAAUUCGAUUUCAUAAUUAAAAAAGCUAAAUUUAUUAUAUUAGUUAUGGUGCAAAGUCAAAAAUGCCCUUAAAUUCAAGGGUAAAAUAACAUUUUAUUUAAAUUCUAUAAAUUAUUCUAACAAUGUUAACAUUUUAGUGGACGGUUAAUAUAAGUUACAAACUUAAAGUAGAAAAUCAAAUAAAUUCAAAAUUUCAAACUCAAAAAUUUCAAACUAUUUAAAAAAAAUUUAGGAUAUAUGGUUAAUAAUUUUCCUUUAUCUUUUUACGUUAAAUUGAAUUUCAAAAGUAAAAUGGUCAAUUAAUAUAAUUCUAUUAAUUUUUUAAUGGAAGCAAACGAUAUAAUGGACGAAUGAUAUAAAUUGUAAAAUUAAGGUGCAUGAAUGAUACAACUUUAAAGUAUUAUAAUAAUUUUAAUAAUAGAACAAUUUAAGGGUGGAUUGGCAAUAAUUUAAACUUUAAUGAAGCAGCUAAAAAAAUUUUUUAACAAAGAAAAAUAAUUGAAUGCUUUGUGAAACCAAAAAUAAUUGAAAUGCUUUAAGAAAAAUUAAGGAAAUUAAAUAUCUUUAUAAAAACAUAAUUGAGUAAAAUCAUUUUACAAAAUGUUAUUUCAAAUGCACAUUCCACAAGCCAAGAAGAACGGGUGGCUAACAAAAAUCUCACUUUUUAUGAGUUUAUAAAAUCUCACCUUUGCAUAAUCCAAAAAUAACAAAUACUAAUCACACAAAAAAUAAAAAUUAUUGCUGUCACGACAGUACACACUUUCUUCGCCGGUCCUCAAUACAAAAUGCGUGCUACAACUAAAUUGGCCCAAUUAAUGCCCAUCGAAAAGGCCAUCAACAAUUUUGUCAAAAUUUCAACAAUUGAAGAAAUCUUGAGAUACAUAAAACAAAGUCUUGAAACAAAUAUUAACAAUCCAUCUGCAGAGGAAGUAUGGAACAAAGCUUAUUAUUAGCUUCUUGUGUGAACUGAACACGCUGAACAAAGCAUUUUUUUUUUGGAUUUUUGGAAUUUUUUAAAGUCAUUUAUGUUCGCUGUCAUCUUUUUCUUCGCUGGCGUCUUCAUUGGCAUCUUCCUCGUCUGUAGUUUGCUGUGUCUAUAUAUCCAACCAAUAAAUUGGGCAUUAAAUACGAAUGAAUGAUGAAUAAAAUGAUAAAAAAAAAAAACAAACAGAGAAAAUUAUAAUAUAACACAUAUAUAUAUUGAAAGAGAAAUUUUGAUUUUAGGAUAGAUCAAUUAGCUAUCACAAACGAAAACAUGAACCAACUAUGUAUAGAGUCAAUUAACUAAAAGUUCUCAAGAAUUACCUCUGGUCCAGAAUUCUCGGAAUCAUCUUCUCCUUCUGAACUUGGACGAAACUUGGGACAAUUACGAACAACUUCAUCGUAUUUAGAAGAUGGAAAUGGGAUCUGAUAACCCGCAGGCCAAAAGUUGGUGAGGUUUGGUAAAUCUCUCAGUUCCAAGCUUCGAAGUUCAUUCAUAACAAUUUCAUUGUAAUCCGUGACGUCUGCUCCAUCUUUAUGCCAGAAUACUUCUUCUAAUUCAUCAUUAGCUGUUAUGCAUAGGUACUUCAGUUUUUGAAGACUUGGAGCUACGCUGAUAUGAAAUAGAUGCUUUAGUUUGGGGCACCAACAGACAUAAAUGCUUGUGAGUUUUGGGAAACAUACAGGUUGGAGAUGAUCCUCAUCCUCAUCCUCAUCAAUGAUUUGCUCUAAUCCCCGACAAUUCCAAAUAGAUAACUCCUCCAAUUGCAGCAGAUUUCGAGCAAGUGUUGAUGAGAAGAGACGUCUCAGCAUAGUGCACCCGUUUACAGUUAAUUCGGUAAGACUUUGCAGGCUAAAAUUAUGCGUGGGACCUUCAUGAUAUAAUAAUACUUGCAGUUCUCGAAGGUUUUCCAACUGCACCUCCUUCAAACAUGGGAAUAGUUUGUUUUCUUCUCCUUCAGCGAUAAUAGCUUCCAAUUGAAAUACCACCUGUACUCCCAGUCGUCUAAUACGCAAUUCUUCCAAAUUUUUUAAUCCGUGCUUCAACAGUGCUGGAAUCGUGUCACUCAAAUGGGAACAACUUUCCACAUAUAGACUUCGUAAUUUCUGAGACAAAUAAAUAAAUAACUUGAUGCAAUUAAAAUCUAUUAGCAGCUAGGAUUAUCACAUGAUAAGUGAUGAACACCGCAAAAAUAUCAUAAUACAUAUGUAAACUAAUAAAAUAAUUAAAAAGUAAUGGAUUCUUAAAAAAAAUUGAAAUUAGUUAAAAGAGAUCAUGUGAAGUGAUAUAAAUGUGACAUUAGAUUGUUUUAGAAAAAUUAUUAUUCUAUUAAUUUAUAUGGCUUGAUCAACUAUUUAAUUGAAUUUGAAUAACAUUAUAUACACUUAAGAAGUAUUUGCAUCAAUUCUUUCUAAACCAAAAUGAAAUAUGACUUUCAUUUGAAGAAUGGUUUUAGGCCCUAUAAUAAAGAAAUUUUCUUAAGAUAUCUGAGCAUUACUAUUAUCAUCACCACAUCCACCACCACCAUCAUCAUCUCCAUAGGAUCAAAUAAUUAAUGGCUGAUCAUAAAAUUUAUUGCUAAACUAUCAUUUUGAGUAAAAUUGAAUGAAAAGAAAAAAACAUGAACCCAAACAAACAUACCUCUUCAAGAUACUGCAAAUUGGCUUCAAGUUCAGUACUGUUGACAGUCAAGUUGGGACAGUCCUUAAGGCGUAUCUUUUCCAAUGCUGGCCAAAUUGAACAAUAAUUUUUUGAACAGAAGCUGACGAGUUCUGAGAGAUUUCGAAGUGUUAAUUCUCUUAACAAAGGGAGGGCGAGCAUCGUAUUUCCAUCUCCGACACUUAUUUCCCCUUCAUUAUGAUCAAACUUUGCUUCGACAAUAUAUUCCAGUCUCUCGCAUCCACUUACAUUGAGACUUUUAAGCUGCUCCAAACUUCUAGCUUGUGAUAACGUGAAGAUAUAUGUCAACUUGUUGCACAUAUGCACAUUCAAUUCUGUAAGAGUUUGGAGACUGAUCACAUGUUGGGCCGGCGCCUUCCAUAUCCACUUCAGUUCUGGUAAGUCCCACAUAGAUAACUCUGCUAAUCUUGAGAGACUCUUUCCAUGCGGCGACUUAGAGGCUUCCAUUAUGCAUUCUAAAUCUUCGCAAUCGCGGACAUCAAGACAAGUUAACUCAUUGAAGCCCCUUUCAUCUAUGCUUGGCACAAUAUUGUCACAACCUAUUAACCCACUCAAACGAAGAAAUUUCAGAUUUUGAUACAAUGCUGAAAAAAUAACGAGCGAGGUCGCCGCUUCAUGAGGGCAAUUCUCAAUGAUUAAGCUCCUUGUUUCAUCAUUCUUAAUGAUUAAGCUCCUUGUUUCAUCACCAUCUCCUUUACCUUUACAGAUGAUGUAUCUUUGCAAUUUCGGGAAUGUAAAGUGUUUUGGAAGACAUACAACAGAUCUGUCGGCUUGGGAGUUCAACUCAGCAAGCCUAGCAUUACUUUCUUCUGAACUCAUCCCUUCAACCUCCCAAUUUUUUAUCCGACCAUAAAAUUCUUCCAAUUGAGGAAAUUUUUUUAUCGUAAUGGGAGAAAUGGAGCCAGUAGCAAUAUACAGAAGUUUCAAUCUACGAUGUUCAUCCGACAAUUCUUCAAGAAUUUUAAUGGAAGACUUCUCGAGGAAAAGAAGUUCAAGCCUCUUCAACUUUCCAAGGAAAGACGCGUCACUCACCUCACAUCGAAUCAACUGCAGAACCUGGAGGUCGGUGAGGAUCUGAAGCGAUUUAAGUGAAAGAACUCCACCUAUUAUAGUGACAACUUUCAAUGCUGGCAUCCUUUCAAAAAAUUGUUCUGGAACUUGCAAUCGGUGGUCGUAUUCAGGAUUCUCCAAUCGCAAAAUAUGAAGGUUAGGGCAUGCCAAACCACUAGGAAGCUCUUCUUCUUUUUUAUUUCCCACCAAAGAGAUUCCUCUGUAUUGUUCCAGGCCUUCUUUCAUUACCCGUUCUGCCAAUCCAAUGCCAACUUUACUAAAAAAUUUCUUCUCCUCUAGAACUAUUGAGCCUAUCCAUAUGGCUACAUCACGAACUAUGUCAUGCAUUUUCACAGAUCUGUCAUUACCAGUGUCUAACAGCAGUGACGCAGCUUUGAGCGCGUUAAUUGUUCCAUGCAGUCGGCUUCUGGCAUUUUCUAUUGACGGAGCACAUUGAUACCAAAUAACCCCCACUGCGUAUCCAACCAAAUCCUCCAAAUAAAUCUCAUAAUCUUCUGGAAACAGAGAACACAACAAGAAGCAUAACUUGGACUCCUCACUAUUUAAAUUGUCGUAACUGAAUUUAAGACAACCGUAAACGUCUUGGUCAUCCUUGUCAAUACCUUCUAUUGCAUAGAGUUUUGCUUCCUUUAGGUUAUUUAGUGCUAGUUUCCAUUCAUCAGAUCCUUUUUCUCUUAGUGCACUUCCAACAGCUUCAAUAGCUAAAGGCAGCCCCUUACAUUCGUCGGCAACUUGUUUUGAAACACCAUCCAAGGAGGAGUCGUUUACAUUAAUACCGGCAUUCUUUUUUAGGAGAGUCAAUCCUUCUUCUGGUGUUAGUGUACCAAGUUCAAUCUGUGGGUAACAACCGAAAAAACCACAAAUUGACGUUUUGCGAGUGGUUAGAAGGAUUUUGCAACAAUUGUCUCUAUCACCAAUGGGAAUACCUAAUUUUUUCUCCAAGUCGAGUUGUUUCCAAACAUCAUCAAGGAUUAUGAGGAUUUUGCUGCCUUUACUCUCAGAAAACAUCAACCGCAAUCGAUCUGCUCUCUCUUUUUCAUCUGUCUCAUUUAACGCCCAGCCUAACGACUUUACCAGCUCACCUUGAACCUUUAUUAUAUCUGGAUCCUGAGACACAGUGACUAUCCCCACCUUAUCGAAAUCCUUUUGUUGCCGAAGUUGAUUGCCCACAAAUUUUGCCAGGGUUGUCUUUCCUACGCCACCGAGACCAUGCAAUCCCACCAUCUUUAUGCUCGCUUUUUUCAGGGCGUCAAUGAUCUGAUUGCGAGCUGAUUCUGUGGUCUCGAAGGUAGAAGAAAAAUAACUUGGUAAACUUAAUUCUCUCUCUAAUGUUAGAGGUUUAGGACGGGCAACUGUGCUGAAUUUGCUGCGGUCUUGUAGCAGAUCGGACAACUUGCUAGUCUUCUUUGAAGCUUUUCUACCCAGCCAGUAUCGCCAACCCCAAUUAGGACACCAUCCAUUAAGACAACUCUUCUUUUCAUCUAUCUUUGCUUUCAAAUUUCGAACGUCGGCCAUUUCUUUGUCUACAUCCUCGAGCCAUGUCUCGACAUCUUUCUCGACUACUAUAGCACGGUGUAUUUGUCGUUCUUGUUCUACUCUUUCAUUGAUGCCAUCUUUUUCCUUCUUCAAAUUGGUUUCUUUAUCCUUAAGUUCUUUAUCUAUGCUGUUGAAACAGAGCAGAUAGCGAGCUUGGUUUAUGGUUGCAUCCGCCAAUAAUUCUCCAAGCUUUGAUGCAACACCUGAUAAAAUUUCCAUGCUAUUUAUCUGCAAUUAACAAGUUGAUCUCAGUAUGCUAUAAGCAAAACAUCAAGGCUUGAUCACAAGAUCGAACGAGAAUAUUUAAUUGCUUUAAUUUUCUUGUCAUUGAAACGAUGUCUCAUACCUUCUUCCGUUUAUAUCUUCAAUUACUGCUGAAAGCUCUGGCUAGAGAGUCGCACAAGCUCGGAGAAAAUUAAAAGCUGCAUCUAGCAAUAUAAAUAAACAUGAGAUCAAAACAACAUAGGAUAUAUCUAGCUAAUUAACAUCAUAUAUAACUCCUUGUUCUCAGUCAAAUCUUUCAUUCUUAGGAGAUUAAAAAAAAAUUGAAAUAAUAACUGUUCAGUGACAUAGGAUUAGGAAGCAAAAGUAACAUACCAAAACGAGAGCAGCUAGCUCACAGAUCUGGUGACUUCCAAGAGCAUGAAAAAUGAUUGAGGUUUAAUAGCAAGGUCCGGGUCAUGUUUCAUAAGUUGCUAUUGACUUCGUGGCUUCGCUUUUAUUUAUUAUUAUUGUUUUUUUAAAUUCUAUAUCAGUGAGAAUUGAAAUGUGGAAAGUGAAAUGAUACACAUGCUUUAUCAUCUAUCAUGAGGGGUGAUUUGGUAAAACCGAUUUAAAAUAAAAAAGUUUAAAAAGAUGCUUUGUGUCUGACUGCUUGUAUUUGGGAUAUUUUUUGGGUUGUUGAGAGUGAGUUUAAUUAAAUAUAAGAUUUUUAUUUUUUUUAUAUAUUUCUUUUUAGAAUGAAUUUAAAUAUUAGUCUUGUUAAAUUCUUUCUUUUUAAAUGAAAGUAGAUUUUUCUGUAUAAAUUUUAGGUGUAUUUUAUAAUUAAUGUUCAACGAAUCUCUAGGUUAUAUUAUAAAUAUUUUUAUUUAAAAUCUCAACAGAUGUCAUAACACACAAAGAAAAAUACAUAUAUAUAUAUUGUAAUGUUUUAAUGAUAAAUCUAUAAAGUUAUUAAGUUAAAAAAUAAAUAAAUAAAUAAAUAAAUACAUAUUUUAAUGUACUCUUACCAUUUUGGAUUGCAAUAAAGUGAAAAAUGGGUUAAUUUCAAAAAAGAAAAGGUGACAGUGAGUUGUCAAUUUCAUCCUUGUCGGCCAAUAAUACAUCAACCUUUUGCUGAAUUAUUAUCACCGACAAAAACAAAUUAUUGAAUCGGGUCCCGCUGACAGACAGCUUAUGUAAAGUUACAUUCAUAAUAAAUUGAUACUUGUCUUUAUUAUAAAUUGUUCUUUUAUUUAAAUAUGCGUUCAUUUCUUCAAUUAAGUCCUCAUAUUCGUUCAAUUUAUGAUAAGAUCCUUGUAUAGGAGCAUAUCUGCAUAUGUAAUAAUUAUUCUUCUAUUUCAGAUAGUUUUUGUGAAAAAAAGACUUUUAUCAAUUAUUUAUGUUGACUAAUUCUUAUGUCUUUUUUUAUUACUUUUCAUAGCUCUAUAUAAAUGUUUGCUAUAGAAUUUGUGUUAUUUUGCUAUAAUAUAAUUUAUAUUGUAAACCUCUGUUCAUCUGUAAAUAAAAUGACAAUUUUUUUUGUUUACUCCUAAAAAAUAUGAAAAUAUUAAUUUACUCUCAUAUUUAUUUAGAAGACAAUGGCAAAUAAGGUCGCAUUGAUAAUUUUUUUAUUUACUUAUUAAUUAAUUAGAGUAAAUUAAUAUUUUCAUAAUGAGAGAUACAUUGAAGAUUGUCAUUCUUAGUAGAGGGUAAAUUAAAGUUUAUCUAAUUAAUUUAAAAUAUCAUUAAAAUUUAAAAUUCUAAUCUGGAUUAGAUUUUCNNNNNNNNNNNNNNNNNNNNNNNNNNNNNNNNNNNNNNNNNNNNNNNNGGGGGGGGGGGGGAACGUCCUUAUUCGGAUUAGACUCAGCUGGAAGAGGCACAUCCUUAGCUGGAUCAAUUUGUUCAAGAUUGGAUGCAUCCAUCGGUUUCAAAUUUGUCUCUUGUAAGUAUCAUCGGAUUUCUUUACUAAAAUUUAGAUUAUCAAUCACAUCUAAAACUUAUUGAAUGAUACAUUUCAUUUCUAUAAAAUUGAGUUACUAUUACCACCUCAAAUCUUAUAAAUUCUAGAAAAUAAUCAAGGCUUGACAUACUUUUAUUUAUGCAAAAGCAUAAGAAAAUAAUUCAAAGUACUAAUUAGUGCACUAUUACUCAAAAUUCUAGAAUAGAUUUGCUAGUUCUCUUUAGCCAUAGAUUGGUCCAUGAUUGGCACCGCAAUAGCUCAGAAUCACCUCAACGAUUGUUCCACACAGCCCAACAUGACACACUGUAAACUAGUCUAACAUGAACUUUCUGAGUGGCUUUCUAACAAUAGUCUUAGAGAAAGUGUUUAGUAGUAUGAAGUCUUCUUUUUUUAACAUAAAUGUUGGCAUGAUAUUCUUAAUAUAUUUCUAAAAUCAAAAUAAGAUGCAUAGAGGACGAUGAUAAUUUUAUUUCAUAAUUGAAUUUUUUGCAAAGAAAGUUUGAACAUGAGAGUGAUGAGAGAUGAGAAUAUUGAUGAUGGUGUGUACUUUAGAUGGAAAAAUAGAUUGGAAAUAUAUAUAGACAUAUUAAAAGAAAAAAAUUUGGUCUAUUUCUUAAAAGAAACAAAAAAUUAUAAACGCGGGUGUUAAAAUGUAUUCAGAAUUUAUAAAUUUUUAUAAAUAUGAUAAUCAUUAGACCCUUAUAAAAGUAUAGCAAAAAGUUUAAAAUUUUUUAAUAAAUGUCGAAGAGAUGGACGAAGAAACCAUCCACCAGUUCAGAAUUAAUAAUCAAAGAUAUGAGGACUUGAUUGAAGAAAUGGUGAAAAAUAAAAGGACACUGGGUUGCUAUCAAUUUCUACCGUGUAGGUUCAUAGCCGGGGAAAUAAUUGGGCACAAAUAUCUCGGAUGAGAAAUAACCAUUUUAUCCCGCAACCAUAUGUUUAUGGCCUCUAAAAAUUUUCACCUCUUUCACAAUCUGGAACCCGUGCUUACUGGCACAUGCACAAUACUUGGUUGCUACUUAUAGAGCGUUUUUAGAAUUGCAACGACAUGGUGCUCUUUGAUAAUUCAAAAAUCCAAUAUAAUUUAUAGAGAAUUACAGAAUUGUUUGUGGUACGUGAUAAUUUGCUGAUGCAAUGAGGCGCCGAAAUUCUUAUACAUGUGAUUUAAGUUAUAUAUGUAUAAUUAAGUAAUUAGAAUAUACUAGUUGGGGGUAUUUGUGUCCAUGAAAAUUUACAAAAAAGUUUAAAAUACUAGUUGGGGGUAUUUGUGUCCAUUUUAAUUAGAAAAAAAUGCUGUUUCUGAUGAAAUAAAUGAAAAUUGAACGUACAAUCUGCCACGAACACUAUUUAAUUAACCGUUUAUUUCCCCUUAAAUUUUUAAUCUCAAUGAAACAUAGAUCUAAUGGGAACUACAUAUAUAUAAAAAUACUAUAGAUUGAAGAAGUUGAAUUUUUCUUGUGUGUUGAGUAUUUUUAGUUAAUACGAAAGGAUUCUAGCAAGUUAAUACAAAAGUAUAUCAUAAAUUCAUUGUAGUACAAGAGAUUUUUUUUUUCCUUUGAUGUUAAUAGUUUUCGAGAUAAAAAAAAAUUAGGUGAAAGAAGAAGAUGAGAGAAGAAAAAAUGUUAAGAAUAGUUUUGGCAUUUUGAUGCGUUUUAUAGUGUAAAAUCUAUAUUUUAUAGUAUAAAGUGGUACACCCAAAAUUUAAUGAUAAAAUUUUAGGAAAAAAUUGCACUCGUCAAAAAAAAAAAAAGGCUCAACUUAGCCCAAAAUUUUUUUAUUAAUCGUCUAGUCGCUAAUGUAAUCUCCUUUUUAUGAGAUUCUUUGGCGUUUUAAUUUAGUCCAUUGUUAGCAAUCCUAAUAGCUUUUAUGUGCAUCUAUUUUUAUUUGAAAUAUGUUUCAAGCUUGAAUAAAAUCUGCGGGACAACUGGUAAGUAAUAAAGCUCAUCAUUUUUUUAUUUUGAAAAUAAAGGGAAUCACUUACACUUAGCAUAAUAAAUUACACUUAGCAUAAUCACUUACACUUACACUUACACUAUUCAAUUACCCUUUUUUUUUUUUGAACUUUUGAGUUGUUGUUUAAUUUGUAUUAUAAUUAAUUAUCAUGGGCCCACGUGCCAUUGUUUCCAUUUCAAGUUUCAUAAUUUAUCAGUAGAAAUGGAUUCCACAGACAAUUUAUUUUAUAAUUUUUUAAAAAAUUACCAAAAUAUAAUAAAUAAGGUAAUAAUAAUUAAUAAAAAAGUAGAUUUUAAGAUGGAAAAAUCUUUUUGUGUACUUAAUAAAAAGAUGAUAAGAAUGGGAUGCUUUUGGUUAAUUGGUUUACAUUCUCAUAUCUAUUUAUACUGAAAAAUUACAUCAAAAUUUAAUUAAUAAAUCAGUGAACUGCAGACUUAUUAAAUUUAAGCUAUUUUAAUAAGUCAUAAAUAUACUAAAUUAAAAUAGUAAUAAACCCAUUGUUACACAAUACUCUCUAUUAUAGCUGUCUCAUGGAAAGCCUUCACCAAUAAAAAGGAGGAUAGAGCACAUACAUCCAGUUUUUAUACCCUUUGAUGCUCAGUCGACACGUGCCAAUGCUAUAGACUAGCUUAUAAUCUACUAAGGUGACGCAUGCCAAUGCUAUAGACUAGCUUUUCAAAGGUUGAAGUGGGUGUACAUUUAGUAAAAAGACCUGCACAAUUAUAGUGUAUCUAUUUGACAUCAACUUUUUUUAUCUGCUGGAGCUUAUGAUUAUAGAAGAUCUUCGGUAAGAUGUGUUUGAUUUUAGAAAAUCUCCUUUUAUAUAUCCUCCUCUAACUUGUGUAAUAGUAGUAAACCCCUGCCCCCUUUUUAUGUCGUUUAGUAUUUUCUAAAUGGCCGAAGGAAAAUUGGUAAAAACUCAUUUAAAAAUAAAAAUAAAAAUCAAAGAAAUUCAAGAAGAAGCUUUGUAUCGGCCAUUUGUAUUUGGGGUAUUUUUUUGGUUGUUAAGUGAAUGAGCUUAAAUCUAAAACAUUUAUUUAUAUAUUUCUUGUUGGAAAAAAUUUAAAAUUUAUUCUUAUUAGACUUAUUCUCUUUAAAUAAAGGUAGAUUUUUCUCUAUGUGUUUAACGUGUAUUUUAAAAUUAAUGUUCAACAUAUCUUUAGAUUCUAUUAUAAAUAUUCAUAUCUAAAAUCUCAACAUAUUUCAUAAUAUAUAAAUAUAUAUAAAGAGAGAGAAUAACGACUAUAUAUAUAUAUAGAGAGAGAGAGAGAAAUGUUUGCGGGAAAUAGUUUUAAAGGUUUAAACUGUAAGCUUUGAAAGCCGUGAAGUUUUAAAAGUUUCCCGAAUUUUCCCACACUUUAAAAUUACUGACCGGAAAACUAUUAUAUAUAUAUAUAGUUUUUUUAAAAAUAGACAAUUUAUGAGUUAAACAACGGACAUUUUUGUCGGCCAAUACAUCAACUUUUUAGCUGGAUUAUUACCACCAUCAAAACUAAAUUAUUGCAAGCACUAGCAAAAAGCAAUCAAUGAUUUCGCAAUUUGGCUGUCAAAAAGCAAACUAGAUCACGAUUCCUCAAUUAAAAAUGGUGCUUUUUUUUAUUAAAUAAGUGAAAAUUAAACCAACAAUUCAAAAUAUAGGAUUGUAGAUGCGUAUAAACUGAAGAAUAAACUGAAGAAGGUAAAAUUUUUCGCGUGUGUAAAUAUUUUAGUUAACAUGAAAGAAUUCUAACAAAGUUAAUAUAAGAGUAUCAUAGCAGUACAAGAGUAAAUAUAUAUAUGUGUGUGUGAGUGAAGGAAGAAAAAAAAAUUAAGAAUAAUUUUGGCAUUUUGAUGGGUUUUAUAGAGUAAAAUCUAUAUGUUCAAAUAUGAUAAUUCUUUAAUUUAAUUUGGUGUUAUGAAAUAAAGGGCAUUUUAAAUAUGUUUUAAGUUAUAAAUAACUCCAUCCAAAAUUUAAAAAUGAAAUCUUAGGGGGUAAACAAUUUCACCCGAACUAACAAAAGCCCUAGCCCGGAGGCCCAGAGUAGCCGCGGCUUUUUUCACCAAUCUAAUUAUUUACGAGGAAUAUGAGACUGAGAUUCUCUACCACUCCAAUUUAUCGCAUUGUUAGCAAUCCUAAUAGCUGUUAUAUAUCCUAUUUUUAUUAAAAAAUGUGGAUCCGAAUAUAGAAAUUUGGGAUCCGCACAAAUCUAGAUGCAAGUGCAUUCGGAAAACCAGAUAUCGAGAUCCGAAUAAAUUUUAUUUUAAAUUAAAAAUUAAAUGAAAAAUUAAGAAAGUAAAUUUUAUUUAUGGAUUAAUGAUGUCGUUGUAUAUUAUUCAUGUUGAAUUAUCAAUUGUUGGAUUAUGAUUGAAUUUUAUUUGAUAUUAUUGGGCAAAUUAUUGAAUUUUAUUUUAAAUUAAAUAAAAAUAAAAAAUUAAAUUUUAUUUGUAGAUUUAUGAGAUUAUUGUAUGUUAUUCAUUUUGGAUUGUUAAUUGUUGAAUUAUGAUUAAAUUUUAUUUGAUAUUAUUAGGUAAAUUAUUAAACUUUUAAAUUAUAUAUUAAAUUAUUUAAUUUUAAUUUUUGCGGAUCUGAAUAUUCAGAAUAUCCACCUGCAUCGGUUACGGAUAAUACCCGCAUCUGGAUCCACAUCUUUUUCUACGAAUCCAAAUAUAGAAAUAUGAAUGCGGAUCUAAAUUCGGAUUUUGCUGACCCUAAACCUAAGAAUGAAUGUGCCUAAAGUUUUUACAACGAACAUGGAUCAUUCAAUGACAUGACAUGUUUUGCAGCUUUCAUUAGUAUAAUUGAAUAAUUAAUUCAUCUCUAUAUUCAGCUUACACCGUCUCAAAUUACAUGCAAAUACGAAAGUACACUUCUGAAUCGUUCACUUGAGGAAAAUUAAUUUUAACUCAAUAAGUCGUAAUUCUCCACGUAGAAUUUUAAUUCAAACCAUAGCAAAUUAGACAUAAUUCUAAUUUAUAUGGGAAAUAUAAUUAGCGAAGACACUCUUUAUAUAAACAUUAUUGUCAUAGGAUGCCAAACCUAAUAAGAUUCAAGGUCUUAACAUACUUCAUAUGAAAUUUGAUCUUGGCGCGUACCGACACGCAUAACAUCAAGACUCUACUUCAUAUAUUAUAAUGUAACUUCAUGGAUUUUUCGCUCUCUUGUGAAAUUGACAAUUAUAGGCGCUGUGUGGCAGUGGUACAUAAUAAAAUAAACGUUUAUUUUUAGAAUAUUAUUAUUUAUCUCAAUUUUUUAUUUAAUAGUUAAUUUUAAUCAAUUCUUAAACUGUCAUAAUCAAUUAAUUUUUUACAUUAUGGCAUCUUAAAUAAAUUUUGGAUCUGUAAUAAAUAAAAACUGGUAACGUUUGUUCUUUUAAAGCAUAAAACAACCGUAACAUUGGUUUUUACAUUUUGAAUUUUUCUUGCAUCACUAUUUAGAAAAAUGAUGUUAAAUCAACUCACAAAAUAUAUCAAGCCAUCUAAAAUCCAAAUAUUAUUACAUUUGUAUUUGCAUUGUUAAAUUGUUGGAACGACGGCAAAGCAAUUGAAAAGAUAUUAACAAAAAAGUAAAGAUUGGCCAAGGAUUAUUCAUGUUUAGGAAAUGCCUUAACUUUUGAUAUAAUCAUUGUUAUAAUUAUAUUGUAGAAAUAAUCAAUUACCUAAUGUUUGUGGUGGUAAAAAUUAUUAACUUGUUUUAGUAUACCCGUGUUUAUGGUGGUCUCCUUUUUGUCCAAUUCUGUACAACAAAAUAUUUGCAUGUUUUGAUAGAAAUUGGUUUAAAUGACAUUUGAAAUAGUAUAUCCCCAAACAAUUAACGAAAUAUUUGGAUGGUAGGAUGAAGUAAUAUAGUUUUACAAAUUACCAUAUUAGAGGUUAAAAAAAAUCAAGAGGUUACUAACUACAAAUUUUAACACAAAAAGUUUAAUUAACUUUUCUUUUUGAGAUAACAAAAUCUCUGGUGUUGAAAACAAUGAGGUUUGAGGUUCAAGCUUGAAUAUCAAGUUACAAUUAGUAGAUGGUCUUAGGACAAAUCAAAGAUUUCUUUAAAGACAAAAUAAUAAUUACAAGCAAUAGGAAUUUAUGGUAUUCAGAACAUGUAACCUUCGCACAUGAAGCUUGAAUCCAGAACAAGAAUCACAAGAUGCAGCUAGCCAAUCCUUCCAACUUCCAAAACCCCACAAAAUCUCUGUCAACAUGUCUGCUCUACUUCAAUAUUAAGCACAUUCAUAGCGGUAUCAACAGCUUACAGCUCCAAAAUAUUUUCCCCAAAAAGAGUGAGAGAUUUCACUGAAGCUAAGUUGUGACUUGUGACUUGUGAGGCCAUCUUUUUUUAUAGUAAUCGUACGCCUCUAAUGCUUUGCCAAGUGUCCAUUGAUAAUAUCACAAGGGCAAUUAAAUUGGUGUAUGUGUAUUACACCUCCUAAAGUCAUGUUAAGAUAGUUAGUGAGCCGAUAAAGUUUGUUGCACGUGUGAGUUGGUUAAGUCUGCUAGAAUUGUAAACAUGUAAAGCUGAGUCAGCAAGUUAGUUAAGGUUAUUAUGAAUGCUUAGAUUCAGCUAGUUAGUUAAGGUUAUUAUGAAUGCUUAGAUUCAGCAAGUUAUGGUGUUGAAAAUGCUGUUGGUGAAAGCUCAGCUGAUAGAUGUCAGGAGAAUCCAGCCUUUGUUGCUUGGAAAAGGUAGGAUCAAUUGUUAUUAAGUUGGCUCAUGUCCUCCAUCAGUGUUGAGAUACUUAGUCUUGUGGUAAAUUCUGAUUCUUCUCAUAAACUUUGGACUAAUCUUGAAGAAAAUUUUUGGAUUAGAAACUAUGGCUAAGAAAGCACACUUAAAAAUGAUGUUAAGCAAUCUCAGAAAGGGAUCAAUGACAAUAACUGAGUAUUUUGCCAAACUUAGAGCUGUAACUAAUAAACUUGCUCUAACUGGUAGCCCUGUUUCUACUCUAGACUUUAUUACUCAUCUAAUCUCUAGAUUAGGCCAGCCAUACUACCCUGUUGUUUUGUAUAUUGAAGCUAAUAUGAUGAAAAUAUUUGUCAAUGAAGCCUACUCUAUGCUUUUAACUCAUGAAGCAAGAAUUAAAUUUAAUCAUCCGAGUGCAAAUAAAGAAGCAAAGUUGAAUUAUGCUGCUAACAUAGCUUAGGCUGGACCUAGUAAUAACAAUAAGAAGUCUAGUAAUCAAGCUAAUUACUAUCAGGGCAACCAAGGUAACUGGAAUAGAAAUGCUAAUUGGUGUGGUAACAAUGGAGGAAGAGGUGGCUUUGGCAGAGGUUUUUCAGGGCAAGGAAGGAGUAAUUAGAAUAAUGGUGGUCAUUGGAACAAUGGACCUUGGAGUAGUAGUCGAGCAGGUUAUAAUUGUUCUGAUAUAAACAUUAUGACAUGGUUGUUGGUGAACCUGUAAACAUAACCACAAAAGUAAGAAGACAUAAUCUUUUUAUAAGAAACUCAAAAAUGUAUUAAUGAUGAAAAUUUUAAAACAGAUAGUGGACCAGCUGUUCACUAAGAAAACAAAAAAUUGAAUAUUAGUGCUAUAAAAAGGCACACCCAAUCUCACCCCUAUAAAAGGCUAGAAUCAGCUACAAAUCCCUAUCUCAAAACCCCAUCCCAGUUUUAGAUGAAUGAAGAAAAAAGAUGAAUCUUGAAACUCCUUAGAAACUGAAGCCCAAAGUGAAGCAAGAAGAUGAACUCUAUCCCAAGCAAGCAAUAUGGCAUAUUUCUCCAUUAAUGGUUCAAAUAAAGUGAAUGGCUUUCUCUGAUGAAUGGGAAUUGUCAAGAUCAAUAGUCAAACUCACGCAAAGUAAACGGACUUAAUUCUCAGAGGCUACUCAUUCUAAGUCUUAAGUCUUAAAGAAAAUUUUUCUAAUUUCUAAAGAUUAUAUGGGGAAAAAUCAUUAUUUUCUAACAUGGAAAAUUUGAUACGGUGUUUAAUGUCCGAUCACAAUCAUAAUAUGAGUACUAACAAAAACAUCUUUAAUCGGCAUGGUGCGAGUAAAACACCAUCACUUCAUCUUUGAUGGAAAGAUGAUAAUAUAAGGAGAUGGUGAAAUGGUUUUAGUCCCUGGUAGCUUGUAAUUAAAAGAAAACAAAAAACUACACUAUUAUUAAUGAUUACCGAAGCUACAGAAGUAUCAAAAUCGGAAAGCAAACAAUUGCAAAACACAUCAAUGACUGGAGGUUAGGUUCUAAAACUUCCGCAUUUAAUUUUCAGAGCAUGUUAUGUAUUAUUCAAAAAUAUGCUUUCACUUCAGGCACUUGACCAAGACGCAUUAAACAUAAAACGCGGCGUUUUCAUGGACUAGUACAUUCCAUGCUUCGAAAGUUUAUGUUUUAGACUGAUUGGUUUGAUACAUUAUUUGUUUAUUGCGUUUUUCUUGCUUUAAAUAUUAUGUUGGAUUGAUAAGUUUUGUACACAUUUUAUAUUGCUCGCACUAAAUAAUUUAUGACAUUUAAAAAACUAUCAACCGUCUAUCAAAAGAUUUCUACUAUAAAUAUAUAUACACAAAAAACUUUUAAUUUGGUCAAUUUGUUCUCUUAUUUAUUUUUGUUCUAUUUCUCUUUUCCUUUCCUUUCAUUUUAUUGUUUUACGGUACAAAAUAAAAAAAAUAACCUUAAAAUUUAAGAGUAAAAUACUCAUUUUACUAAAAUUCCAUUUAAUAUUAUAAAGCUGUCAAAUGUCAAUGGCGUAGAACACGAGUGAUACAAAUUAAAAACAAUAAAUUGAAAGUUUUUAUGCAUUUUCCUUUUAUUUUUUUUUAUAGUCGAUUGAGAUUUCCCUUUAUAUUUUUAAAUUCAAUAGGUUUAGACCGUUUAAAAAAUCUUAAAUUAAAAAAACCCGCAGUGUAAUAACAAACUCACAUCAAACCCUGUACACUGUCAUCCCUAAUUAUAUUUACCACUUCAUACUCACAGUGAUAAUAACUGUGUAUCACAAUUGAUUUUGCAUACGGGUAAAAGUUCCAAGUCCGGAUAUUUAGUUAAUGAAAUUUGAUGAAAAGGGCAUGAAAGAAAAUAAGAAAUUAAAUAAUACAGGAGGAAUUAAUCAUUACAUCUUUAGUUAAUGAAAAUUGAUGAAAAUAUUUCUGCAGACGUGAGCCGUAAUUAUAUUACCGCUAAGAAUGAAGCAGAAGAGUUUCCCCAAACAAGCUAAAACACAGCACUUUAAUUUAAAGAAUUUUUAUAUCACAGUACCGGUGCAAAAAGUUUAAUGCAACAACAUACAUUAAGUUAAUUCCAUAAUCUAUCCCCAAAGAAAGACAAACACAAGCUUAUAAGAUUAAAACUUUGGAAAACAUUAAAGAGUGAGACAAAAUUGUGUAAUCUUCAGAGUUUGGAGCCUAGUUCAUCCAGGAAAGCAAAAGAAAUAAUAAUAAUAAUAAUAGUGGUGGUUUGAUCUCAAAAGGUGGCAUCAAAGUGGUAACUUUGAGGUAUUGGAAGCAAUAACGUCUUCAACUUUGUCCUGAUUUCAAAGUCCCUUAAACCCAUCCGCCAUCAAUGGAUUGAAUGCUUCCAUUCAACCCAUCAUCCACAAAAUCACCAACCCGUUUCACCUUCAUCUCCUUGGGCUUAACAGGGUACUUUCCAGAGAAGCAAGCAAAACAAAAAUUCCGAGAAUCAUCGCCUAACAACUAGUUCAAGCUGUCAAUCGGCAGAAAAGCAAGCGAAUCACACCCAAUAAACUCCCUGAUUUCCUCAACGCUCAUCCUGUUGGAAAUAAACUCCUCAGUACUUGUCUACUCCGUAGUAACAAGAAGCUAUGAUUGGUGGGCUUGCAAUUCUCAUGUGAACCUCUUUAGCUCCAGCCUCCUUAAGCAACCUAACAAUUUUUGAUGAAGUUGUUUCUCACACUAUCGAAUCAUCCACAACCACAACUCUCUUUCCCUCCAACCACAACCUUACAGGAGAGAGCUUAAGCUUGACACCAAAGUCCCUAAUUUUCUGGGAAGGCUCAAUGAAAGUUCUCCCAACAUAAUGUGACCUUAUCAACCCUUGUUGAAAUGGCACCCCGGCUUUCGCAGCGUACUCAAGUGCAGCCACCACUCCAGAAUCUGGUACUGCAAUCACAACAUCACACUCAACAGGAGCCUGGGUAGCAAGUACUUCCCCAAAAUGAUACCUCGAUUCAUAAACAGACCUUCCAAAAACAACAGAAUUAGGCAAAGCAAAAUAAAUAUGCUCAAAGAUGCACUGCUUAGGUUCAGGGUGAGGCAUCAAACAAGGUGAUUGAACCCCAUCUUCAUCCACCAUCAAAACUUCACCGGGAUAUACCUCUCUCUCUCUCUCUCUCUCGUAUGUGGCCUCAAUCAAAUAGUGCACAAGUCUCUGACGCAAAAACCAGAGCACCAUUACUCCUCCUACCCAUCACCAAUGGCAUAAACCCAUACGGGUCACGAACCGCAACAAGCUUAUCCUCAGUAACAAACACCAUUGAAUAAGCACCCUCAAGCUUCUCACAAACAUCCAAAAUCCUCAAAAAGAACGGCCUAGCUUUCGAUAUCGGAAUCAAAUGGAGAACAACCACAGUAUCAGAACUAGUAUUGAAAAUGGAUCCAUUAUCUUCAAGCUUAGCCCUCAAAGUAUUAUAAUUAACUAAUGUGCAACACCAACAGAACCAAACCUGUACCCAGCAACAAAAGGCUGCACAUUCUUAAGCAUAGAACUACCCGCUCAAAGAAAAAACAGAGGAGGUGUGUGGAGGGAGACAGUGGCGAAGGGUACUUUAAGUAGAGGGGAACUUGUUCUAGGUUUUUUUCUGGAAUUGUGAGGAAAUCUGAUCCUGUGUUCAUGCAUAUGAUUCAAUUACUUAUAGGUGAUAUUGUUGUGUCACCACAAAAUCUAAUUGGGAAGCUUCAGCUGUCAAUUCUUUUCUGAAAGAAAUUGAGAGAAAAUAUUGUUUGGUUGCUGAGAAAAUAUCUCAGAAAAUUCUCUAACAGCCCCCCUCAAACUCAAAGGACAAGAGUGAACAUUGAGUUUGGCCCUCAAGUAAUUAAACUGUAUGAAGGAAAGAGGUUUAGUCAUUAUGUCUGCAACUUGAUCUGCACUUGCUAUAUAUUGAAUGCUGAGCUCCUUAUUAAGAACCUUGUUGCGAAUAAAGUGUAUGUCAAUCUCAAUGUGUUUUGUUCUGGAAUGGUAAACUGGGUUCUUGGCCAAUUCAGCUGUACUAAUGUUAUCACACCAAAUAAUAGGUUUAGCUGUGCAGCAUACUCCAACUUCAGCAAACAAGGACUACAACCAAGUUAAUUCUGCACUAGCUGAUGCUAAUGCCCUGUACUCACUCUCGGCACUUGACCUAGCUAUUACUCCUUGCUUUUUAGAAGACCAUGAUAUAAGAUUAUUACCCAGGUAGAUACAAUAUGCACUCACUGAUUUCCUGUCAUCUAAAUCACAUGCCCAAUCAGCAUCUGUAAAUCCAGUAAGCUCCAUAUUGCCUUCUUUGAUGAACUUUAAACCAUAGUCCUGAGUGGCCUUUAGAUAUCUUAAAACCCUUUUACAUGCCAUGAGAUGCUGUAGUGUAGGAGCAGAUACAUACUGACUGAGUUUGUUAACUGCAAAAGCAAUCUCAGGUCUUGUCAAAACCAGAUACUGCAUGCUUCCAACAAUGCUUCUAUCUGCUGUACCGUACAUCCGCCUUGGCCGUACAGCAGGAACUGAACACGCUGAACAAAGCAUUUUUUUUUUUUUUGGAUUUUUGGAAUUUUCCAAGAUAUCAUCCACAUAUAUCAACACAAGAAUCAUGGAAGUAUGACUCCUUUUCAAAAACAGAGAUGUAUCAGAAGUAGUAUUAGUGAAUCCCCACUGCAGCAAGCAACUCUUAAGUUUAUCAUACCAAGCUCGAGGAGCUUGUUUAAGUCCAUAAAGAUACUUGUGCAAUUUACACACAUAACCAGGCUUUGUGUUGUCAAUAAAACCUGUUGGCUGAGACAUAUAAACUUCUUCUGUCAAAUCCCCAUUGAGAAAUGCAUUAUUGACAUCAACUUGUCUAAUUUUCCAUUUGUUCAUCACUGCUAAGCUUAAUACCACUCUGAUAGUUGCUGGUUUAAUAACUGGACUAAAAGUUUCAAAGUAGUUUACCCCUGCAAUUUGUUGAAAACCUUUGGCAACAAGCCUAGCUUUGUAUUUGGCUACACUCCCAUCAGUGUUGUAUUUAAUCCUAUACACCCACUUAUUAUCCACAAUCUGUUGAUCAGUCUCUUUAGGAACCAGAGACCAAGUAUUAUUGUGAACUAAGGCAUCAUACUCAUCUUGCAUAGCCUUCACCCAUCUGGAAUCACUCAAAGCUUCUUGCACUGAAUCUGUUUCUUUGUGAGUGAGAAUGGCUGCAUACACUUUUGGUUUAAAAAUGCCAGAUUUGCUUCUGGUGGUCAUAGGAUGAAUGUUGGAUUGUAUUUGAGGUAAGUCAACAGUAGGAGUUAAUGAUGUUGUAUUAUCAGAAGCAGAGGCAGAUAAGAAAUGUUGUGUAUUAACAGGUAGAUGAGUUUGAGAACUUACUUGCUGUGAAUUUUGAUCAUUUGUUGGUUGUGCAGGAUUUUCUAAGUGAGUUGAGUUGCUGCUGUCAGGGUUUGCAGAUAAGGAAUAACCAGUGCUAUUUUCAGUAAAUGAUUGAACAACAGGCAAAGUGGAAAGAUGAUAUAUUUGCUGAGGAGAAAAGGAAGUAGAAGAAAGAGGUGAUGAUGAUGACUCAGUGAAACAAUGAAAGCUAGAAUCAGUAGAGUAAGGAAAAGUGAGUUCAUCAAAUGUGACAUGUCUUGCUAUGUAAAGAUGACCUGAAGGAUGUAAGCACUUGUAACCUUUGUGUGAUGAACUAUAUCCUAGAAAGAUACAUUUGCUGGAAUGAUAGUCAAAUUUGUGUUGGUUAUAAUCCCUCAAGUAAGGAUAGAAUGCACAACCAAAACACUUAAGCAUAUCAUAGUUGGGUUGGUGUUUGAAAAGUUUCUCAUAGGGAGACAAAAGUUUGAGAACAACAGAAGGCAAUCUAUUUAUGAUGUACACAGCUGUAUGAAAUGCUUCCCACCAAAAUUUAAAAGGUAAUUUAGAUUGAGCUAGCAGUGUAAGUCCCAUUUCAACAAUAUGCCUAUGUUUUCUUUCAACCAAUCCAUUUUGAUGAUGAGUGUAUGGGCAUGAGUGUCUAAAAAUGAUACCACACUGAUUUAAGAACUCAGUGAAAGGUCUGUACUCACCCCCCCCAAUCAGAUUGUAACUGCUUAAUGGUGGUUUGAAACUGAUUUUCAACCUGUGUUUUGAAAAGCUUAAAGACACUUAGAGCUUCAGACUUAAACUUUAGAGGGUAGAUCCAGGUAAACCUGCUAAAAUCAUCCACAAAACUGAUAUAAUAGUGAUAUCCAUCUCUAGUGUAGACAGGUGAAGGACCCCAGAGAUCUGUAUGUAUCAGUUCUAAAAACUUAGUUGUUUUGGUUGUGGAUGAAGGGAAAUGAAGCUUAUGGCCUUUGCCCAUUUGACAAGCUUCACAGAUGUAUUGCAGUGCUUGUGUUAUUUGAUUAUCAGAAAAAUUUGCAGACUUGAUGUUUUUGAGAACAUGCUUUAAGAUAUAUUGAUUGGGAUGACCAAAUCUAUUAUGAAACAAAGCAAUCUUAUUCACUGAUGUUGUACAAGAUAAUGCAGUAGAUGAAUAACAAGAUUUUGAAUUAAAAUGAAAACAUGACAGCAUUGACAUUGGCUUAUUUGAACUGAUCUGAGAUAGAAAAGAUGAUUUAGAGAAUGAGUAUGGUUUGAAUAACAGCCUGUAUAAUCCUCUUUCAGCAAUACCCUGCAGCAGAACUUCCCCCUUCAGAGCAUCCUUCACAUAACAUAUAUUUCCAAGAAAUUCAACAGACAAAUGGUUAUCAGAUGUGAGUUUAGAAAUACUCAAUAAAUUUUUGGUAAUUGAAGGGACAAGAAGAAUAUCUUUCAGUACUAUGUGUGGGUAUUUGUGUUGAGCAAAUGAAGUUUUAAAAAAAAAUUUUGCAUCACCAACAUGAGUUAUGGGCAAACCUUGUCCAUUUCCAAUGAUAAGCUGAUCAGAACCAUUGAAUUCCUCUCUGACCUGCAUAUUAGCCAUGUUGUUGGUUAAGUGAUGAGUUGCUCCACUAUCAAGAUACCACCCUUCAUCAGCAGGCCCUUCAAAAUUUCCAAGAUAAGCAGCUCCAGUAGCUCCAGGUGCAGAAGACAUUUCAGAUGAACAAUGAGGCAUAGAAGAAUAUGUCACUGGAUCCAGAUUGUAAGACUGAUAAUUUGAGCAGUUCAUAGCAUAAGGAUCAUCAAAAUAUGGUGCAAACUCAGCAUGUGAGUCACAUGUAGUCAUAUAAGCUGACUUAGGUCCUCUUCCUCUGCCAAAAUGCCUUGACUGUGGCACAUAAUUCUCAAUAUAUCUAUGCCAACAAGCAUCAGCUGUGUGCCCUGACUUAUGACAUAUCUGACAAACAGGAAUGUUAUCAUCUGAUUCAGCUCCAGCUGACACAAAACCUUGACCAUGAAGCUUAGGAUGUGAUAAGACUUUGUGAAACUGCAUUGGCAUAGAGUUGCCUCUUCCAAAAUUAUGACCAAUGUUAUUAAAGCCUCUAGGAUAUGUAUUAAACAUCAUUCCUCUUCCAGCAUUUCUGUUUCCAUUAUGAAUUUGUCCACGAUAUCCUCCAUAACCAAAACCUCAUCUUCUAUUAUUCCCUCUGACUUGAGAAUAAUUGGAAUUCAUCACUCCAUAGUUAGCAUUGAACAUGACUUUAGUAUUCUGAGUGGUCUGACUUUGUUCUAAUCGUGCCUCAUGUGUUAACAGUAAGGCAUAAGCAUCAUCAUAAGACAUCUUAUUAGCUGUGAUAAUAGAUGCAAGAUCUAGAUAACCAGUCCCUAAUCCAUUUAGAACUUGCAUUAACAGAUCCCUUUCUGACAUAGGACUACCAGCACAGGCAAGUUUAUCAGCUAAUAUUUUGACUUUUAAGCAAUAUUCUUCAACAGACAUGGAUUCCUUUCCAAGUACAUUCAAUUCAUAACGAAGUUGCAUUAUUUUAGCUUCAGACUGAGCUCCAAAUUGUUUCUCAAUAGAUCUCCAAGCAUCUCGUGAAUUGUCACAAUUAAGAAUAGAACUGAGAAUAUCUUCAUUAACUGAUGAUAACAGCCAGCCAAGUAGUAUUUGAUCCUGAGCUCUCCAAUUUAUGUAUGCUGGAUUAUCUACUUUCUGCACUGAUCCAUCAACUGUUGUUUGAAUGAUAUGUUGCUCUGGUAUGAUCUGAUUUUCAGAUAUGAAAUCUUCAAGCCGAUUUCCUCUGAUUGAUGUAAGAACUUGUUUUCUCCAGAUUAGGAAAUUAGAUCGAUCUAGUUUUAUUGGAUUACUAAAUGAGAAUGAGAUCUGUGAAGUUUGAUUUGCAUUUGUUGAAUUUGAAAGUGUUGUUAUGUUGCUGGAACUAGCCAUAUUGGCUCUGAUACCAUGAAAGAAAUUGAGAGAAAAUAUUGUUUGGUUGCUGAGAAAAUAUCUCAGAAAAUUUCCAGAGAACUUUCGGAUUUCUUGUAUUUAUUUUUCUUAGAAAGAAAUGUUAUGAUUACAACUUAUUUAUACUUAAAGCUCAAGGAGUACUAAAGCUAAUGACUAACUAAUUCAGUAGGAUCUACACAUGCAUAACCACAGCUCGAUAUACAGAGUAAUCACACCAGACUGUUAACUACUUAAGCUGAGGUGGCAGCUGAGCUGUCAUUCUGCUUACAUUCAUCUGACGUCACCAGCUUGCUGGUUUUCCUUAGCUUGUGCAGCUUCCUCUUUUCUGCACAAUGAGCAUCUCUAACAUUUUCCAAGGGUUAAUUAGGUAGAACUUUCAUGUCGUCGAAUUUAUUUGGAGAUACUUUAGAUUUUUUUUCCUUGUGGGACAUGAAAAUUGAUGCAUGUUCCAAUGCAUUGCUCCUACCAUAUUUGGAAUUAAACUUAGUUUGUGUUCUCCUAUUCCGAAAGCAAAACUUAUACUUACUGUAUAAGUGAUAUUCUAAUAAGUAGAAAUUAAGAACCAUAACAAACUUGAUGAUUCUAAUUUGCUAGAAAUAUUGCAAUCCAAAACUAAGAAAGUUCAAACCAAUUAUUAGAAGAAAAAAGUAGGACGGAAGCUCCCAUAAUAUUGUUAUGUGUUGUAUGUUUUCAGUUUGUAUUUCCCAAUCAAUAAGGAAAAGUAAGUACACAUGUUACAAAAAUUUAAUAAAAAAGAUUGGAGGUGACAAAACCUUCAAUCUUCUAAUUAACUUUCUCUGCAUUGGAAUUUCCUUAGUUUGGUAGAGAUUGCUUAAUUGGUGUAUCUAUUAUAAACACUGUAAGUCAAAGUUACUGUUUUAAUUGUUAAGAAAAGUUAGAAGAAGAAAUUUUUGCAUAAGAGAAUUGGGUUUAAAUUGAGAAUUCUUUAGGAGGAAAUGAGUCUAAAUUCUAACACGAUAAUUUAGCACUAUAUAUAUAUCAUUAAUUGGGUGAAAAAUUAGGGUACCCGUAUGCCUAUGUUGUAACAGUUGUAAGGUACCACUAAUUUUUGUCUUUUGUGAUGUCAAAUUUCAUUUAAUCUCUUUUUUUUAUUUAUAGUUUAUUUAUAACGUUACGUGUUUUGGCAUGUGACUUUUAAAAUAUAAUUUUAUUUUAUUUAAAAUUAUUUAUUUUUUUAUAAUUUAUUUAUAAGUUUAUGUGGUUUGGCUGAUGAUCUAUUCAAAUGUAAUUUUAUUUCAUUUAAUAUUAUUUAACUUCUAAAAGAACAAAUAUAACAAUAAGCCUUUAACUAGAUAAUAUUAACUAAUAUUUUUAAUAAAAUAAAAUAUUAAAAAUAUAUUCUUUUAAAUAAAAUAAAUAAUAUUAAAAAAUAAUAUUUAUUUUUUAGGACUCACAAUUGCUUAUUCUAUUUUAUUUAAUAUUAUUUAAUUUUGAAAAAUAAAUAUAAUAAUAAGCUAUGACUAAAUAAUAUUAAAUAAAAUAAAAUAAAUAUUAUUAAAAAUAAUAUUGAUUUUUUGAGACUCAUUACUGAUUAUUUCAUUUUAUUUAAAAUUAUUUAGUUUCAUGAAAGAAUAAAUAUAAUAAUAAGUCUAUGACUAUAUAACGUUAAAUAAAAUCAUAUAAAUAAUAUUAAAAAAUAUUCUGCUGUACGGCCAAGGCGGAUGUACGGUACAGCAGUUUUUUUUUCCUGCAAUCGCCGAAUNNNNNNNNNNNNNNNNNNNNNNNNNNNNNNNNNNNNNNNNNNNNNNNNNNNNNNNNNNNNNNNNNNNNNNNNNNNNNNNNNNNNNNNNNNNNNNNNNNNNNNNNNNNNNNNNNNNNNNNNNNNNNNNNNNNNNNNNNNNNNNNNNNACCGUACAUCCGCCUUGGCCGUACAGCAGAUAUUAAGUACAACAAUAAGUUUAUGUACGGUACAGCAGAAAUGAAAUGAGAAUAAAUAAUAUUAAAUAAUAUUUUUAAUAAAUAAAUGAUAUUAAAAAUUAAUUUUUUAAAUAAAAUAUAUAAUAUUAAAAUAAAAUUUAUUUUUUAAGACUCACUACUAAUUAAUCAACAUAAAAUUUUAAACAAUUUGGACUUAUGUGAUAAAAGUUUUAAUUCUUUAGCUCUUUUGCGUUUUUGAUAAAAAGCAGGGAGCAUAAUGUUAAUAUUCAAAUAAACAAAUCUCUACCCUUCAAUCUAUCUUUUCAUUAAAUCCAAUGAUCAAGAAUUGAAAUCAUAAAAAAUAAAAUUAGGUGGUACCUUGCAACUGUUGCAAGGUAGUUAAGUCCGAAAAAUUAAUUUCCCUCCUUUGAUGUGAUUUUGAUCGUUUAUUUUUAUAUGAUGGUAAUUUCUUGUUUAGAGUGAAGCUAAGGGUGGGUAAGGUUCGGUUCGGAUCGAAAUUAAGUAGAACCGAUUUAAAUCUGUUAUUUUAUAAAAAGAACCGAAUAAGAACUGAAUUCAAUAAGAACCGAACUCAAACGAAUCUUGUUAAAUCGGUUCGGUUCGGUUUUUUCGGUUUUGGGCCUAUUAGGCCUAUUUUGAAUUUCUAAAUUUUUAGCUCAUUUGGCCUCAUGAAUGUCAUAAUUGUUUUCAACAAUUAAUUCAUCCUAAUUUCAUUACAAAUAUUAACAAUAAAUACAAAGUAUUCAAAACACAUUUUAUCACUAAUAUCUUACUAACUACUAAUUAGAUACUGACUACUCACAAAAUAUGAAAUAUUAAGAUUUCAAAAUACAUAACCAAACUCUAAUACUCCAUCUACAUAAACAUAAUGUUGUAAAGACAAAUAAAAAUAACAACAGUGAUUUUGUUCUUCGGUUCGGUUCUUCGGUUCAGUUGAGUGAAUCGAAUACCGAACCAGUAUUUCGUUUUUUUAUAAAUAAUAUAUUUCAGUUUUUUUUUAAAUUAAAACCGAACCAAAUUAGAACCGAAUUGUCGGUUUGGUUCGUUUUUUUAAGAAUACAGUUUUUUUGUCCAGUCCUAAGUGAAGCUAUUGGCACCAUUUCGCUAUAUUUAUAAAAUUCUACUUCAACUAAAAUUACACUUAAAGACAAUAGAAUUAAACAAACAUGUUUUUUUUUUCCAAACAAAUUACUUACAUUCAUAAUUAUUUUUCUUCUAAUUUUCUUCAUGUUGCUUCGUAUCUAAGUAAAAUAAAUUGUAUAAAUUUAGAAUAAUCUAUUAUUCUUUUUAAAUUUCUUAUUGAUUAAAUACUUUUGUGCUUAAGAUUGCUUUAAAAUUAUAAGAUAAAAUAUGUGUAAUUUAAGCCAAUGAUUAACAUUCAAAAUUUUAUCUCUCAGAAACGUUUUUAAUUUGUGUACAGGGUAACAAUAAAAUCGUAAAAGAAAUAAAAAAUAGCAUAACACUACUUUGAGUUUAGAAAACAAGGUUUCAUGAGGGGUGCAAUAGUUCAACUCUUUUGUGUAAAGUUUUAAGAUGAUGGUAUCCGUAGCUUAGUUUUUCCCUAAUUAUUAUAUUAAAAUGUAAUAACAAUGCUGAUCACGCCAAUCUCAUGGAGGUCAAAGAUUUUGGUCAUGCCGCAUGAAUUAGUGCUUUUGGUUGGCAAAUACUUGUAUAAAUUUAUUUACAUUAAAUAAUUUGACCAAGACUACGUAAGGCGCCGCCUGGAGACUGGAGUCAUCGUAUUUUAUACGUCAAAAGCGCGUUUCAGUUCAAUAAGCCAUAAAUGUCGUUUAAUAUGCUCAUUUUGUACUUUUUUUUAAUAAAAAAAUUAUUUAUUUUUUAAAAAUAUUGUUUAUUUUUUUUUAAAGGUAAAGAGGUGGGUAAAAUCUAAAUUCAAUUUUUAUCCCUAAGAUUUGAACUCAGGUGAAUAGCCAAAUGUAUAAUAACAUGUAUUUCGAAUUUAAUUUUAAAUGAUAUGCAAUUCGUUAAGUGAUUGUUAAUUUUUUAUAAGAUCAAAAUGAAUUAAUUGUAUUAUCUCAUUAACUAAUUGAUAAGUGCCCUAUUAUUUGGGAUAACUUUUGAAUAAAAAAAUUGUGAUGGAUGAAAUAUUCUUUUGAGAAUUUAUUGACUUAUCUCAUUUAUGACUUAUUGUUGCAUUUAAGUGAUUUUGCAAAUAAUAUUAUUGUUUUGACAAGUAAGUUUGGAGUAAAUAAUACAUAUGGCAAGUGUUAGGUUUGUUAUUGCAUAUAUUUUGUGGAUCCAUUUUAAAGCCAAAAAAAAGGCAUUUCUAUUCAUUAUGAUCCCAGAUAAUUUCAAGCCAUAUGUCAUUAUUGGGAUAAAAAUAAAGUAAAAUGGUUAAAACUAUUUUUAUGUAAUUUAUAAAAAUUAAUGAAGCAACUACAAAAAUUUUUAACCGAAAAACAAUUGAAAUGUGUGUGGAAAAAGAAGAAAAAAAUAAGGCAUUUAAAUAUCUUCUUAAAAAAUACGAUUGAGUAAAAUCAUUUUAACAGAAUGCUCUUCCAAAUACAAUUCCACAUUUUUUUUUAUUGCAGUGGGAUAUUCCAAAAUUGGCACAACUCAUUAAGAAUUCGGCAACUCAAAUUUUAUUUAUCACUCUAUGCAUUUGAGAAAUUAAAAAGAAAAAAAAUUCAUAUAUCUUCUGUUCAAAAGAAACCUUGGUAAAUAUUGUAAAACAAAUUACCAAUUUUUUUAAUUUAUGCCAUUAUAUCGUCGCUAUUUUCUCGCCCACUUUCUUAAAAUAGAAUCAAUAUUCAUUGAUGGGUUGGGUUCCAGAGUAAGCACCAAUUCAGUAAAAUGGUUUUAUAGCAGAAAAAGCACUUGUAAGACAUUCAGGACACAUUUUUCAAUUUUGUCUUUUGAAAAUGAGUCUUGAGUUUCCGCAAGCCAAGAAGAAUGGCUAAAAAAUGUAUGGUAUCAAAGAAAGAGAAACACACACACAUAGAAACACACACACACACAGAGAUUAGUGGGGAGAUAUAUAUAUAUAUGUGUGUAAUUUGUAUAUAUAUCCCCAUUAAUUGUUGAUAGUCCAACGGGUGAGUAUAUGCAAAAGGAAAAAAUUGGCUGUCCUUUAAGACAAGAUUGACUGUCACAUGAAAAUGUUAGCACACUUGCCACGCAACAAAAAUAAAGAUUCCAAGAACAACUUUAUGGUCCCCUUUCUAAUGACGGGAUUAGUAGUAGCUGCAAAUUCAUAAAUUUCAUUUAUGAGUUUAUAAAAUCUCACUUCACAAAAUCCAAAAAUAACCAAUACUAUCACACCAAAAGUAAAAAUUAUUGCUGUCACGACAUUACACACUUUCUUUGCUAUCUAGAAAGCUAUAACAUUUGGAAGUUCUUCAAUACAAAAUGCAUACUACUACUAAAUUGGCCCAAUUAGUGCCCAUCGAAAAGGCCAUCAAUUUAGCCACCAAAUUUGCCAAAGUUUUAACAAUUGAAGAAACAAUGAACGCAAAAGGAAUAGGUAAAUUUUAAAGUUGAACAAACCUUGAAAUACAUACAACAAAACCUUGAAACUUUAGUCUUCACAAUUUAAGCACGCAAUAAUAUUAAGUAUCCACCUGGAAAACAAGUAUAGAACAAAGCUUGUUAGCUUCUUGGGCAUUAACUAUGAAUGAUGAGUAAAAUUAAAAAAGCAAACAGAGAAAAUUAUGACAAGAAGAAAAGCAAACAUUUAAAAAAAAAAUACUAGUAGGAAAAUUUUGGUAAAACUCCAUGGCUUAUCUGCAAAAUUAAUGUUAAUGUGUAUUUUUAUGCAAACAGGGUCUCUUGAUUUGAGGAUGAAUCAAUCCGCUAUCACAAACGAAAACAUGAACCAACCAUAUAUAGAGUCAAUUAAUUAAAGUUCUCAAGAGCUUACCUCUGCUCUAGAAUUCUCGGAAUCAUCUAACUCCUUCUGAAUUUGCACGAAACUUUGGACAAUCAUGAACUUCUUUAUAGAAUCCAGAUGGAAAUGGGAUCUGAUAACCUGCAGGCCAAAAGUUGGUGAGGUUUGGUAAAUCUCUCAGUGUCAAGUCCCGAAGUUCAUUCAUAACAAUUUCAUAGUAAUCCGUGACAUCUGCUCCACCUUUAUGCCAAAAUACUUCUUUUAUUUCAUCAUUAGCUUCUAUGGAUAUGUACUUCAGUUUUUGAAGACUUGGAGCUAUGCUGAUAUGAAAUAGAUGCCUUAGUUUGUGGCAAUAACGGACAUAGAUCGAUUUGAGUUUUGGGAAACAUACAGGUUGGAGAUUAUUCUCAUCCUCAUCCUCAUCAAUGAUUUGCUCUAAUUCCCAGCAACGCCAAAUACGUAACACCUCCAAUUGCAACAGAUUUCGAGCAAGUGUUGAUGAGAGGAGACAUCUCAGCGUAGAGCACCCGUUCACGAUUAAAUGGGUAAGAUUUUGCAGGCUAAAAUUAUGCGUGGGACCUUCGUGAUAUAAUACUUGCAGUUCUUGAAGAUCUUCCAAUUCCAACAUCUUCAAACAUGGGAAUAAUUUGUUUUCUUGUACCUCAGCGAUAAUAGCUUCCAAUUGAAAUACCACCUGUACUCCAAGUUGGCUAAUACCCAAAUAUUCCAAAUUUUUUAAGCCGUGCUUCAAUAGUGCUAGAAUCGUGUCACUUAAAUGGAAACAAUCGUCCACAUUUAGAACUUUUAAGUUCUGAUACAAACAAAUAGGUUAGUUGAUAUAAUUAAAAUCUAUUAGCAGCUAGGAUUAUCACAUGAUAAGUGAUGAACCCCGCAAAAAAAAAAAAAAACAGAGACAAAAUCCAUGCAAAAAUAUAAUAAUACAUAUGUAAACAAAUAAAAUAAUUAAAAAGUAAUGGAAUUUUUUUUAAAUGAAAUUAGUUAAAAGAGAUCAUGUGAAGUGAUAUAAAGGUGACAUUAGAUUGUUUGAGAAAAAUUAGUAUUCUAUUAAUUUCUAUGGCUUGAUCAACUAAUUAAUUGAAUUUGAGUAAUAUUAUAUACACUUCAGAAGUGUUUACGUCAAUUCUUUCUAAACCAAAAUGAGAUAUAACUUUCAUUUGAAGAAUAAUUUUAGGCCCUAUAAUAAAGAAAUUUCCCUAAGAUAUCUGAGCAUUAUUAUUAUCAUUACCACAUCCACCACCACCAUCAUCAUCUCCAUAGGAUCAAAUAAUUAAUGGCUGGUAUAAAAUUUAUUGCUAAACUAUCAUUUUGACUAAAAAUUGAAGGAAAAGAAGAAACAUGAACCCAAACAAACAUACCUCUUCAAGAUACUGCAAAUUGGCUUCAAGUUCAGUACUGUUGACGGUCAAGUUGGGACAGUGCUCAAGGUAUAACUCCUCCAACGCUGGCCAAAUUGAAAAAUAAUCUUCUGAACAAAAGCUGAUGAGUUCUGGGAGAUCAUCAAGUAUUAAUUUCUCAACAAAGGGAGGGCAAGCAUCGUAUUUCCAUCUCCGACACUUAUUUCCCCUUCAUUGUGAUCAAACUUUGCUUCGACAAUACAUUCUAGUCUUUCGCAUUCCCUUACAUAGAGACGUUUAAGCUGCUCCAAACUUCGAGCUUGUGACAACGUGAAGAUAUAUGUCAAAGUAUUGCAGCUAUGCACAUUCAAUUCUGUAAGAGUUUGGAGGCUGAUAACAUGGAGAGCGGGCGCCUUCCAUAUCCACUUCAGUUCUGGUAAUUGCUGCAUAGAUAACUCCACUAAUCUUGAGAGCACCUCAUGAUUCCCACUCUUUCCAUGCAGCGACUGAGAGGCAUCCACUAUGCAUUCUAAAUUCUCACAAUUGUUGACAAAUAGACGAGUCAACUCAUUUAAGCCCCUUUCAUCUAUGCUUGGCACAAUAUUAUGACAACCUAUUAACCCCCUCAAACGAAGAAAUUCCAGAUUUUGAUACAAUGCUGAAAAAAUAACGAGCGAGGUCGCUUCAGGAGGGUCAUUCUCAAUGAUUAAUCUCCUUGUCUCAUCACCAUCUUCCAUUUCAUCAUCAACUCCUUCACCUUUACGGAUGAUGUAUCUUUGCAAUUUCGGAAAUGUAAAGUCUUUUGGAAGACAUACAACAGAUCUGUCGGCUUGGGAGUUCAACUCAGCAAGCCUAGCAUUACUUUCUUCUGAACUCAUCUCUUCAACCUCCCAAUUUUUUAUCCGACCAUAAAAUUCUUCCAAUUGAGGAAAUUUUUUUAUCGUAAUGGGAGAAACAGAACCGGUAUCAAUAUAUAGAAGUUUCAAUCUACGAAGUUCAUCCGACAAUUCUUCAAGAAUUUCAAUGGGAGACCGCUGGAGAUAAAGAAGUUCAAGUCUCUUCAACUUUCCACGAAAAGACACAUCACUCACAUCACACCGAAUCAACUGCAGAACUCGGAGGUUUUUGGCUAGGAAUCGAAGUGAUUUUAGUGAAAGGACUCCAUUUAUUAUAGUAACAACUUUCAAUGCUGGCAUCCCUUUAAAAAAAUUUUCUGGAACUUGCAAUUUGUAGUCACAUAGAGUGUUGUCCAGUCGCAAAAUAUGAAGGUCAGGGCAUGCAAAACUACUAGGAAGCUCUUCUUCUUUAUUUCCCAUUACAGAGAUUCCUUUGCACUGUUCCAGGCCUUUUUCCACCGCCCGUUCCAGCAAUCUGAUGCCAUUUAUACUAAACAAUCUCUCCUCCUUCUCCUUCUUCUCUGUGCUUAUCCAUAUGGCUACAUCACGAACUACGUCAUGCAUUUUCACAGAUCUGUCAUUACCAGUGUCUAACAGCAGUGAAGCAGCUUUGAGUCCGUCAAUUGUUCCAUGCAGUAGGCUUCUGGUGUUCUCUAUUGACUCAGCUUGAUACCAAGUCAACCCUACUGCAUAUCCAACCAAAUCCUCCAAAUUAAUCUCAUAAUCUUCUGGAAAUAGCGAACACAGCAAGAAGCAUAACUUGGAAUUGUCAUCAUUCAAUUUGUCGUAACUAAAUUUGAGACAACCGUAAACAUCUAAGUUCUCCUCAUCAAUACCUUCUAUUGCAUAGAGUUUUGCAGCCUUUAGGUUAUGUAGAGCUAGGUUCCAUUCAUUAAAUCCUUUUCCUCUUAGUGCACUUCCAACAGCUUCAAUAGCUAAAGGCAGCCCCUUACAUUCUCCAGCAACUUCUUUGGAAACAUCAUUCAAGGUGGAGUCAUUUACAUCAAUGCCGGCAUUCCUUUUUAGUAGAGCCAAUCCUUCUUCUGGCGUUAGUGUACCCAGUGGAAUCUGCGAGUCACAAUGCAUGCGUUCACAAACUGACUGCAGGCGAGUAGUUAGAAGGAUUUUGCAGCGAUUGUCUCUAUCACCAAUGGGAAUACCAAAUUUUUCAUUCAAGUUGAGUUCAUUCCAGACAUCAUCGAGGAUUAUGAGGAUCUCAGUGCUUUUACUCGCAGAAAACAUCGAGCGCAGUUGGUCUGCUCCAUCUUUUUCAUCUUUCUGCUCCAAUUCCCAACCUAAUGAAUUUACCAACUCAUUUUGAACAUUUAUUAUGUUUGGAUGCCGAGAUACAGUGGCUAGCCCCACCUUAUCGAAAAUCUUUUGUUGCCGAAGUUGACUGCCCACAAAUUUUGCCAAGGUCGUCUUUCCUACACCACCGAGGCCAUGCAAUCCCACCUUCUUUGUGCUCUCUUUUUUCAGCGCGUCAAUGAUCAGAUUGUAAGCUGAUUCUGUGGUCUUGUAAGUAGAAGAAAAAUAACUUGGUAAACUUAAUUCUCUUUCUAACGGUGGAGGUUUAGCAAGGGCAGCUGUGUUGAUUUGCCUGUAGUAUUGUAGCAGAUCAAACAACUUCCUAGUCUUCUCUAAUGUUUUUCCGCCCAGACUAUAUCGGCAACACCAAUCAGGACACAAUCCAUGAAGACUACUAUCCUUUUCAUCUAUCUCUUCUUUCAACUUUCGAAUAUCGUCCAAUUCCCUGUCUACAUCCUCCAGCCACUCCGUUACAUUUUGAUCGACUACUAUGUCGGGGCGUUUUUGUCGUUUAUCUUCUAUUGUCUUAUUGAUGACAUCUAGUGCCUUCUUCAACUCAGUUUUUUCAUCCUCAAGUUUUUUCACAAUGCGGUCGAAACAGAAUAGAUAGGAAGCUGGUUCUUUGAUUGCAUUCACCAAACAUUUUCCAAUCGGUUCUAAAAGUGGUUUAAAAAUUUCUUUUAAACAGUCUAUUAAACAGUCUUUUAAACAGCCUAUUAUAAUUCCCAUGCUAUUUAUCUGCAAAUAAAAAAGUUGAUCUCAAUACGCUAUAAGCAAAAGAACGAGGCUUGAUCACAAGAUCGAAUGAGGACGUUUAAUUACCUUUUUCUGUUAUGUGAAUGCACGUUUAUUAACACCAGCUUUGAUCAAUAAGAGCAAAAUGCAAACGCCGGGCUUCAAGAGUUUUAAGUGGCCUUUAGCUGCAGAAUAGAAGAUGACAAAUAAGGUAAAACGUUCCCAGCAAACGUGACAUGUGGUGGACUUAAAAUGAUACCUUAUUUGGGAUGAUAAAGAUUGGGGUAAAUUCUCUUUUAUUCUCAAAAUUUUGAACCUAUUAUCAGUUGUAGUAUUUGUAUUUUUAAAAAUUACCUAAAACAUGCAUGUCAUUACUUUCAUAGCUAUUGAACAUAUCAUUUCAAAUAUAAAAUACUAUAAAUUAAAAAUCAAACAAAUCUAUCAUGCAACAAACGAAAGGUAAUUACUAAUAAUUAGGUUUUAAUGGAAACUAAUAUAAAACAUAGAGGUUUUGAGUAAUUUUUGUGAUUUCUUUUAAUGUUCGAUUUAGAAUUGAAUAAUUUGUAUAAGGAAAAUAGACUGCAAAAUAAGUUUAUAUGCCGAACUUAAAAUAGUUUUAUAUUCGUAAUCAUAUAAUUAUCAAAUUUUUUUAAUAAAAUUUAUUUAAAAAUUGACCAAUUGCGUUUCAUGAGGAAACCAGAGAGCAUAAUGGACUUAUGUUGCGACUUGGGAUUGAAAGGCCAGAAGGUAGGACGAUAGGAAAAUUAGUUUUAUUUUUAAAGUAUGGUCAACUGAAGUGACUUGGAGGUGAUUGCCGUUAAUCAAUUAUCUUUAACUUAAGAAUUAUUACAAAUAAAUGGCAAAAAUAAUUUAAUAAAAAUUAGUGUAAAAGGUUACUUUUGACAGACAGGGUUGGAUUAAACUAAUUACUAGGAUUUAACUGAAUUAGAUUGGAUUGAAUUAAACUUGAUUGCAUUAUAUAGUCUUAUAUUUGCUACAGUACCGGAUUAGACUAUGUUAAAUUAUAUUUAAAUAAUAUUAAAUAGCAUUUAAAUUGAUAUUUGAAUAUAAAUAUCAAUUAUUUAUGAAAUUUUAUAAUCGCAAUUAAAAUAAAUUUAAAAAACAAUUAAUAAGAAAAUUAAAAAUAUUGUAAAUAAGUUAUUGGAUCGUCAUAAUAUGAUAAACAAACAAAAUUAAAUAAAACAAAUUAAAUAUUUUAUUAAUUUUUAUAAAAUAUUUAUAAAAUAUUUUAUAAAAUCAAUUAAUUCAUGGUAUUAUUAAUUUUCAUGAUUAUUUUAAUAUUAUAUUAGUGAUUAUCAAAUCUAAUACAGUCAAAUAAUGCAAUAAAUUAUUAAAUGGUUAAUUUUAUUGAAAAAUUAUUAAAUUACAAGUAAUGAAAAUUUAAUCUCAAGAGUUAGUAGAAGUAAAAGUACCAAUUUAAUUAGAUCAUAGAUAAUACAUAAAAAAAUAAAUUUUAAGUAAAUCAUAAUAAAAAAUAAUUAUUCAAUCAAUUAAUAUUAGGUGUAAAUUAAAAAAAUGACAUAAAUAAAAGUGUCAUAAAUUGACAACUUUUUUCUUUAAUCUUAUCGCAGCUAAACCCAUGUGUAAAUUAGGAUUAUUAAUCUCAUAAUUUUAAGAUUAAACUCAAAUUUAGUCCCCCUUAAUCCAAUUAAACUAAACUUGCCAAAUAUGGGAUAAAUAUUUAAUUCCAAAAUUAGUCCAAUCCCAUGCUUAGGGCCAGUCUAGGAAUGUUGUAGCUUUUAAAAUAAUUGUUAUUAGCUGUGCUGUAGAAAUAAUCAACUGUAAAGAGAAUCAGAUAAGUGUUUGAUAAAUUUUGUUUUCAGAAGUACGUUGAGUUUUGAAAUCAGUUAUGAGCAUUUGGUAAAUUUUACUGUUAAAUUACUGAGAGAAAAUAAAUGACUAAAAUGCACAUUAUGUAGGAUAAAAUUUACUUAUACUAAAAAUAUGUACGUAUAAUAUUUUUAAUUGUGUACUAUAAUAAUUUUUACUAAAAAUAAAAUUUAUAAUAUAUUGAUUUUAUUUUUUAUUUCUUUAUCUGAAAACAAUUGAUAAUUAAAUUUAUAAUAUAGUGAAACAAAUUUAAUAAUAAUUCGACCAACAAAUUUAUAUUGAUGAAUUAUAAUAAAAAUUUAUUAAAACAUUGAUUUUGUUUCCAAUUUGAAUAAGGAUAAUUUAGGGUUUAUAUAAUAAUUUUAAGGAUAUUUAUAGAAUUGUAUUAAAAGAUAAAAUUGAUUUUCAAAAUCAGAAUCUAAAAAUUACUCCUUCUCUACUUUUCAAAAUCAAUUGUGUGAGGAGUUAAUUUUGAAAAAAAAAUGAUUUUAAUUUUUUUCACCAAAUACUAAAAUUAACUUUAAAAUUUUUUAAAUUACUUUUAAGCCUCUAAAAAACAAUCCCAAAUGGGCGCUUAAUCCAAGCAUCCAAAAUCGGUCUAAAAAGUUGCACUAAAAACAAGCUCGUAUAGCCAUUGGAAUUAGGUAAAACAAAAAUAAAAUUAAGAGCCUAUGAAACAAUAAUAUCUCAUACCUUCUUCGUUAUAUAUCCUCAAUCACUGCUGAAAGCUCCAGUUAGAGAGUUGCACAAGUUCGGAGAAAACUAAAAGCUGCAUCUAGCAAUAUAAAUAAACAUGAGAUCAAAACAACAUAGGAUAUAUCUAGCUAAUUAACAUCAUAUAUAACUCCUUGUUCUCAGUCAAAUCUUUCAUUCUUAGGAGAUAAAAAAAAAAUUGAAAUAAUAACUGUAAGUGAAAUAGGAUGCAAAAGUAACAUACCAAAACGAGAGCAGCUAGCUCACAUAUCUGGUGACUUCCAAGAGCAUGAAAAAUGAUUGAGGUUUAAUAGCAAGGUCCGAGUCAUGUUUCAUAAGUUGCUAUUGACUUAGUGGCUUCGCUUUUCUUUGUUUUUUUUUUUUUGUUUAUAUAUAUCUUACCCCCUUUACCAAACACCAUUUUAGUAUUUUCUUUAGCAGUCCCUGUAAUUAUCUGUAAAUAAUAAAAACUAUAAGUUUUAAAAAUUUUAUACUAUAAGCCCCAAUUAAAAUAUAAUAAUUUCAAAAUUCUAAAAAGUUUAUUUGGCAUUUUCUUCAACAAUCCCUAUUGUUUUCUAUAAAUAAUAAAAACUAUAAGUUUUAAUACUUUUAUGUAAUAAACCCAAUUAAAAUAUAAUAAUUUUAAAAUUCUAAAAACUUUAUUCUCUCUAUCUCCUUCUCAAUCAAUUUUAAAUUUAAGUUUCAUUCUUUAUAAUUUUAAAUUUAAGUAAUAGAAUAAAUAUUAUAUAAUUUAUUUUUUUAUAUCAAACAAAUAAUAGAUCGGCUUCAUACGUGGGAUAAAGUAUAAGUAAUUUUACAUAAUACAAAAUAGUAUUAUUAAAAUAUAAUUGGAUUUUUUAGUAAAUGGAAGUGGAGAGUAUUUUACCAAGUUAAAAUAAUCCAUCCAUAUUUUUAAUAUAUAAAUAUGUUGUUUACCAAAUUACUUUUGAUAAUAAAAUAUUAAACGGAUCAAUGUGUCAAAAUUUUGACAUUUAAGUUUUUCUUAUUCUUUUAGUAAAAAUAAAGGACCACAUCGUUAAUAAUCAAAUGAUUACAUCGAAGCCUUUACAACUCUUGGGUUGGAAUAGUCUUUACAACUCUUGGUUUGGAUCCAACGGUUGGAUCACAAAAAGACAAAAAUAUAGGUAUAAAAAAACAAUUGCAUUGUAGCUGAACCCAUAUUCUAUAUUAGUGUGAAUUGAAAGGUGGAAAGUGAAAUGGUGCACUUGCCUUCUCACCUAUGAUGAGGGGGUAAUUUUUAGAAACCUUUCGUGAGGUUUAAGGUCACUCGGAUAGACUAUAUUUCGGUACUACCAAAUACCUCCCUGCCCAUUUGUACUCCGUUUAGCAUCUUUUGGUUGGUUGAGGGUAAUUUGGUAAAACUCGUUUAAAAAUAAAAAAUUUCAAAGAAAUUCUAAAAGAAGCUUUGUAUCUGGGGUAUCUCUGGAGUUGUCGUGGCAAUGAGUUUGAAUCUAAAGAUUUUGAUUCUCUUAUUUUAUUUAUUUCCCCUAGGAAUGAAUUUAAGCCUUAUUUUUAUCAGACUCAUUCUUUUUAAAUAAAGGUAGAUAUCUCCCCACAUAUUUGAGGUAUAUUUUUAAAAUUAAUGUUCAAUAUAUCUGUGGAUUGUAUUAUAUUUAUGUCUAAAAUCUCAACAGAUUUCACAAUAUAUAUAUAUAUAUAUAGUAACGUAAUUGAUGAGGGAUCUGUUAAGUUAUCAAAUUAAGCAGGAUUAGCAAAACGAUAAAAAAAAAAAACACAUUAUGAUUGGAAAUAUGGAACUGGAAUUGUGAUUAUAAUAGGAACUUUAAUUGAAAUUGUAAUUGUAAUUGCAACUGGAAUUGUAAUUGCGAUCGGAUAUGUAAUUAUCAAUGUAAUAGAAGUUGUUCUUGUAAUUGUUACGGCUAUUGCAAUUGUUCUUGUAUAAUUGCAACUGUGUUUUUAAUUUUAAUAACAAUUAAUAAUACAAUUAUAAUUGUGAUCAUAAUUGCCAUUGUAAUUACAAUUGUAUCUUUAAAAAAAUUGUAAAUACAGUUGCUAUUCUAUUUAUUAUUACAAUUACAAUUUUAUUAUCGUUAUUCUUAUUGUAAUUGUUGUUAAAUAUUAUUAAAAUAAAGUACAAUUGUUAUUGUAAUUAUUAUUGUAAUUGGGAUUAAAAUUGUAAUUGUAACAAAGUAAUUGGAAUUACAAUUGAAAUUAAAGUUGUAAUAGUUGUUUAAAUUAAAUUUGGAAUUAAUAAUAAAAAAAUGAAAUUGAAAUUGUUGAUGUAGUUAUUGUAAUUGCAAUUGUAAUUUUAAUUGUAAAAAGUGCAACUGAAAUUAUCAAUCGUAAAUAUAAUUAAAAUUGUAAUUAGAAUUGUUCAACAAACAAUUACCGAAACAUUUGUCCAAGUUAUUUUUUAUUUUUGAAAAAGAAAGAGAAGCAACAGUAACCAAUUUUUUAGAGUAGUAUUAAUGUUGCAUUUAAUUGUUAAUAAUCUGAAUGGGUUGGAAUGUGAAUGAGUUAGAAUGAGAAUGAGCUGGAAUAGAAACGGGGAAUGGAAAUCGGAAUAAGUUGUUUACUUUAGUUGUAGGAAUCAGAAUCGGAAUGGGCUGGAAUUCUAUUGAUGUGUUUAUUUUAUCUGGGAGUAAGAAUCAGAAUAAGUUAAAUUAUUUCAAGUUACCAAAAUGUUGUUAGUUAAUAAUAAUAUAACUAUUAUUAUUAUCAUCGUUGUCGUCGUCGUUAUCAUCAUUAUCAUUAUUAUUAUUUGUGAUUUUUAUUAUUAUAAAAAUGAUUGUUAAUAAUAAUAUUAUUAAAAAUAAUAUCAUUAAUAAUUUUUUAAAAUACCUUUUGUUAAUUAUUGUCAUUUGAUGGUGAUGGUGGUGGUGGUGAUGACGACGACGAUGAUAAAUAAUAAUAAAUAAAUAAACUAAUAAUAGUAAUAAUUAAUAUAUUAAUAACAAUAACGACAACAACAAAUAUAAAUAAUAAAAUAACAACAACAACAACAAUAAUAAUAACAACAAUAACUAAAUUCCAUAAUAAUAAUAAUAAAAUUUCAGUUUUUUUUAAUUUAUAUUUUUUAAUUUCCAAAAAGGAUAUUUUGGGUAUAUUUAAAAUACAGUAGGGAUAAUUUUGUUAUUCUAGGAAAUGAGAUUUCCAUUCCCAACUCCUCUUAAGGAAUCGCAACUCUAGCAAUCAAUCUAAAAUUUAUGAGGGGACAUGAAUAUGAUUAUUUGUUCAAACAAUAUUAUUUUAAUUUAAAAAAACAAAAGAAAUGGGCCUCACAUUAUUAUUUAUUCAAACAAUAUUAUUUUAACACAAAUGACCAAAAUAAAUUUUAUAGUCAAUAAAACUGCUGUACGGCCAAGGCGGAUGUACGGUACAGCAGCUAAGUUAUCAACAUANNNNNNNNNNNNNNNNNNNNNNNNNNNUAUAUAUAUAUAUAUAUAUAUAUUAUAACAUAAAUAUGAAGACAACAUUUGUUGUACAGCAUUAGAACAAUAUUUGUCGUAAGUCUUUCUUUUGCAUUUAAAAUUUCGUAAUAAUUUAAAUAAGACAAAAGAAGUGGGUCUCACAUUAAUUUAUUGUAUAAUUUUUUCAAACAAUAUUAUUUUAAUACAAACGCCCAAAAUAAACUUCAUAUUCACUAAAAAUUAAUCAUAUUUAUUAUAACAAAAAUAUGAAAACAACAUUUGAAAAAAAUACAAAGGCAAUGUACAACACUACAACGAUCUUUGCUGUAGGUCCCUUCUUUUGCAUUUAAAAUUUCGUAAUAACUUAAAUAAGACAAAAGCAGUGGGUUUCACAUACAAUUUAUUAUAUAAUAUUUUCAAACAAUAUUAUUUUAAUACAAAUGACGAAAUACAAAAACACCUUUAAAUUUGUUAUAGAGCACUCGAUCAAUCUUUGUCGUAGGAUUUAAAAUUUCAUAAUAAUUUAUAUAAGACAAAAGAAAUGGACCUUACACAUAAUUUAUUGUAUAAUUUUUUCAAACAAUAUUAUUUUAAAAUUUCAUAAUAAUUUAAAUGAGACAAAAGAAAUGGGUCUCACAUAUAAUUUAAAUGAGACAAUAUUAUUUUAAUAUAUAUGUGUAUAUAUAUAUGUAUGUAUACAUAUUAUAACAUAAAUAUGAAAAUAACAUUUGAAAAAAAUACAAAGACACCUUUAAAUUUGUUGUAGAGCACUCGAUCAAUCUUUGUCGUAGGUCCCUUCUUCUACAUUUAAAAUUUCAUAAUAAUUUAUAUAAGACAAAAGAAAUGGACCUGACACAUAAUUUAUUGUAUAAUUUUUUUUCAAACAAUAUUAUUUUAAAUGAGACAAAAGAAAUGGGUCUCACAUAUAAUUUAUUGUAAAUUUUGUUUUCAAACAAUAUUAUUUUAAUACAGACGACCAAGACAAAUUUCAUAUUCACUAAAAAUUAAUCAUAUUUACAUUAUAACAUAAGCCAAUUCCUAAGUUACGUUUUGUGUAACUUACGGCCUGGCAAAUCUUGAGUGUCAAAUGUGCUUGUAUCCAAUCCAACGGACGACAUCAAAUUUAUCAUAAAGUAGUAACGAAUGAUAACCGGACUGAACUGGUUGUUUCAAUUGAUGGGCUACCUGUCCUUGCCUUUCUCUUAAGAAUCUAAGCAGCGAAGAACUUGAAUUGGAAAUUGGUGAGGAAGGACUGUUCAUCAGAGAUGAGUCUAGAGGCGGCGACCUCCCAAGCGGCGUCGGUCCGUUGAAGCUGAACGAGCCACUAAUUCGCUGCCACACCGGUGCAUAAUUAGUUCUUGUGAUUCAAGACAAGAACAACUUGCUCCACCUGAAUUUGCAAGUCCAUCUGCAUAAAAUGACAAAUUCGGUGGUGGAUUUUGAGGAGGAUGGUCUUGGAGGAGAUGAAACUCCUCUUGCUUAACAUUUGGGCCUUCCUAAUUUUUGUUUCUUCAGACAAAUGCAAACAUUUGUGAUUCAUUUCACUGAGAUCCACUAGAAAGUCCUCAAAUCUCUAAUACUCGCUUCUUUAGGAAGAUCUUUCACUUAACCAAUCACAAAAAAGAUGUCUUUACUUAAAAGUUCAGGAAAAGGCACAAAGGAACAUUAAACAUAACCGACCACAGAAAAAAUCCAAUUUUUAGUUAAAUGGUUAAAAUUCAAUAAAGUUAAGAAAGCAUGUUUCACUCUUUCAGGGAUUGCAUCCCUUGUCAAUCAAUCUUUUCUUCGUCCAUGGUUCAACCUGAAUAUGGCAUUCAACACGUAAAAGCUUCCCUGAAGUUUUGGCAUCAAAUGGAUCAUCUGCUGAACCCACAAGUUGGAGAUUAUCGGAGACAAAAAUAAGCACGCUGCCAGCGGGACUACAGAGCUGGCAAUUGAUGGUGGUGAUGGAGUGUUGGCACUGCAGGAAGGGAUGGCUAGUGAACUCAGCAACGAUAUUUUGCGAGUCUACGCCUCCCUCUCUUUUUUAAUUUCGCAUUUACUGUUUCCGCUGGAGACUCACGUGACCGCGAGAGAGAGAGAGAGAGAGAGAGGAGUCUUCUUAAUUUAAUGUUUAGAAUUUAAUCGUGAAACGACCUCGUUUUUAUUUAUCGCCACGGACUAUAGAAGGUAAUCUUUUACGCUACGUUUGGAAGAUAGAAUUGGAUUGAAUUAGCUUUUAAGAUUAAAUUGGAUUAAAUUAGAGUAGAUUAUAUAAUAUUAUCUUUUGUUCGGUACAAUAUUGGACAAGACUAUGCUAAUUUAAUUUAAUAAAACUAAAUAACUAUUUAAAUAAUAUAAUAUUUUUAAAUUAUAUUGAUAAUUGUUUACUUUAUUAUUUAAUAUCCAAUACUAGUUUAAGUAAAUUAAUGAAUAAAAUUUUGAUAUUCUAUAUAAAAUAAAAUUACAUGCUGAAAAAAUUAUGAAAUUAACUUCUAUGUUUAAUUUUUUUCUAAAUAUUAGGUUAAAUGAAAAAUAAAAUAGUGAAAAAAGGACACAUUCUUCAUUUAAUUUUAUCCCACCUAAAUCCAUAUAAAUAUGAGGACUAAUAAUUCCAAUUUUUUUAACUAAAUUUUAGUCUAUCCUAUUAGUUCAUGACACCUAAACAUACCUUAGGAUUAAACUAUUGGGUCCGGCUACGAUGCAACGGUGAUACGGUAUCACCGUUGCAUUCAGCCGUUGGAUCCACUUGGAUGAAUGGAUCCAGUAGGAUCCAACGGCUGGAUGCAAUGGUGGUACUGUACCACCGUUGCACCAUAGUUUUCUCCUAAACUAUUUUAUUAAUCUUAAAAUAUAAUCCAAUCGCACAAUUUAUAUUAGGGAUGGCAAUGGGGUGGGGUGGGGGUGGGGAGGCCUACCCCAUUCCCCACCCCGUUAGAAAUUUUUACCUCCAUUCCCCACCCCAUUCCCCAAUAAAUUUAGUGGGGUGGGGAUGGAGAAUCCCCAUGUGGGGAAUGAUUUCCCGAUCCCCACCCCAUUCCCCAUUUAUCUAUUUUAUAAUAUGUAUAAAUAUAUUAUUUUAGUAAGUUAAAAAUUAGAGACUUAAAAUAAAAUCAUCAUCAUAUUAUAAAGUAUUUAAAUUCUUUUUAAAAAAUAUCUAAAAGUUUGAAACAAUAUCUUAAAAUGAUAUUAAAAGUGAAAAAUAUUUAAAGAGCGAUUGGGGUGGGGGUGAGGUGUGGAGUACAAAACCAAAUCCCACCCCAUUAAGAAUUUGGGGAUUAUUUUCCCCAUACUUCCCACCCAAUUCCCCAAAAAUUAUUCAAAAUUUUUCCUAUUUGGGGUGGGGCUCCAUGGGACCCCAAACCCGUGGAGAAUUUUGCCAUCCCUUUAUUUAUCCAACCUUCCAAACAUAACCUUAAUUGACUCUUUUACCAUCGAUCUCCAACCGUUUCAACCAAUUACAAUUUCCUUAAUGUUACAUACAUGUGGCAUAUUUUUACUGGUUGACUAAUUAAAUCACGGGCUGUAACAUACAGUAAAACGUAACUUAGGGUGACCCCAUAACAUAAAUAUGAAAACGACAUUUGAAAAGAAAAAUACAAAGGCACCUUUUUAUUUGAUGUACAUUACUAGAACAAUUUUUGACAAAGAUGUUACAACCUAAAGAAUGAAAAGGUCUAAAGUUUUAGGGUGAACAUGGACCAAUUGAUGACACGACAUGUUUUACAGCCCAAUGUCGUUAAUUAAUAUAUAUAAUUGAGUAAUUUCAUCUCUAUAUUAAGCACGCACCGCCUCAAAUUGCAUGCAAAUACAAAAACAAACUUCUGAAUUUUUUUUUGAAUUUUUAGGUUAACAAUUGAUUUUUUAUUUAAAUUUUUUUUGUUUUUAUUUAACAAUUAAUUUUAAUCAAAUCUUAAACUGUCGUAAUCAAUUAAGAUUUUUCAUUAUGACUCCUUAACUAGAUUUUGGAUCUGUAAUAAAUAAAAAAUUGGUAACAUUUGUUUCUUUAAGAUAUAAAAUAACCGUAACAUUGGUUUUUACAUUUUGAAUUUUUCUUGAAUUACUAUUUAAAAAAAUGAUGUUAAAUAAAUCUCACAAAAUAUACAAAGCCAUCUAACAUCCAAAUAUUGAUUACAUUUAUUUUGUAUUGUUGGAAUGACGCCAAAGCAAUUGAAAAGAUAUCAAAAAUAAAUAAUAAUGAUGAAGAUUGGCUACGGGAUUUCACUGAAGCUAAGUUGUGACUUGUGACCAUCUAAAUGUCCGUAACAACUUAUGAUUAUUCUCGCAGCACAAAUCCAAUAGCAUGCAACAAAAUCCACUCUCUAACACUUGCCUCUGAAGAAAAUAAAACAGAGUAAAAAGAGCAACCAUGCCUGUGAAUCUCUUUACUUUUCUCCUUAUAAUUUGGGUAAACUCUAUCAAAUGAAAAUGCAGCAUGACCACAUUGGUCACUGCCACUACCAUUUACUUCUUCAACUGUGCCACUUGCUUCAACAAAUCUUUAACUGAAAGAUGGAUUAUAUAAUUCAAGAUAAAAAAAUACACCUGAGCUGCAAAGGCUACCAUCCACUAGCCUAUCAACGACUAUGCUUUAUAUUUUUCUAGUUUUUGAAUCAAAAUUCUGCAAGAUUUAGUUUGGAAAACUUCGACACAAUAACCAAAAACUCAGUCCUUUUGUGCAUUAUAUCCACCGAAUGAUUCCUUAACAAAACAUCGGUAGCCUGUGGCUUUUCUGACACUGUCCUGACCCAAAGCCCCGCUCUUUUCAACUCAUCUGUCAAACCAUUACCCACUUUUGGAGUCAAAAACUGCCCUUGCAGGCCUUUAAUACUUCUCCAUCUUCAUUGAAUACGUGCCAACCAAAUGCACUCUCUUCCCUCUGGCUGAUUCUGUUUGAUUCAACCUCUUUUCUUGUUUACACUCAUGAAUUUGCCGAAUCUAAAUAACAAGUUUGUCAUCAUCAUAAAAUCCUUCCACAAUCACCGCAUACAUUCUGCUGAGCAGGACUCAUUACACCCUUGUUUUAAACAAUUCUUUCUCCAAUUGGUUAAACAAUUUUUUCUCUUCUCUUUGCUCCCUUAUACAACUUGAGGCAUAUAAUUAAAUGCGUAGCAAUUAGCAUAUGCCAUGAUGUAUUUAACAACCCCAAAUGAAGAUACUGAUUUUUUUUCGGCUUAAUGGCUGCUUCAAAUGGGGGAACUGAAUUUGGGGGUUUGUUGUCUAAAUCCCAAAAAAUUCCACAUUAUGUUGGACAGUUUUUGGUUCUACAGAUGAUGAUCGGUUUUCCGAACGAGGGUUCAAAAGGAAACAUCUAAACAAUGAGACAAAUGGGUUCUGGAUUUCUAAUCCUGUAAACGUUGUUCUGUCGCAUAAGUUAUGAAAUUUCUGAAGCAUCACUAUUCCUGUCGUUCCUGGGAGAAAAAAAGUCGAAGAACUGCUCGUGGAACAAAAUUAAAAAAUUUAAACUAUGUUGAGAGACUUUCCCUUCAACUAACAGUUAAAAGGAAAAAAAAAGUAUUCGAUAAGCAUUUUCAAAGGAAAAUGAUCAUCCCUUUGUUGUACUUAGGCAGGAAAAAUAAAUAUAUCAACCCCAUUAAACCCUCACAUCUGCUAACUAAUAAUGCAUGGACUAACUUUAAAGUAAGGAUAUAAAACUUACAAGAACAAGAAAACUACUGUUUAUUAAUUUCAAAUUUUACACAAAAUUACGAAUAAUUCUAUAAGCUGCACCAAAACAUGUUCUCUAAAAGAGAUUCAGUAUCCCGCAUUUUUGGAAGCAAAAAAAUAUUUCUGGAUAGUAUAAGCUAAUACUAGAAUAACCAUUCGUUAAUGAUGUGAGUUUGGGCAGCACCAUGAAGCGGUGAGCCUCGUUUGGUGAAAACGAAAAAUAAUUAAAAUAAAGCACUAUGAAUUCUGAUCAAAUUAUUAACAUUAGCUAAAUACACAGCAAGAAACCAGAAUAAAUUUGUUAUCUAAACCAAAUACUAAAAAAAAAAAAAAAAAAAAAAGGCAGUUAAAUCCCUAUCAUUUUCAGUUAGAAACAAACUAAAGCACAAAUUAAGAACAAAGGUUGAAGCAAAGCAUGAUUGUACCUUGAGGUACUUGAGCUUAGUGUUCCCAUAAACGAGACCGAGCGAAAUGCCGAAACCAGAGCAACCUAUUAUUAUUACUCAAAAACCCAGAUCACAAAAUAAAUGAUCUUUCAAUAACAAUUCAUAAAAAUUCCGUCCCAUCAUAUAUAGAACGAAACAAAACAAUGAAAAUAUUGAUUAGAAAGGAAAUUACAAAAAUGGACAAAAAGCAGAUAAAAAUAUGAUGCUUUGCUAUGCUUUCCUUUCUUGUGGGUGGCAGAUAAAGAAACAAGAAAGAGCCAGCAAAUUGAAAAAUCGACAAAUAUAUUCAUUCGAUUCCGACUCGUAUGGCUCUUUUUCUUUGAUGAAUGAAAUAUUAUUUCACUCUCUAAUUCGUAACAAAAUUACAAGUUUCGACUUCUGUUUGUAUGUUAUUUCAUACGGGUUCCCAUUCUAGCAUUAAUAACAAAUGGGCCCGACGUGUGGCUAAGCCCGGGCGUGCUGUUGAUGGCCAGGCCUGGGCUUUUACGAGCCCAGGAAGUGUAAUCGUAAUUUUAUUGUGCUGAAAAUUAUAUAAACGUUAAAUACGAAUUUAAUUAAACUAACACAUCUUUACAACUCAUGCAACCUUACUAUUUUCUAAAGAUAUAAUUAAUUUUACUAAUAAAAUCAAAAUAAUUUUUAAACAACGAAGAAAGAAAUUAUAAUAACAAUAAAUUAAUUAUGAAAAAAUAGGUUUACAAUCAAAUACUUUUUCUCAAGACUACAUAAGUGUACUUAAAAAAGAGGCGAGAUUUGUUCUUGCCUAUUAGUUAAUAUAUACAUAUUAAUUCAUCAUUGGCGCCCUUUGACACGAAGCCAUUCAUUAGUGUAGAAGACGAAGGAGAAGAAAAUAUUAAUGUAGAAAACACACAAGUUUAUUCAUAAUGCAGUCCCUCCCAACUCCCAACAUGGGCACAAGCACUGAAGCAAACACACUGACACAACAUAUAUAUUACAGAGAAGAAAAGAAAUUAGUAGCCAGCUAGCAGCACAUUCAACAUACAUAUAUACAGAACUUGAACAUAAUUGACAACAUCUGGAGGGAGAGGGAUAUAUUUCGAUGCUGCAGCCUGCAAUUCAUAGCAUAUCAUCGAUCAUUUAAUUGCUUAUCAAAUGGUGUCCUUGAAUGUUUUGAUCAAGAAAAUGGUGAUGAUGAUCAUUCUGAUGCUGAUCAUUUAAUUUAUAACAUGACGAUAGAGAAUAAAGUGGCUGUCCAAAUUCACACAUUCACCAAACUUUUACCAUGAAAUUAUAUGUUGCAUAUGGCAGCUACCAGGCACAUAAAUCAUCGCCAACCAAAAGCCCACGUUUUGCAUGCAACCACUUGUCGACAACCAUUCACCAGCCACAAAUUACCCAAGUAAGUACUCGUAUCGUCAACACUUACCCUUCACUUCAUCUACGCAAACAAGAAUUCAAAUCGCUUAUUAGCUAGUGCUCGAGCGAAAGCCAAAAUAAAUUAAAUAUCUGUGUGUGUGUGUGUGUGUGUUAAAGAGAAACGGUGGCAAAGUCAUUAUACAAUAAAGCAAACCAAAAUAAAUUCUACACUCAUGUGGGUGUUUCGCUCGCAAAAUCUGGACAAGAAAAAAUAAUAUUGAUACAAUCUCCAAAUAAAGAGCAUUCUUCUUGGUAAAAUAGACAAAGCCUAUAAAUUUUGAUUAAUGGUGCCAAAUGAAAGAGUUGUAAUUUCAUGUACAUUUUGUUAACAUGAAUAAGGGUACAAAAUAGAUAACAAAGUGACAAAAACAAAGCUAAUCACAAUGAAUGAUAAGGUUUAGAGUAAACAAAAAGUUAUAAUCUUGAACAUAAGUGGCGCUCAAAGCCAUGAAUUUGAUAUCAUCCAUGAGGGGAGUUCAAACAACAGCAUGUAAGAAGCAACAAGUGUUGAGAAAAAAAAAAAAAAAUCAUUCUAACACAACAGAAUAAAUUGUAAAGAAAUCCCAGUUUGUAUAAAAGAAAGAAAACAAAAUUAAGGAAAACAUAAGCACAACAAAAUUUGACUGAUUAUUAAAAAUGAGAAAUGAGUUAUGAUGAGAAUUUUGGCUUUGUGGUGAAAUAAAUUGGGAAGUAUCCAAAGUUCGCAUGUAAAUAAUAUAAAUGAUAAGAAGACGAAGGGAACAAAAUGAUAAUAAGCAAGCCAAAUAUUAAAAUGCAGAUUCUACGCUUCCGCCACCCCCCCUGAUGGGUGUCGAAGCCAACAAAAAUAAAUUCCUACUCUAAAUAAAUUGUGUAUAGUGAUUGAGCAGGGUCGUGUCCACAGAGAUCGGUAAUUAUUUAAAUCCUUUUGAAACGUAAAACGUAAAAUGGGGGAAUUGUUGACAAUAAUAAAAAUCAAAUUAAAAAAAUAAAUUAAAUAUCUGUGUGUGUGUGUGUGUGUGUUAAAGAGAAACGGUGGCAAAGUCAUUAUACAAUAAAGCAAACCAAAAUAAAUUCUACACUCAUGUGGGUGUUUCGCUCGCAAAAUCUGGACAAGAAAAAAUAAUAUUGAUACAAUCUCCAAAUAAAGAGCAUUCUUCUUGGUAAAAUAGACAAAGCCUAUAAAUUUUGAUUAAUGGUGCCAAAUGAAAGAGUUGUAAUUUCAUGUACAUUUUGUUAACAUGAAUAAGGGUACAAAAUAGAUAACAAAGUGACAAAAACAAAGCUAAUCACAAUGAAUGAUAAGGUUUAGAGUAAACAAAAAGUUAUAAUCUUGAACAUAAGUGGCGCUCAAAGCCAUGAAUUUGAUAUCAUCCAUGAGGGGAGUUCAAACAACAGCAUGUAAGAAGCAACAAGUGUUGAGAAAAAAAAAAAAAAAUCAUUCUAACACAACAGAAUAAAUUGUAAAGAAAUCCCAGUUUGUAUAAAAGAAAGAAAACAAAAUUAAGGAAAACAUAAGCACAACAAAAUUUGACUGAUUAUUAAAAAUGAGAAAUGAGUUAUGAUGAGAAUUUUGGCUUUGUGGUGAAAUAAAUUGGGAAGUAUCCAAAGUUCGCAUGUAAAUAAUAUAAAUGAUAAGAAGACGAAGGGAACAAAAUGAUAAUAAGCAAGCCAAAUAUUAAAAUGCAGAUUCUACGCUUCCGCCACCCCCCCUGAUGGGUGUCGAAGCCAACAAAAAUAAAUUCCUACUCUAAAUAAAUUGUGUAUAGUGAUUGAGCAGGGUCGUGUCCACAGAGAUCGGUAAUUAUUUAAAUCCUUUUGAAACGUAAAACGUAAAAUGGGGGAAUUGUUGACAAUAAUAAAAAUCAAAUUAAAAUAACAAGAAUGCAAAUUAAAGUUGUAAUUCAAAUUGGAGAAAGCUCUGGUUGAAGGAAUUAACUCAGCUUGAUUCGACUACUGAUCAUUGAUUCAAAUAUAAAUUAUUAUUACUUAUGAAUAGACCGGUUAUAGCUACUGAGACCCUCUAAUAGCCAAUCUCUCCUUAACUAGUCGAUAACCAAGGUACGACCGUUGGAUAUUCCCUAAUCAAUAGACAACCCUAGAUACGAUCAUAGAAUUUAAUCAAUUGACAGCCUGAAAAACCAGAGAGACCAAAAUCCUAAUCAACACAUAUGAUGAUUUAUUUAAAUUAGAUUGUUUAUUCUCACAACACAACUCUCUGCUAUGUCAUUUGUCACAAACAUUAAAUUCUUCAUACGAUGAAUCCUUUAAUUAAUAAUAAAUUAAGUUGAUAAUUAAAUAGUGGCCAAUUUUUUUUUUCUCCAAUCCAAAAUCCCCCCUUUUUCACAAUAGAUUCCUCCCUUAAAUACUCUCUCUCUCUUCUCUUUUAGAAUUCUCUGCUGUACCGUACAUCAAUAAAAUACUAAUAUCUGAAAUAUUAAAUUCGUAAUUACAAAAAUAACCAAAAAUACAAAACACGUUAAACUAAAAAAAACUGCAGGUCCGCAGUUGACAGCACGCGCCCACGCCUUAUCAACAAAGUUCUUCUGACGCUCAGAAAUUUCUCCAAGAGAACAAUCCUCCUUAAACAUCAUCUUUUAGCUCAAUUUUAUCAUCAAUCAAUAGAAUUGCACCUACAAAAGUAAAACACGAGUAAAACAUUAUUAUUAAAUGCAAAACAUCGAUAUUAAGGGAAGUAAAUAAUGCAAAACUAGUGCAUAAAUUGCACUCUAACACCCCCCAUACUUCAAGUUAGUGUCUCGGGAUGGCAAAUAUUUAAUUAUGGAUGGAUAAUAUCCAUUCAAAAAUAAAUCUAUAAUUAUUCAUAAUAGAUAUAUUCAUAUUCAUAUUCAGUAUUUAAUAUUGGACAUUGAUAUAGAUUUUAUCCAUAAAACUAUGGAGAUCCAUGGAUAUUUUAUUUUUAUUAUAUAAAAAUAAUAAUAUAAAAUAGUUAAAAUUCCAAUAUUAAAUUUGGUUAUUAAUGCCAAGGCGGAUGUACGGUACAGCAGUAAAAUAAUAAUUAUUAAUAGUAUUAAAUAAGUUAAAAAAUUAAAGGAUAAUUUUGAAAACUUUAGUUUUUAAUAUAAGAGGAAUUUAAAAUUUUCACUAGUUAAUAUAAUAUUUUUACAAUUGUUUGUUUAUUAUAUUUUUUAUUUUUAAUUUUAUAAAAUUAAAAUUUUUUAAACUUGUGUUGGGUUAAACGGAUAUUCAUUGGGUAAAAAUAAUUAUUCAUAUCCAUCUGAAUAUAAUUUUAAAAUAUCCAUUUCAAAAUCCAAAAUUUUUUGAAUAGAUAUUAUCCGAUCCAAUUAGAUGGAUAUUGUGAAUAUCUAUUAUGGAGCGGUCCAGUUGCCAUCCCUAGACUCUCGCUAAUCAUUUUAGAUGUAUCAAUUACAAAGGGAGGCCAUCUUUUUUUAUAGUAAGCGUACGCCUCUAAUGCUUUGCCAAGUGUCCAUUGAUAAUAUCACAAGGGAAAUUAAAUUGGUGUAUGUGUAUUACACCUCCUAAAGUCAUGUUAAGUUAGUUAGUGAGCUGAUAAAGUUUGUUGCACGUGUGAGUUGGUUAAGUAUGCUAGAAUUGCAAACGUGUAAAGCUGAGUCAGCAAGUUAGUUAAGGUUAUUAUGAAUGCUUAGAUUCAGCUCACGUGUAUUGUAUGUAAUACUUAGAUUCAGGUCAUGUAGAUUGUGUAUACAACUUUCUAAUAUUAUUUAGAUCUCAAUAUAAAUACUUGUAAUCAACAAAUACAAUAAUAAGAGUCAUCAUUCUUCAUUUUCUCUCAUAUUUUCUCUGCAUCCAAACACAAUAUUCUCAGUUCUUGACUUGGUAUCAGAUUUGCAGUUUAAUUGUCAUGGCUUCCUUAAGCACAAAUUUAAAACAAAUCAGUCUCCUUCAUCCUUUACCUUCACAAAUCCGAUCAAACUGGACAGAUCUAACUAUACGAUCUGGAAAUCUCAGAUCCUCUCUUCAGUGCGUGCCAAUGGACUUGAAGAUUUUCUUAAUGGAACUAAAAUUUGUCCAGAUCAGUUACUUACUCAAGAGAUUGAAAGUUAUGGUGUUGAAAAUGCUGUUGGUGAAAGCUCAGCUGAUAGAUCUCAAGAGAAUCCAGCCUUUGUUGCUUGGAAAAGGUAGGAUCAAUUGUUAUUAAGUUGGCUCAUGUCCUCCAUCAGUGUUGAGAUACUUAGUCUUGUGGUAAAUUCUGAUUCUUCUCAUAAACUUUGGACUAAUCUUGAAGAAAAAUUUUGGAUUAGAAACUAUGGCUAAGAAAGCACACUUAAAAAUGAUGUUAAGCAAUCCCAGAAAGGGAUCAAUGACAAUAACUGAGUAUUUUACCAAACUUAGAGCUGUGACUAAUAAACUUGCUCUAACUAGUAGCCCUGUUUCUACUCUAGACUUUAUUACUCAUCUAAUCUCUAGAUUAGGCCAGCCAUACUACCCUGUUGUUUUGUAUAUUGAAGCUAAUAUGAUGAAAAUAUUUGUCAAUGAAGCCUAUUCUAUGCUUUCAACUCAUGAAGCAAGAAUUAAAUUUAAUCAUCCGAGUGCAAAUAAAGAAGCAAAGUUGAAUUAUGCUGCUAACAUAGCUUAGGCUGGACCUAGUAAUAACAAUAAGAAGUCUAGUAAUCAAGCUAAUUACUAUCAGGGCAACCAAGGUAACUGGAAAAGAAAUGCUCAUUGGUGUGGUAACAAUAGAGGAAGAGGUGGCUUUGGCAGAGGUUUUUCAGGGCAAGGAAGGGGUAAUUAGAAUAAUGGUGGUCAUUGGAACAAUGGACCUUGGAGUAGUAGUCGAGCAUGUUAUAAUUGUUCUGAUAUAAACAUUAUGACAUGGUUGCUGGUGAACCUGUAAACAUAACCACAAAAGUAAGAAGGCAUAAUCUUUUUAUAAGAAACUCAAAAAUGUAUUAAUGAUGAAAAUUUUAAAACAGAUAAUGGACCAGCUGUUCAUUAAGAAAACAAAAAACUGAAUAUUUGUGCCAUAAAAAGGCACACCCAAUCUCACCCCUAUAAAAGGCUAGAAUCAGCUACAAAUCCCUAUCUCAAAACCCCAUCCUAGUUCAGAUGAAUGAAGAAAAAAGAUGAAUCUUGAAACUCCUUAGAAACUGAAGCCCAAAGUGAAGCAAGAAGAUGAACUCUAUCCCAAGCAAGCAAUAUGGCAUAUUUCUCCAUUAAUGGUUCAAAUAAAGUGAAUGGCUUUCUCUGAUGAAUGGGAAAUUGUCAAGAUCAAUAGUCAAACUCACGCAAAGUUAACGGACUUAAUUCUCAGAGGCUACUCAUUCUAAGUCUUAAAGAAAAAUUUUCUAAUUUCUAAAGAUUAUAUGGGGAAAAAUCAUUAUUUUCUAACAUGGAAAAUUUGAUACGGUGUUUAAUGUCUUAUCACAAUCAUAAUAUGAGUACUAACAAAAACAUCUUUAAUCGGCAUGGUGCGAGUAAAACACCAUCACUUCAUCUUUGAUGGAAAGAUGAUAAUAUAAGGAAAUGGUGAAAUGGUUUUGGUCCCUGACAGCUUGUAAUCAAAAGAAAACAAAAAACUACACUAUUUUAAUGAUUACCGAAGCUACAGAAGUAUCAAAAUCGGAAAGCAAACAAUUGCAAAACACAUCAAUGACUGAAGGUUAGGUUCUAAAACUUCCGUAUUUAAUUUUCAGAGCAUGUUAUGUAUUAUUCAGAAAUAUGCUUUCACUUCAGGCACUUGACCAAGACACAUUAAACAUAAAACGCGGCGUUUUCAUGGACUAGUACAUUCCAUGCUUCGAAAGUUUAUGUUUUAGACUGAUUGGUUUGAUACAUUAUUUGUUUAUUGCGUUUUUCUUGCUUUAAAUAUUAUGUUGGAUUGAUAAGUUUUGUACACAUUUAUAUUGCUCGCAGUAAAUAAUUUAUGACAUUUAAAAAACUAUCAGCCGUCUAUCAAAAGAUUUCUACUAUAAAUAUAUAUACACAAAAAACUUUUAAUUUGGUCAAUUUUUUCUCUUAUUUAUUUUUGUUCUAUUUCUCUUUUCCUUCCCUUUCAUUUUAUUGUUUUAUGGUACAAAAUAAAAAAAUAACCUUAAAAUUUAAGGGUAAAAUACUCAUUUUACUAAAAUUCCGUUUAAUAUUAUAAAACUGUCAAAUGUCAAUGGCAUAGUACACGAGUGAUACAAAUUAAAAACAAUAAAUUAAAAGUUUUUAUGCAUUUUCGUUUUAUUUUUUUUAUAGCCGAUACAAAUUAAAAACAAUAGGUUUAGACCGUUUAACAAAUCUUAAAUUAAAAAAACCCGUGGUGUAAUAACAAACUCACAUCAAACCCUGUCCACUGUCAUCCCUAAUUAUAUUUACCACUUCAUACUCACAGUGAUAAUUAUAUUACCGUUAUGAAUGAAGCAGAAGAGUUUCCCCAAACAAGCUAAAACACCGCACUUCAAUUUAAAGAAUUUUUAUAUCACAGUACCGGGACAAAAAGUUUAAUGCAACUUGUUCAAGCUGUCAAUCGGCAGAAAAGCAAGCGAAUCACACCCAAUAAACUCCCUGAUUUCCUCAACGCUCAUCCUGUUGGAAAUCAACUCCUCAGUACUUGGAGUGUCUACUCCGUAGUAACAAGAAGCUAUGAUCGGUGGGCUUGCAAUUCUCAUGUGAACCUCUUUAGCUCCAGCCUCCUUAAGCAACCUAACAAUUUUUGAUGAAGUUGUUUCUCACACUAUCGAAUCAUCCACAACCACAACUCUCUUUCCCACCAACCACAACCUUACAGGAGAGAGCUUAAGCUUGACACCAAAGUCCCUAAUUUUCUGGGAAGGCUCAAUGAAAGUUCUCCCAACAUAAUGUGACCUUAUCAACCCUUGUUGAAAUGGCACCCCGGCUUUCGCAGUGUACCCAAGUGCAGCCACCACUCCAGAAUCUGGUACUGCAAUCACAACAUCACACUCAACAGGAGCCUGGGUAGCAAGUACUUCCCCAAAAUGAUACCUCGACUCAUAAACAGACCUUCCAAAAACAACAGAAUUAGGCAAAGCAAAAUAAAUAUGCUCAAAGAUGCACUGCUUAGGUUCAGGGUGAGGCAUCAAACAAGGUGAUUGAACCCCAUCUUCAUCCACCAUCAAAACUUCACCGGGAUAUACCUCUCUCUCGUAUGUGGCCUCAAUCAAAUAGUGCACAAUCCUCAAAAAGAACGGCCUAGCUUUUGAUAUCGGAAUCAAAUGGAGAACAACCACAGUAUCAGAACUAGUAUUACAAAAUGGAUCCAUUAUCUUCAAGCUUAGCCCUCAAAGUAUUAUAAUUAACUAAUGUGCAACACCAACAGAACCAAACCUGUACCCAGCAACAAAAGGCUGCACAUUCUUAAGCAUAGAACUACCCGCAGUCGAAUAUCUAACAUGACCAAUGGCCAUAUCACCCGGCAAUUGAUCAAGUUUAGACUGAUUAAACACAUCAGAGACUAAACCAACACCAGUAAUAGACUGAAGAACUUUGUUAUUCACAGCAACUAUACCUGCAUCUUCUUGGCCGCGAUGCUGCAUCGCGUGUAGCGCCAAAUAGCACAAACGCGAGGCCUCUGGGUCACCAUAGAUGCCCACAACACCACACUCCUCACGGGGCUUAUCGUCGUCAUCAUCAUCAAAACUGCCAAAACCGUCAUCUGGGUAUUCUUUAUUUGUGGUGAAAAACUCAGAGAUGGGGUUUUUUGAUAGAACAGUGAAGUUUUUUUUUGUGGGUUAAAGAUUGUUGUUUCCGAGGAAAAAAAGGGUUUUUUUGCAGGGUUUUGGAGAAAAGAAAAAGAUGGGUUUUUUUGCGACGGCUUAGGGUUAACAGAUGGAGAUGGGUUUGAGAGAGGGCAGAUAUUGGCGGUGCCUGUGGUUGUGGCUGCCAUUAAUGGCUGAAUUUAUUUUAUUUUAUUUGUUUUGGGUUGCCUUGCUCAAAGAAAAAACAGAGGAGGUGUGUGGAGGGAGACAGUGGCGAAGGGUACUUUAAGUAGGGGGGAACUUGUUCUAGGUUUUUUUCUGGAAUUGUGAGGGAAUCUGAUCCUGUGUUUGUGCAUAUGAUUCAAUUACUUAUAGGUUUAUUGUUGUGUCACCACAAAUUCUAAUUGGGAAGCUUCAGCUGUCAAAUUUUUUCCAAGGGUUUAUUAGGUAGAACUUUCAUGUCGUCGAAUUUAUUUAGAGAUUCUAAAAGUAGUUUCCAAAUAAAGAGAUGGACCAAAAUGAACAAUGUGAAACAGAUACUUUAGAAUUUUUUUCCUAUUCCGAAAGCAAUAGGAAUGUUCCAAUGCAUUGCUCCUACCAGAUUUGGAAUUAAACUUAGUUUGUGUUUUCCUAUUCCGAAAGCAAAACUUAUACUUACUGUAUAAGUGAUAUUCUAAUAAGUAGAAAUUAAGAACCAUAACAAAUUUGAUGAUUCUAAUUUGCUAGAAAUAUUGUAAUCCAAAACUAAGAAAGUUAAAACCAAUUAUUAGAAGAAAAAAGCAAGACGGAAGCUCCCAGAAUAUUGUUAUGUGUUGUGUGUUUUCAGUGUGUAUUUCUCAAUCAAUAAUGAAAAGUAAGUACACAUGUUACAAAAAUUUAAUAAAAAAGAUUGGAGGUGACAAAACCUUCAAUCUUCUAAUUAACUUUCUCUGCAUUGGAAUUUCCUUAGUUUGGUAGAGAUUGCUUAAUUGGUGUAUCUAUUAUAAACACCGUAAGUCAAAGUUAAUGUUUUAAUUGUUAAGAAAAGUUAGAAGAAGAAAUUUUUGCAUAAGAGAAUUGGGUUUAAAUUGAGAAUUCUUUAGGAGGAAAUGAGUCUAAAUUCUAACACGAUAAUUUAGCACUAUAUAUAUAUCAUUAAUUGGGUGAAAAAUUAGGGUACCCGUAUGCCUAUGUUGUAACAGUUGUAAGGUACCACUAAUUUUUGUCUUUUGUGAUGUCAAAUUUCAUUUAAUCUCUUUUUUUUAUUUAUAGUUUAUUUAUAACGUUACGUGUUUUGGCAUGUGACUUUUAAAAUAUAAUUUUAUUUUAUUUAAAAUUAUUUAUUUUUUUAUAAUUUAUUUAUAAGUUUAUGUGGUUUGGCUGAUGAUCUAUUCAAAUGUAAUUUUAUUUCAUUUAAUAUUAUUUAACUUCUAAAAGAACAAAUAUAACAAUAAGCCUUUAACUAGAUAAUAUUAACUAAUAUUUUUAAUAAAAUAAAAAUAUUAAAAAUAUAUUCUUUUAAAUAAAAUAAAUAAUAUUAAAAAAUAAUAUUUAUUUUUUAGGACUCACAAUUGCUUAUUCUAUUUUAUUUAAUAUUAUUUAAUUUUGAAAAAUAAAUAUAAUAAUAAGCUAUGACUAAAUAAUAUUAAAUAAAAUAAAAUAAAUAUUAUUAAAAAUAAUAUUGAUUUUUUGAGACUCAUUACUGAUUAUUUCAUUUUAUUUAAAAUUAUUUAGUUUCAUGAAAGAAUAAAUAUAAUAAUAAGUCUAUGACUAUAUAACGUUAAAUAAAAUCAUAUAAAUAAUAUUAAAAAAUAUUCUGCUGUACGGCCAAGGCGGAUGUACGGUACAGCAGUUUUUUUUUCCUGCAAUCGCCGAAUAUAAAAUAUAUAAUAUUAAAAUAAAAUUUAUUUUUUAAGACUCACUACUAAUUAAACAACAUAAAAUUUUAAACAAUUUGGACUUAUGUGAUAAAAGUUUUAAUUCUUUAGCUCUUUUGCCUUUUUGAUAAAUAGCAGGGAGCAUAAUGUUAAUAUUCAAAUAAACAAAUCUCUACCCUUCAAUCUAUCUUUUCAUUAAAUCCAAUGAUGAAGAAUUGAAACCAUAAAAAAUAAAAUUAGGUGGUACCUUGCAACUGUUGCAAGGUAGUUAAGUCCAAAAAAUUACAUUUGAUGUGAUUUUGAUCGUUUAUUUUUAUAUGAUGGUAAUUUCUUGUUCAGAGUGAAACUAGGGGUUGGUACGGUUCGGUUCGGAUCGAAAUUAAGAAGAAUCGACUUAAAUCGGUUAUUUUAUAAAAAGAACCGAAUAAGAACUGAAUUCAAUAAGAACCGAUUUAACAAGAUUCGUUUGAGUUCGGUUCGGUUUGGUUCGGUUUUUUCGGUUCUGGGCCUAUUGGCCCUAUUUUGAAUUUCUAAAUUUUUAGCUCAUUGGGCCUCAUGAAUGUCAUAAUUUUUUUCAACAAUUAAUUCAUCCUAAUUUCAUUACAAAUAUUAACAAUAAAUACAAAGUAUUCAAAACACAUUUGAUCACUAAUAUCUUACUAACUACUAAUAAGGUACUCACUACUCACAAAAUAUGAAAUAUUAAGAUUUCAAAAUACAUAACCAAACUCUAAUACUCCAUCUACAUAAACAUAAUGUUGUAAAGACAAAUAAAAAUAACAACAGUAAUUCGGUUCUUCGGUUCGUUUUUUCGGUUCAGUUGAGUGAACCGAAUAUCGAACCAGUAUUUCGGUUUUUUUAUAAAUAAUAUAUUUCAGUUUUUUUUAACAAUUAAAACCAAACCAAAUUAGAACCAAACUGUCGGUUUGGUUCUUUUUUUAAGAAUACAGUUUUUUUGUCCAGUCCUAAGUGAAGCUAUUGGCACCCUUUCGCUAUAUUUAUAAAAUCCUACUUCAAAUAAAAUUACACUUAAAGACAAUAGAAUUAAACAAACAUGUUUUUUUUCCCCAAACAAAUUACUUACAUUCAUAAUUAUUUUUCUUCUAAUUUUCUACAUGUUGCUUCAUAUCUAAGUAAAAUAAAUUGUAUAAAUUUAGAAUAAUCUAUUAUUCUUUUUAAAUUUCGUAUUGAUUAAAUACUUUUGUGCUUAAGAUUGCUUUAAAAUUAUAAGAUAAAAUAUGUGUAAUUUAAGCCAAUGAUUAACAUUCAAAAUUUUAUCUCUCAGAAACAUUUUUAAUUUGUGUGCAGGGUAAUAAUAAAAUCGUAAAAGAAAUAAAAAAUAGCAUAACACUACUUUGAGUUUAGAAAAUAAAAAAAUUAAACAGAAAAUUAGAAGUGUAAUCUAAAAAAAGGAUAUUUUGUAAAAUAAAAUAAAUAUAAUUAAAACAAGGUUUCAUGAGGGGUGCAAUAGUUCAACUCUUUUGUGUAAAGUUUUAAGAUGUUAGUAUCCGUAGCUUAGUUUUUCCCUAAUUAUUAUAUGAAAAUGUAAUAACAAUGCUGAUCACCCCAAUCUCAUGGAGGUCAAAGAUUUUGGUCAUACCGCAUGAAUUAGUGCUUUUGGUUGGCAAAUACUUGUAUAUAUUUAUUAACAUUAAAUAAUUUGACCAAGACUACGUAAUGCGCCGCCUGAAGACUGGAGUCAUCGUAUUUUAUACGUCAAAAGCGCGUUUCAGUUCAAUAAGCCAUACAUGUAGUUUAAUAUGACCAUUUUGUACUUUUUUUAUAAAAAAAAAUUAUUUAUUUUAUUAAAAUAUUGUUUAUUUAUUUAUUUUUUUUAAAGGUAAAGAGGUGUGUAAAAUCUAAAUUCAAUUUUUAUCCCUUAUGUCCUGGCCCUAAGAUUUGAACUCAGGUGAACAGCCAAAUGUAUAAUAACAUGUAUUUCGAAUUUCAUUUUAAAUGAUAUGCAAUUCGUUAAGUGAUUGUUAAUUUUUUAUAAGAUACGAGUGAAAGAAUUAUAUUAUCUCACUAAUUAAUUGAUGAGUGUCAUAUCAUUAUGAUUCCAGAUAAUUUCAAGCCAUGUCAUUAUUAGGAUAAAAAUAAAGUAAAAUGGUUAAAACUAUUUUUAUGUAAUUUAUAAAAAUUAAUGAAGCAACUACAUAAUUUUUUAAACGAAAAACAAUUGAAAUGUGUGAGGAAAAAGAAGAAAAAAAAUAAGGCAUUUAAAUAUCUUCUUAAAAAAUACGAUUGAGUAAAAUCAUUUUAACAGAAUGCCUUCCAAAUACAAUUCCAGAUUUUUUUUUAUUGCAGUGGGAUAUUCCAAAAUUGGCACAACUCAUUAAGAAUUCGGCAACUCAAACUUUUUUAUCUCUCUACGCAUUUGACAAAUUAAAAAGAAAAAAAAAUUCAUAUAUCUUCUGUUCAAAAGAAACCUUGGUAAAUAUUGUAAAACAAAUUACCAAUUUUUUUAAUUUAUGCCAUUAUAUCGUCGCUAUUUUCUCGCCCACUUUCUUAAAAUAGAAUCAAUAUUUAUUGAUGGGUUGGGUUCCAGAGUAAGCACCAAUUCAGCAAAACGGUUUUAUAGCAGAAAAAACACUUGUAAGACAUUCAGAACACAUUUUUCAAUUUUGUCUUUUGAAAAUGAGUCUUGAGUUUCCACAAGCCAAGUAGAAUGGCUAAAAAAUGUAUGGUAUCAAAGAAAGAGAAACACACACACACACAUAGAUUAGUGGGGAGAUAUAUGAGUGUGUAAUUUGUAUAUAUAUCCCCAUUAAUUGUUGAUAGUCCAAUGGGUAUAUGCAAAAGGAAAAAAAUUGGCUGUCCUUAAAGACAAAAUUGACUGUCACAUGAAAAUGUUAGCACACUUGCCACGCAACAAAAAUAAAGAUUCCAAGAACAACUUUAUGGUCCCCUUUCUGUCCAAACAUAUGCGAUAGAAAUUAGUGUAAACGACACUUGAAAUAUAUAUGUAGAUCCUCACACAAUUGAUUAAAUAUUUAUAGUAGGGUGGAGUGAUAAAUAGUUUCACAAAAUUAUUGGAAUUAACUGCUUAAUACAUGAGAUCUAUCUCAUUAAGUAUAAAAGAUUGAGUGCUGCUUCAAAAGCAUGACGUUGCUGGCAACAAAUUUAACACAAAAGUUUAAUUAAUUAUCCUAGUUGAGAAGAUAAAAUCUCGUAUUAAGAACAAAAGGUUUGAGGUUCGAACAUUCUCAUUCAAGAAAAUCAAGUCAAAAUAUUACAUCUUCCAGCACAUAUCAAAGAUUUUUUCAAUUUCCAAAACCCAACAAAAUCUUUGUCAAAAUAUAUGAUCUAGUCCCAUAUUAAGCACAUUCAUAGCUGUAUCAACAGGUUCAAAAUAUUUUCCCCAAAAAGAGAUAGAGAUUCCAUUGAGUUGCGAUUGUCCAAACGUCUUGUAAUUAUAUGGUUCAGGAUACCAUGCCUGUGAAUCGUUUUUUUUUUUUUUUUUUCAUGUUUCGAAGUCUAUCAAAUAAAAAUGUAAUUAUAUGGUUCAGGAUAUCAAUGUGCCGGAGCUGCAAAAGUUGACUUAUACUAUCCUAUCAAUGUCUAUACUUUCUAUUGAAUUUCCUUGUUUUUUUUUAAAUUGCGAGAUUUAUUUUUGGAAAUCUUUGACACAUUUUAUGUAAAAUACCAUAAAGCCAAAUACAACCUUUUUUAUUCUCAGCAGCAACUUUUUUUUUUCCUUUUAAAAAAAGGAAGCCAUAUAAAUAAUGCUUAAAACAUUAUUUGCAGCAAGGAACAAUUAUUUCAUGCUUUCAUGUAUUAGAAACUUUCCAAAAACGCUAGCAAGAAAAUGAAAUGGAACUUUACCUAGUCACAGAAUAUGUACUGUUGUUAGCACAAUUGUUAUGAAGUGGCUUCUGCAUUAGAAGAUUCCAGCUCCCACCAAGCAUUGUUAUCUCUCUUCUGAAUAUAAUCUACAUCGCUGGGCAUGAGUUAUAUCAUUAAUGUCUGGUUCCUCACUUACAUCAUCCCAAUCAAGUGCUUUUUCUCCACAUUUGGAUUAUAGGUCCAAUCUCUUCAAAACAUCCUAGUCCUUCCAUCCCAACUGAUACGACUUCCUUCCUAAUUACUUUCCCAUUAAUAAAUCGCUCCAAGAAAAAAAAGCAUUAGCAAUUCUCUUCAACGCCCCAUCACUCAUAUCCCCCACAACAACCAUCUUCAGCCACCUCAACGUUGCCUCUUGAAAGACCUCCACAAAAUCCGAAUCAUCCGACACAACCACCAAACACCCAAACCUUCUUUUGUCCACCAUAGCCACCAUAUAAUUUCUCAACAAAACAUCGGCAUCUUGUGGCUUAACUAACACCAUCCUGACCCAAAACCAUGCUCUUUUUAACUCAUCUGCAAAACCAUAACCCACUUUUGGAGUCAAAAUUGCGCUUGCAGCCAUUUUAUUUUUUUCCAUCUUUAUUGAAUAGUUGCCGACCAAAAGCACUCUCACCUUCCCUCUAGCUGAUUCUAUUUGAUUCGACCUUUUCUUUUGUUCACCCUCAUGAAUUUGCCUAAAAUGAUUAACAAGUUUGUCAUUAUUAUAAAAUCUCCUUCCAUAAUCACCAAUACAUACGGCUUAGCAGACCUAAUUACACCCUUGAUUUCUAAUUGGUAAACAAUUCUCUUUCUUUCUUUGCUCUCUUACAACUUGAGGCACAUAACCAAACGCGUGGCUAUUUGGAUUUUGUUAUCCAAAUACCAAAAAUUUCUCACAUUGUGUUGGACAGUUUUUGGUUCUAAAGUUGAUGACUGGUUUUGCGAAUCAGGCUUCAAAUGAGAACUUCUAAACAAUAAGACAAAUGGGUUUUUAGUUUAUAAUCUUGUAAACUUUGUUCUAUUGUAUAAGUUAUGAAAUCGCUGAAACAUCACUACAGCUACAGGUCUUUAUGUGUCAAUGAACUGCAAAAGCUAAUGAUCUACUUGUAGUAGACUUCUAUUGCCCCUGCCGUUCUAGGAAGACAAACAAGUUCAGGAACUACUUCUGGACCAAACUCAUAAUAUUGCCACUGCUUUGUGCCAAUCUCAGAGGGAAAGAAGAUUGAAGUUCCUAAAUAAGGCACAUCAUGAUUUGAUAGAAGUACCACUAUAAGGAAAAAUUGAUUUCAGGAAAGCACUAAAUUAUGACAUAAUCUCCCCCUAAUGGUCUAAAGUAGUCAAGAAAUGAUAUUAACCAAGUAAAAACACAUAAACUAGUUGAGAUACAAAGUUAUCAUAAAAGUCAAUUUUGACCACAAAUCCAUUAAAAUUAAAAGUCAUCAGAAACUUAGAGAACAUUAUAAUUUAGGACUCAGCUAAGUUGCAGAUUCUGUAACUAACAGCUGAGUCCACAUUGGUCUUGCAUCAGCUGAGUUUAGGUUGCUUUUCCUCUCUCCUGCAACGAGUACGUGGAAGCGCCCCAUUUGCUGUGUUAUAGAACGAGUCGGUACCGUAACAAGCUCCUAUAAUUUAAGUUUGAUUACUGUAGACAAUAGUCUGCCUCUGCUCAAAAGCUAUGCUGCAAGAUAUAACAUCUUUGCAAUGUUAUACUUUCUAAAAGUAAUAAGAAAUGAAACCAAGGGGUAAAUCGAACACCAAAAGAAAUUUAGUCGGCCAACCACAUUAUGUUCCCACACAGUCCACUAAUUAAGUUAAUAAUUAAAGGGAAUCAAAAUCUAAGAAAUCUCAUCGUCAAGCAUAAUACAAACACACCGGGAUUGAAAACCACAAAAUCAUAAAAAGAAGCUGAUUUGAAAAGCUCAAAUAUACGUUCAUCAGCCUCUCAACUUAUAUCUAAGAACAAAUGCCUGCAGCCUGUGAAGACAUAGAUAAUUGAAGCUGAGGAGGCAUAUUUAACAGAUGAUUAAACUCAUGCGAUUAAAAUUAUAAUUCAAUAAUCGAGCACAUAAAAUAACAAGAAUCUAGUUGUAUAUAUACCAAGCAACUUUAUGAAGUUAAAUAUACCAACGCCAAUACUCUUAUUAUUAUCCAAAUAUAGAAGACCAAUGCAUCAAACAAGGAAAAUGAAAUAUUGUUAAUAACUCAAAAACCACUAGUGUCAAGAACUAAACUAAUAAGUAAAACCCAUAAUCAGACACAACCACAUCAAAAUCUCUAAAAAUUGAGGUCUAAACAUUGAAAACAAUUAGACAUAUAUAACAGUCAAUCGAAACAAAGCCUCAAAAUAAUAAUGAACUACAAUAAGACAUAAACUAAAUUGUAAACAAGCGCAUACUCAGUAACAGUAAUCAAGUAACAAGUCAAAACCAAAAUCAAACGUAGAAUUUUGAAAUCCAUACGAACUCUAACGUAUUAGAAUGAAAGAAUAAGGACGAUCGAUAAACUAGAAUCAAACAAAACAUGCCCAGUUAAAAAACGAAGGUAAAUAAAUAAAAAUGAUAUAAAACUGAGAAAAAAAUUAAUGAAAUGAAGAGAAAAUCACAGGAAUCCUAUGAAGAGGAAGGUAAACAAAACCUUCGAGAGCCGAGAAGAUGCCUUUUUUUGUUCACUUUUGUGCCUAUACAUACAUUUUUUUUUUUUUGUAAUUUUGAAGAAAGUAUUGGUUAAAUAUUGUCAGAACGAAAUAUUAAUAAUAGAUCCUGGCAAUUUCAACAAGGACAAUCUUCGAUUCAAAUGUACCCCUAUGAUAAAGAAAAAGCCAGCUUGGCUAAAUUUUGAGCACCACAUUACAAAAUCUAGGUGCAUGUUUAACUAUGCAAAAUGAAACCUCUAUUAAUUGUAAGUCCCUUGACCUCUGGAACCAGCCAACCAGUAUCUUUCCUGUUAGACAAACUUCCAUCGAUCAGACUAAUAAUAUUUACUGAAUCAUGUUCUACAGUUAAUGGAGUUGGACCCAAGGCAAUUGUUAGAAGUCCGCCUAGACAUAGAGUGCGCUUAGAAGUGGGAUGCUUAGAAAUGGGCCGCCAACACAACCAGCCAACCGUAGUGUGCUUAGCAAAUCACUGAAACCCGGCCCAAGAUCUAGAACUAUCUACAAAUUGUAAAUAAGCUAAAAGUUUCUAAGUUUCUCUACAUAGGUCCCUAGGAUAUUUAUGGAAGUUGCUAGGAAGUUUCCUCCCCUAGAACUCUAAUACCUAUACCCUCUCAUUUGCCCACCAACCACACCACACAGACAAACACUCCAGCACACACACAAGCUCUCUAGCUUUUGUAAAAAACUCUCUUGUAUAUUCUCUCUUUGUGAGUAAUAAAAUCAUAUUCAGCCAUAUUGCUACACUUCUCUCUAGCAUUUUCUACAAGUGUUCUUGCUUCGCUAGUUUGAGGAGUGUUCUAGGCUUGCUUAACAACUUGUUCGCUAUAAUGACAUCUUGGUCACAAAGCAUGGACAUGCAAGAAAAAAAAAAUAUUGAUACGUUAUAAAAAUAAUACGCGUUCUUCUACAGUGAACCAAAAAAUUUAGGCUAAUGGUAGCAAGUGAAGGAAUUGUGAUUUCACGUGCAUUUUGUUGACAUGAACGUAAAGGACUUUUUUUUAUAGUUUAUAUUGUUUAAUAUAACAUUUGAAUUGCAAAAUAGAUACACGAAGUGAUAAAACUAAGCUGAUUAUAAUAAAUAUUGAAUUAUAAGAUUUAGGUUUAAUCAUAAAGACAUAAGUGGUGCACAAAGUCACGAAUUGAUAUCAUCCACGAUGCAAGUUCAAACAACUGCAUAAUAAGUUGCCCCAAGCUAAACUAUUAAUCUAGUAACUAUUCCAGUCGAUGUGGGAUAAUUUUCCUAUCACCAUCUAUCAUGUGCAAGCCGAAUUUUUUGCUUGGUCCUUACAUGUGGUAAGGUCAUAUGAAUCCACUUGUGCAUAAAUUUGGCUCCGAUACUAUAUAGAAGCCUAUGACCCAAAAUUAUACUUAAAGGUUAUCUCAAGAUUUGAGGAUUGACUCAAGCUAAUAUUAUUAUUAGUCUGGUAACCUUUUUUGUUUGUUGAUAUGUGAUAUUUUACCUAUAACUUUUAUUAAUCUUUAUGCUUAUGUUUUUUCAUUUAUCCCAAAAUAUAACAUUAACAAAAGUUCCAAAAUUUCCUUCAAGAGAUAUAUUUGAGACAAGUAAUUUGUGCAAUAACUUUGUAAAUUGAUGAGCAAAUUCAGAGAAAAGAAUGAAACCCGGCCCAAGAUCUAGAACUAUCUACAAAUUGUAAAUAAGCUAAAAGUUUCUAAGUUUCUCUACAUAGGUCCCUAGGAUAUUUAUGGAAGUUGCUAGGAAGUUUCCUCCCCUAGAACUCUAAUACCUAUACCCUCUCAUUUGCCCACCAACCACACCACACAGACAAACACUCCAGCACACACACAAGCUCUCUAGCUUUUGUAAAAAACUCUCUUGUAUAUUCUCUCUUUGUGAGUAAUAAAAUCAUAUUCAGCCAUAUUGCUACACUUCUCUCUAGCAUUUUCUACAAGUGUUCUUGCUUCGCUAGUUUGAGGAGUGUUCUAGGCUUGCUUAACAACUUGUUCGCUAUAAUGACAUCUUGGUCACAAAGCAUGGACAUGCAAGAAAAAAAAAAUAUUGAUACGUUAUAAAAAUAAUACGCGUUCUUCUACAGUGAACCAAAAAAUUUAGGCUAAUGGUAGCAAGUGAAGGAAUUGUGAUUUCACGUGCAUUUUGUUGACAUGAACGUAAAGGACUUUUUUUUAUAGUUUAUAUUGUUUAAUAUAACAUUUGAAUUGCAAAAUAGAUACACGAAGUGAUAAAACUAAGCUGAUUAUAAUAAAUAUUGAAUUAUAAGAUUUAGGUUUAAUCAUAAAGACAUAAGUGGUGCACAAAGUCACGAAUUGAUAUCAUCCACGAUGCAAGUUCAAACAACUGCAUAAUAAGUUGCCCCAAGCUAAACUAUUAAUCUAGUAACUAUUCCAGUCGAUGUGGGAUAAUUUUCCUAUCACCAUCUAUCACGUGCAAGCCGAAUUUUUUGCUUGGUCCUUACAUGUGGUAAGGUCAUAUGAAUCCACUUGUGCAUAAAUUUGGCUCCGAUACUAUAUAGAAGCCUAUGACCCAAAAUUAUACUUAAAGGUUAUCUCAAGAUUUGAGGAUUGACUCAAGCUAAUAUUAUUAUUAGUCUGGUAACCUUUUUUGUUUGUUGAUAUGUGAUAUUUUACCUAUAACUUUUAUUAAUCUUUAUGCUUAUGUUUUUUCAUUUAUCCCAAAAUAUAACAUUAACAAAAGUUCCAAAAUUUCCUUCAAGAGAUAUAUUUGAGACAAGUAAUUUGUGCAAUAACUUUGUAAAUUGAUGAGCAAAUUCAGAGAAAAGAAUAUAUGUGCCAAACAUAACGUUUAUUAUUGUGUUUAUUUGUAGAGCUAUUUAAAGCCCAAAAAAAAAAAGCACCAGUCCGCUAUGAUUUCAAAUAAGUUCAAGCUCUAUGUCAUUAUUGGUACAAUAUCAGAAAGGUUAAAAACUAUUUUUAAAGGUUAAAAACUAUUUUUAUUUAACUUAUAAACUUAGGAAAUUAUCAAAUGUCCGCCCUUAAAUUGCGCUAUUAUAAAAAAUAUUACAACAUUUUCAGGUUGGAUCAUUCAUCUACCAUAAAUUUACAAUCUGCAUAAUUUAUCCACCAAAUCAUUAACUUCGUCAAAAAGUGAUAGACGUCACAAGGGUAAUUUAGACAUUUAACACAAAAAAAUAAAAGAGAAAUUAUCUAAGCUUACCAUGUUAUCAAAAUUGCUACAAAAUUUUAAAUUUGUUCAAUUUUCCAAUCUAAGUUUAUGACCUCCAAGAUGUUAAUUGCAGUUUGUAAUUAAUGACUUCAUAAGGAUAAUUUAGACACUCAAUAUGCAAAAUAAAAAAUAAAAUAAUGGCUUAAAAGAUUAAAACAAAAAACUACUUUUUAUAAUUGAUAUUCAAUUAAAUAAACAUAAACUCUAUUUUUUCUUAAUUAAAAAUAUUCUAAUUUAUUUUCUCAAUUUAUCAUCAUAAAUUUACAUUAAUAAACUAAAUCCACAAAUUACCCUAAACCCUAAUUCAUAAAUGCCCAAUCAAUCAAAUAGUUUAAUUCGAUUUCAUAAUUAAAAAAGCUAAAUUUAUUAUAUUAGUUAUGGUGCAAAGUAAAAAAUGUCCUUAAAUCCAAGGGUAAAAUAGCAUUUUAUUUAAAUUCUAUAAAUUAUUCUAACAAUGUUAACAUUUUGGUGGACGGUUAAUAUAAGUUACAAACUUAAAAUAGAAAAUCAAAUAAAUUCAAAAUUUCAAACUAUUUAGGGCAAAUUUAGGAUAUAUGGUUAAUAAUUUUCCUAUGUCUUUUUACAUAAGUUGAUAGAAGUUACAAACUUAAAAUAGAAAUAAAAUAAAUUUAAAUUUUCAAAUCAUUUAGGGCAAACUUAGGGCAUAUGGUUAAUAAUUUUCCUAUUUUUUUAACGUUAAAUUGAGUUUCAAAGACAUAAUGGUCAAUUUAUUAUAAUUCUAUUAAAUUUUUUAAUGGAAGCAAGCGAUAUAAUGGAUGAAUGAUAUAAAUUGUAAAAUUAAGGUGCAUGAACGAUAUAAUUUUAAAGUAUUGUAGUACUUUUAAUAAUAAAACAAUUUAAAGGUGGAUUGGCGAUAAUUUAAACUUUAAUGAAGCAACUAAAAAAAAUUUUUAACAAAGAAAAAUAAUUGAAUGCUUUGUGAAACCAAAAAUAUUUGAAAUGCUUUAAGAAAAAUAAAGGAAAUUAAAUAUCUUUUUAAAAAACAUAAUUGAGUAAAAUCAUUUUACAAAAUGCUCUUUCAAAUGCACAUUCCACAAGCGCACAUUCCACAAGCCAAGAAGAACGGGUGGCUAACAAAAAUCUCACUUUUUAUGAGUUUAUAAAAUCUCACUUUCACAAAAUCCAAAAAUAACCAAUACUAUCACACAAAAAAUAAAAAGUAUUGCUGUCACGACAUUACACACUUUCUUCGCCGUCUAGAAAGGUAGAACAUUUUGAAGUUCCUCAAUACAAAAUGCGUGCUAUUACUAAAUUGGCCCAAUUAGUGCCCAUCGAAAGGCCAUCGAUUUAGCCACCAAAUUUGCCAAAGUUUUAACAAUUGAAGAAAUAGUGAACUCAAAAGGAACAGGUAAAUUUUGAAGUUGAACAAACCUUAAGGUACGGGAAAUUUGCAACCUACCCCCAAAUAAAUUGAUAUUUUGCACCGUGUCCCCAACAAAUUUGACUUAUUGCACCGCGCACCCAAAAAAAUUGACAUUUUGCACCACGCCCGCAAUUCCGUUACUUUUUCAGUUAUUUCUAACGGCUCCGUCUAACUUUUGAUUGAAUGACAAAAAUGCCCCUCUAUAUAAAAAAAAAUUUUUUAGCUCAUUUAAUUUUUUUAAGGUUUUUUUUCAAUUGCAAUAAAAAAAAAUUCUUCUUACAUGUUCAUUGUCACCACUAUUAUUUUUCCUUUAAUUUUUUUAAGAUUUUUUUAAAGAUUUUUAUUUUAAUUGCAAUAAAAAAAUUUCUUGUUACACGUACAUUGUCACCACUAUUAUUUUUUCUUUAAUUUUUUAAAGAUUUGUAUUUCAAUUUUAAUAAAAAAAACUCUUGUUACAUGUACAUUUGUCACCACUAUUAUUUUCCUUUAAAUUUUUAAAGAUUUUUAUUUUAAUUGCAAUAAAAAAAUUUCUUGUUACAUGUACAUUGUCACCACUAUUAUUUUUCCUUUAAUUUUUUAAAGAUUUUUAUUUUAAUUGCAAUAAAGAGAAUUCCCAUUAAAAUUAAUUUAAGGAAUAAACUUCAAAUUUUACCCCUCCACCGUUAAACUUAACUGAGAAAAUAACGGAAUUGGGGGCGAGGUGCAAAAUGUCAAUUUAUUUGGGGGUAGGUUACAAAUUACCCCUUAAGGUACAUACAACAAAGCCUUGAAACUUUAGUCUUCACAAUUUAAUCACGCAAUAAUAUUAAGUAUCCACCUAAAAAAACAAGUAUAGAACAAAGCUUGUUAGCUUCUUGGGCAUUAACUAUGAAUGAUGAGUAAAAUUAAAAAAGCAAACAGAGAAAAUUAUAAGAAGAAGAAAAGCAAACAUUUAAAAAAAAAAUUAUGAGAAGGAAAAUUUUGGUAGAACUCCGUGGCUCAUCUGUGAAAUUAAUGUCAAUAUGUAAUUUUAUGUAAAUAGGGUCUCUGGAUUUUAGGAUGAAUCAAUCAGCUACCACAAACGAAAACAUGAACCAACUAUAUAUAGAGUCAAUUAAUUAAAGUUCUCAAGAGCUUACCUCUGCUCCAGAAUUCUCGGAAUCAUCAAUCUCCUUCUGAAUUUGCGCGAAGCUUGGGACAACCAAGAAAGCGUCCAGGUGGAACUGGGUUUGGAUAACCCGCAGGCCAAAAGUUGGUGAGGUUUGGUAAAUUUAUCAGUUCUAUGCCCUGAAGUUCAUUCGUAACAAUUUCAUUGUAAUCCGUGACGUCUGCUCCACCUUUAUGCCAGAAUACUUCUUCUAAUUCAUCAUUACCUACUACGAAUAGGUACUUCAGUUUUGGAAGACUUGGAGCUACGCUGAUAUGAAAUAGAUGCUUUAGCUUGGGGCAAAAACAGACAGUGAUCCUUGUGAGUUUUUGGAAACAUACAGGUUGGAGAUGAUCCUCAUCCUCAUCCUCAUCAAUGAUUUGCUCUAAUUCCAAGCAAUUCGAAACAGAUAACUCCUCCAAUUGCAACAGAUUUCGAGCAAGUGUUGAUGAGAGGAGCCGUCUCAGCAUAGUGCACCGCUCUACUGUUAAUCGGGUAAGAUUUUGCAGGCUAAAAUUAUGCGCGGGACCUUCAUGAUAUAAUACUCGCAGUUCUCGAAGAUCUUCCAAUCCCAACCCUUUCAAACAUGGGAAUGGUUUGUUUGCUUGUCCCUCAGCGAUAAUAGCUUCCGACUGAAACACCACCAGUACUCCAAUUUUGCUAAUAUUCAAUUCUUCCAAAUUUUUUAAGCCGUGCUUCAACAAUACUGGAAUCGUGUCGCUCAAAUGGGAACAAUUGUCCACAUUUAGAAUUUUAAAGUUCUGAGACAAAUAAAUAAAUAACUUGAUGUAAUUAAAAUCUAUUAGCAGCUAGGAUUAUCACAUGAUAAGUGACGAACACCGCAAAAAACAAAAAUAGAAACAAAAUCCAUACAAAAAUAUAAUAAUACAUAUGUAAACUAAUAAAAUAAUUAAAAAGUAAUAUGGAUUGAUAAUGUGAAGUGACAUAAAGGUGACAUUAGAUUGUUUGAGAAAAAUUAGUAUUUUAUUAAUUUUUAUGGAUUGAUCAACUAAUUAAUUGAAUUUGAGUAAUAUUAUAUACACUUUAGUAAGUGUUUGCAUCAAUUCUUUCUAAACCAAAAUGAGAUAAGACUUCCAUUUGAACAAUGAUUUUAGGCCCUAAAAUAAAGAAAUUUCCCUAAGAUACCAAGGCGGAUGUACGGUACAGCAGAUUGAAUGACAAAAAUGCCCCUCUAUAUAAAAAAAAAUAAAUUUUGAUCAUAAAAUUAAUUACUAAAUUAUCAUUUUGAGUAAAAUUGAAGGAAAAGAAAAAACGUAAACACAAACAAACAUACCUCUUCAAGAUACUGCAAAUUGGCUUCAAGUUCAGUACUGCUGACGGUCAAGUUAGAACAGCGAAUAAGGUCUAACUCUUCCAAUGCUGUCCAAAUUGAACAAUAAUUUUCUGAACAGAAGCUCUUGAGUUUUGGGAGAUUGCAAAGUGUUAAUUUUCUCAACAAAGGGAGGGCAAGCAUCAUAUUUCCAUCUCCGACACUUAUUUCCCCUUCAUUGUAAUCAAACUUUGCUUCGACAAUACAUUCCAUUCUCUGGCAUCCACUUACAAAGAGACUUUUAAGCUGCUUCAAACUUCUAGCUUGUGACAACGUGAAGAUAUAUGUCAAAUUGUUGCACCCAUACACACUCAAUUUUGUAAGAGCUUGGAGGCUGAUCACAUGUUGGGCGGGCGCCUUCCAUAUCCACUUCAGUUCUGGUAAUUGCCACAUAGAUAACUCUGCUAAUCUUGAGAGCAUCACAGGAUUCCCACUCUUUCCAUACGGCGACUUAGAGGCAUCCAUUAUGCAUUCUAAUUCUUUGCACUCCUUGGCAGAAAGACAAGGCAACUCAUUUAAGCCCUUUGGAUCUAUGCUUGGCACAAUAUUGUGACAACCUAUAAUCGUUCUUAAAUUAAGAAUUUCCAGUUCUUGAAACAAUGCCGAAAAAAUACCGAGCGAGGUCGCUUCACAAUUAUUAAUCUUUAAGCACCUUCUCUGUCCAAAAAUUUCAUCUUCUUCGUCCAUUAGAAAUUCAAGUUUGUUACCGUUACUGACGUAGUGCCUUUGCAAUUUCGGGAAUGUAAAGUCUUUUGGAAGAUGUGCAAUGUUUUUGUCAGUAUGUACAGUCUUUCCGUCGUCAUUUUCUUCUGAACUUAUCCCUUCAGCCUCCCAAUCUUUUAUCCGACCAUAAAAUUCUUCUAAUUGAGGAAAUUUUUUUAUCGUAAUGGGAGAAAUACGACCAGAGUUAAUGAAUAUAAGAAGUUUCAAUGUACUUAGUUGAUCGCCAAAUUCUUCAGGAAUUUCAAUGGGAGACCCCUUGACACAAAGGAUUUGAAGUCUCUUCAACUUUCCAAGGAAAGACGCGUCACUCACGUUACAUCGAAUCAACUGCAGAACUUGGAGGUUGGUGAGGAAUUGAAGCGAUUUAAGUGAAAUGACUCCUCCUAUUAUAGUAACAACUUUCAAUGCUGGCAUCCCUUCGAAAAAAUGUUCUGGAAUAUGCAAUUGAUAGUCAUAUUCAAUAUUCUCCAGUCGCAAAAUAUGAAGGUUAGGGCAUACCAAACCACUUGGAAGCUCUUCUUUUUCAUUUCCCAUCAAAGAGAUUCCUCUGUAUUGUUCCAUUGCCCGUUCUGCCAAUCCAAUGCCAACUUUACUAGUAAAAUAUUUUUUCUCCAUUGAGCCUAUCCAUAAGGCUACGUCACGUACAAUGUCAUGCAUUUUUACAAAUCUGUCAUUACCAGCGUCUAAUAGCAGUGAAGAAGCUUUGAGCUCUUUAAUCGUUCCACUCACUAGGCUCCUGGCAUCUUCGAUUGACUCAGCUUGAUACCAAUCCAACGCCACUGCAUAUCCAACCAAAUCCUCCAAAUCUAUCUCAUAAUCUUCUGGAAAUAGCGAACACAACAAGAAGCAUGACCUUGAAUCCUCACCAUUCAAAUAAUCGUAACUAAAUUUGAGACAAUGGUAAACGUCUUGGUCCUCCUUGCCAAUACCUUCUAUUGUAUUAAGUUUUGCAUUUUGUAGUUUAUGUAGAGCUACUUUCCAUUGACCAAAUCCUUUACCUCUUAGCGCACUUCCAACAGCCUUAAUAGCUAAAGGCAACCCCUUACAUUCAUUAGCAAUUUGUUCUGAAACACCAAUCAAGGUUGAAUCAGCAUCAAUGCCGGCAUGCUUUCUUAGUAAAGCCAAUCCUUCUUCUCGCUUUAGAACACCUAGUUGAAUCCGCGUGUCACAACCCAUGCGAUCACAAACUGGCUGAAGGCGAGUGGUUAGAAGGAUUUUGCAACAAUUGUCUAUAUCACCAACAGGAAUACCUACUGUCUCCAAGUCAAGUUCAUUCCAGACAUCGUCAAGGAUUAUGAGGAUCUUGCGGCUUUUACUCUCACAGAACAUCAAGCGCAAUCGGUCUGCUCUAUCAUUUUCAUCUUUCUCCGUUAAUGCCCAACCUAACGACUUUACCAGCUCACUUUGAACAUUUAUUAUAUUUGGAUCCCGAGAUAUAGUGGCUAUCCCUACGUCAUCGAAAAUCUUUUGUUGCCGAAGUUGAUUGCCCGCAAAUUUUGCCAAGGUCGUCUUUCCUACACCACCGAGGCCAUGUAGUCCCACCAUUUUUGUGCUUUCUCUUUUCAGUGAUUCAAUGAUCUGAUUGCAAGCCAGUUCUGUAGUCUCGAAAGACGUAAAAUGUCUUGGUGCGGGCAAUUCUUUGCUUGAAGGUAGAGGUUUAGGACGGGCAACUGUGCUGAAUUUGUCGUAUUUCUUUUGUAGAUCGGACAACUUGCGAGUCUCCUUUGAUGCUUUUCUACCCAGCCAAUAUAGGCAACGCCAAUUAGGACACCAUCCAUUAAGACAACUUUUGUUUUCAUCUAUCUUUGCUUUCAAAUUUUGAACAUUGGCCAUUUCUUUGACUACAUCCGCCAGCCACUUCUCUACAUCUUUCUCGACAACUAUGGCGCGGUGUUUUUGUCGAUCUUGUUCUACUUUUUCAUUGACGCCAUCUUGUGCCUCCUUCAAAUUAGUUUCUUUAUCCCCAAGUUCUUUAAUAAUGCUGUUGAAGCAGAACAUAUAGCGAGCUUGGUUUAUGGUUGCGUCCGCCAAUAAUUCUCCAAGCUUUGAUGCAACGCCUGAUAAAAUUUCCAUGCUAUUUAUCUGCAAUUAAUGAAAUUGAUCUCAGUAUGCUAUAAGCAAUUAAAACAACAAGGCUUGGUCGCAAGAUCGAACGUGAACGUUUAAUUACUUUAAUUUUUUUUUUGGCUUAUUAACGCCAGCAUUGAAAUUAGAUUACUUUAGAAAUUUUUAAAUAAAAAUAUCAAACAACAAAUUUAAUAGAAUCCAGAUAAACCUAAGAAUUUGUUGUGCAUUGCGAGUGAAGACAGGCAGUUGCAUGGGGAAUAUGAUAAAAGUGAUGAAUAAUUGAAAAGCCACCCAUAAUAACAAUUAAAAAGAGUAUUAGAGAUUAGAGUAGUUUAACAUUCUAUGCAAGCCCACUCAUGAUAAAAUUUGAAUUGUUUCAAGAUGAUUACCUUCUUCUUUUUUUUUUUUUAAAUAAAACCAUAAUUCCAAAUAAUAUCUUAAUUUCCUUUUCCUUCAAAUGUUCAUUAAACUCACAUAUUGGAUAAUUAAUUUAAUUAUUUGUUAAAUUAUUUAUUACCCUAUCUUAUUAUUCAAUAGAUAUAAAUGACACCUUAAUUAGGUUUUAAUUGGAAACAAAUAUAAAAUAUUAUUUUUUGAUUAAUUUUGUGAAUUCUUUUAAUGUUCGAAUUAGAAUAGAAUAAUUUGUAUAAGGAUAAUUUAUACAAAGAUAAUCUGCAAAAUAAGCUUAUUUGUCGAGUUUAAAAGAGUUAUAUGAGUAAUCAUAUAUUUAUCAAAAUUUUUUAAUAAAAAUUUUGUUUAAAAAUUGGCCAAAUGGGUUUAAAAUAGAAGGGCAUGAACAGCGCCACUUUCAAUUUUUUUUUUUUUUUUGUACAAUUGAAAAGACGUUUUAAAUGGACCAAUUUGAAAUGGCAGGAGAGCAUAAUGGACUCAUGCUGGGACUUGGGUAGGAAAAUUAAUUUUAUUUUUAAAAGUAUGGUCAACAGUACUGACUUGGAGGUGAUUGACGUUAAGUUAAAUUAAUACAAACAAAUGGCAAAAAUAAUUUAAUGAAAAUUAAUUAAUAAAAAAUGUUUUAAAAAUAAGAACUUAAGUUCUUGAUCAUUAAUAUCCGUAUGUUUUUAAUCCAACGGCUCAGAAUUGGCAUAAAACUAGCCAUUGGAAGUAAAACAAAUAUCAAAUUAAGGGCCUAUAACACAAUAAGAUCUCAUACCUUCUUCGUUGUAUAUCCUCAAUUACUGCUGAAAGCUCCAGUUAGAGAGUUGCACAAGUUCGGAGAAAAAUAAAAAGCUGCAUCUAGCAAUAUAAAUAAAUAUCUAGCUAAUUAACAUCAUAUAUAAGUCCUUGUUCUCUAUCAAAAUCUUUCCUUCUUAAAAAGAAAUAAUAAUAAUAGCAAUAAUAAUUGAAAUAAUAACUGCGGGUGAUACAGGAAGCAAAAGUAACAUACCGAAAUGAGAGCAGCUCACGUAUCUGGUGACUUCCAAGAGAAUGAAAAAUGAAUGACCUUCGGCAGCAAGAUCCAAAUCAUGUAUCACAGCUCACGUUUCUUUUUUUCUUUUUUUUUAAUUAAAUUUUAUAUCACAGUGUGAAUUGAAAGGUGAAAAGUGAAAUGGUACACAUGCGUAUGAUGAGGGGGCAAUUUUUAGACACCUCCCCGAGGUUUAAGGUCUUCUGAAUUAGAUGGAUUGUAUUUUCGUAUUAUCAAAUACCUCCCCUGCCCGUUUUUAUUCCAUUUAGUCUUUUCUAAAUAGCUGAAGGUAAAUUGGUAAAACUCAUUUAAAAUAAAAUAAAAAAUCAAAGAAAUUCAAGAAGAAGCUUUGUAUCUGCCAUUUGUAUUUGGGGUAUCUUUUUGGUUGUUGAGUGAAUGAGCUUAAAUCUUAAAUAUUUAUUUUCUUAUUAUAUAUUUCUCAUUGGAAAGAAUUUGAAUCUUAUUCUUAUUAAACUUAUUCUCUUUAAAUAAAAGUAGAUUUCUCUCCAUGUAUUUAGCAUGUAUUUUGAAAUUAAUGUUCAACAUAUCUUUAGAUCCUAUUAUAAAUAUUCAUAUCUAAAAUCUCAACAGAUUCCAACAUAUAAAUAUAUAUAAAGAGAGAGAGUAACGUUUUAAUAAGAAAUUUCUUAAAUUAUCAAAUUAAAGUAUAAUUCAAAAGAUAAAAAAAAUACAUAAUCUAAUAUAUUAUAUAACAAAAUAUACUAUAUUAAAAUAUAUAUUUUGCUUAAUUUUUUAAUAAAUCCCAUAAUAACUUAAGAAACCCUUUAUUUACCUGAUAUAUAUGUGUGUGUAUAAUUUUUUACAAAAUAAACAAUUUAGAGUAAAACAAAGGACAUUCUGGGGGCCUUUUGCUAGACUACCAAUCUACCAUUUUGGAUUGCAAUAAAGUGAAAAUACUGGACUACUAUUUUGGAUUGCAAUAAAGUUAAAAUGGGUUACACCAAAAAAGUAAAAAAAAAAAGUGACAAUCAAUCUUGUCGGCCAAUACACCGACUUUUUUGCCGGAUUAGUAUCGCCGUCGAAAACAAAUUAUUGCAAGCACUAGCAAAAAGCAAUCGAUGAUUUCGCAAUUUGGUUGUCAAAAAGCAAACUAGAUCACGAUUCCUCAAUUCAAAAUGGGGCAAAUUAUGGUAUCACAAUGAUACCGUAGGGAUGGCAAUGAGGCAUAUAUGGGUUGGAUCUACUCUACUCCAGAUCCAAAUUCAUAAUAAAAAUCAAGAUCCGUAUCUACUCUAGAUCCGUCAUGAAUCCAUAUUUUUCGCUCCAUAUCCAGAUCCAAAAAAUAAAAAUAAAAAUCUAUAUCUGCUCCAAAUCCAAAAAAAAAUUAAAAUCUGCUCUAGAUCCAUCACGAAUUCUAAAAUUCAGUAAUAAAAAAGUAAUAAUUUUUUAGAUUGAAAAUUGAAGGCUAAAAUGUAUUGAUAACAAAUAAAUUAUAUAAUUUUUCUAAAAAAUAUAAUAAAUAUUGUAGCUUAUACUUUUACACCAAACAACAAAUAAGAAAGAUAGUAAAAUAUCAUUCAGAAGUAAUUGCAAAAGUAAGAUCAAUCUAAUAUUUUAUUGUCUCCUUCAUCAUUCUAAUAUCCACGAUACACCUACCCUCAUUCCUACAACAUUAGAUAAUGACAUAUAAAUUAAAUAUGAUUUAUAUUCAGUCCUUUAUUAUUUUUAUUAUGACCAUAUUUGAAUAAAUAUAUGAAUAACUAUAUUUCUUAAAAAUUAUUUGGCCAAUAUAAUAAAAUAAAUUGCCAGGUUAUAUUACUUGGCUUGCAAUUUGAAUAUUGCAUGUACAUGCUUUGGGGCUGGCUGACCUUUAAAUUUACAAAACUAACAUUUAAGUUUUAAGAGUUUAAAUGCAUGGUAAAUACUACUAAUAUGCUAUGAAUAAAAUUUAUUAUCAUUAUAAUUCCACAAUUGUUAAGAAACUUUUAAAAUAAAAUAAAAUUAAAAGAUGAGUGGAUAUGGAUAUGGAUUUAGAUAUUAAGAUAGAUCCAGAUCUGCUCUAGAUCCGUCUUAAAUCCGCAUAUCGAUAUCCAAAUCCGAUCCAAAUCCAUUUUAAACCAAUCCAAAUCCGAUCCGAUUGGAUUUGGAUCACGUGGAUCUUGGAUAAGAUCCAAUCCAUUGCCAUCCCUAUGGUACCGUACUACGGCUGGAUCCAGCCUAUAGUUAUCAUCAUAAUUGGAGCAAACGGUUGGAUUCAUCUGUAGUAUGGUACCACUGUGGUACCAUAGCUGGACCCUUUAAAAUGAUUUUUUUUAAUUAAAUAAGUGAAAAUUAAACCUACAAUUCAAAAUAGAGGACUGUAGAUGCGUAUAAAUUGAAGAAGGUAAAUUUUGUGUGGGCGUAAAUAUUUUAGUUAACAACAAAAAAUUCUAACAAGUUAAUAUAAGAGUAUCAUAGCAGUACAAGAGAUUUUUUUUUUUUUAAUGUUAAGAGUUAUCGAGAUACCCAAUAUAUAUAUGUGUGUGUGAGAGAGUGGAGGAAGAAAAAAAAUAUUAAGAAUAGUUUUGGCAUUUUGAUGGGUUUUAUAGAGUAAAAUCUAUAUUUUCAAAUAUGAUAAUUCUUUAAUUUAAUUUGGUGUUAUGAAAAAAAAGGGCAUUUUAAAUAUGUUCUAGGUUAUAAAUAACUCCAUCCAAAAUUUAAAAAUGAAAUCUUAGGGGGGGAAAAAUUUCACCCGAACUAAGGCCCAAAGUAGCCGCGGCAUUUUUCACCAAUUCUCCAAUUCCCAAUGUCGUCUAAUUAUUUACAAGGAAUAUGAGUAGGGGUGGGCACGGUUCGGUCCGGUUCGGUUUGGAUCGAAAUUAAGUUGAGCUAAUUUAAAUCAGUUAUUUUAUAAAAAGAACUAAAUAAGAACCAAACUCAAUAAAAACCGAACAUAAAUGGAUCUUUUCGGAUCGGUUCAGUUUUUUCGGUUUUGGGCCUAUUGGGCCUAUUUUGAAUUUCUAAAUUGUUAGCCCAUUAGGACUCAUGAAUGUAAUAAUUUUAUUCAACAAUUAAUUUAUCCUAAUUUCAUUACAAAUAUUAACAAUAAAUACAAAGUAUUCAAAAUACAUUUUAUCACUAAUAUCUUACUAACUACUAAUAAGGUACUUACAAAAUAUGAAAUAUUAAGAUUUCAAAAUACAUAAUCAAACUCCAAUACUCCAUCUACAUAAAUAUAAUGUUGUAAAGACAAAUAAAAAUAACAACAAUUAAAACUUACAACACAAAAUAAAAAGAAAAUUUAGAAACAAACACCAACAACAAUUUUUAAAUAUAUAUAUAUAUACCCGUAAUCGUGUGUGUGCAUGCAUAUUUUAGUUAUCUCACGCAACCGAUUAAAAUUUAACACGUGUCUAUUUAAAUAAAAUUCCAAGAAUAACUCGGUUUUUUGGUUCAGCUGAGUGAACCGAAUACCGAACCUGUAUUUCGGUUUCUUUACAAACCAUAUAUUUCAGUUAUUUUUUAAAAUUAAAAUCAGUCCGAACAGAACGGAACGGUUCAGAUCGAUUUUCUCUAGUGCACAGUUUUUUUGCCCACCCCUAAAUAUGAGAUUCUCUACCACUCCAAUUUAUCCCAUUGUUAGCAAUCCUAUUAGCUGUUUUAUAUCCUAUUUUUAUUAUGCUCCCCAAACAAAUAUGUUUCACGUAAAGGUGCCCAACGGGCUGCACCGUCCGUCUGAAUGAGCGCACGAGAGGCUCCACAUGACACGGCAAUCUUUUUCUUUUUAAUGAGGGCGUGUCUGAUAUGCUCUUUCAAGUCUACAUACCUAACGUUCUUUUUUUAAGUGCAUAUAUAUUUUUUUAAAGCUCAUGUGAAAUUCAGUAGUAAGAGAAUGCAAUACUAGUUAAUAAGUUAGAGCCUACAAAAUAAUAAUAAUAAUAACAAAAUUUUCUUUAAGGGUUAACAUUUUAUUGUUAACUUGAAUUUACAUACUGUUAUAGAUUAUAGUCCAUAAUAAUAUUAAUAUUUACAAGUUUCAAAUUAAAAUUUAAUAAUUAACAUUUCAUUAACACAACUAUAUUAUCUAAUUUUGCAAUAACCAAUUAUAAUACAACAAUACAUAAUUCUAAUUUCAUAGACCAUGGUAAUAAAAUCUCUACAUUAAUGAAAAAAUUUAUUUUGAUAUAUGUCGGUCUGCUUGCUAUUGAUGGCCGAUGGUCGUAUGCUAGCCUGCUAAUGAAGCAUGUUUAUUAUUGGUUUUUUCAUGUGUCUUGUUUUACCACAUCUCUAAUGAAAUUGUACUCUUAAAAUCCACAACCUAACCUAGCCUCUGUGUUUGUCCUGUCGUGCCAUACUAUACAAACACGUAUCCGGUACUAUCCCACGUACCGGUCGGCCCUUUGCCAUCUCUAGUUUCACCCCUAAAUGAAAUCUAAACGGCUAUUGGCAAGUAAGAAAACUUGUUAUUCUUUAUUUUGAAAAUAAAGGGAAUUGCUUAGUUUGAUAUUGUUUUUGGUAAGUCAUUUUUUGUUUUGAAACAUUUUUCUGAGAUGUUGUUGUAUUUGGUGAAAAAUAAAUUAUUUUAUUUUAUACUUUUAAUGAAGAAAAGUAGAGAAAAACUUUCUUAUAAGUGCACCCGUGCCACUUUUUUCUUGUUUUAUUUGUAUGAUAAUUAUCAUGGACCCACGUAACUUUCUUUUGCAUUUAAAAUUUCAUAAUAAAUUAAAUUAGACAAAAGAAAUGAGUCCCACAAAUAAUUUAUUUUAUAAUUUUUUAAAUAAUACUAUUUUAAAAUAAAUUAUCAAAACAAAUUUCAUAUUCACUAAAAUUAAUCAUAUUCAUAUUAUAAAAUAAAUUUAAAAAUAAUAUCUGAAAAGUAAUGCUAAAUACACUCUUAAAUUUUAUGUACGGUAUUAGAAUUGAUGAACAAUCUGACAAAGAUGCUGCGACUUAAGUAGAGAUGACAAUUAAAGCUGGAUUUGGAAAAAUUCGUGUCUGCAAAUUAAAAAAUGUGGAUUCGGAUAUGGAAAUUUGGAAUUCACAUGGAUCAUAUUUUAUUUGUAGAUUUAUGAGAUUAUUGUAUGUUAUUCAUGUUGAAUUAUUAAUUGUUGAAUUAUGAUUGAAUUUUAUUUGAUAUUAUUAGGUAAAUUAUUGAAUUUUAUUUAAAAUUAAAAAUUAAAUUAAAAAUAUAUAUUAAAAAUUAAAUAAAAAAAAAUUAUAUUUUAUUUGUAGAUUUAUGAGAUUAUUGUAUGUUAUUCACGGCCAAGGCGGAUGUACGGUACAGCAGAAGUUGAAUUAUGAUUGAAUUUUAUUUGAUAUUAUUAGGUAAAUUAUUGAACUUUUAAAUUAUAUAUUAAAUUAUUUAAUUUUAAUUUUUACGGAUUUGGAUAUCCAAAAUAUCCUCCAAUAUCCGUUGCGGAUAUUACCCGCUUCUGGAUCCACAUCUUUUUAUAUGAAUUCAGAUAUAGAAAUAUGAAUGCGAAUCCGAAUCUGGAUUUUACCAACCUUGAACCUAAGCAUGAAUGGGCCUAAAGUUUCUACAACAAACAUGGAUCAUUCAAUGACACGACAUGUUUUACAGCUCUCAUUAGUAUAAUUAAAUAAUUAAUUCCUCUCUAUAUUCAACUUACUCCGUCUCAAAUUGCAUGCACAUACGAAAAUACACUUCUGAAUCGUUCACUUGAGGAAAAUUCCAAAUUCUCCACGUAGAAUUUAGAUUCAAACCAUAGCAAAUUAGACAUAAUUCUAAUUUAUAUGGCAAAUAUAAUUAGCGAAGACACUCUUUAUAUAAACAUUAUUGUCAAACCUAAUAAGAUUCAAGGUCUUAACAUACUUCAUAUGAAAUUUGAUCUUGGCGCGUACCAACACGAAUAACAUCAAGACUCUACUUCAUAUAAUGUUAACUUCAUGGAUUUUCCGCUCUCUUGUGGGUCUAUCGUUUGUUUGCAAACUUUUCCAUUUUAAAUUGACAAUUAUAGGCGCUCUCUUGUGGUACAUAAAAUAAACGUUUAUUUUUAGAAUAUUAUUAUUUAUCUCAAUUUUUGAUUUAAUAGUUAAUCUUAAUCAAUUCUUAAACUGCCAUAAUCAAUUAAUUUUUUACAUUAUGGCAUCUUAAAUAAAUUUAGGAUAUGUAAUAAAUAAAAACUGGUAACGUUUGUUCUUUUAAAGCAUAAAAUAACCGUAACAUUGGUUUUUACAUUUUGAAUUUUUCUUGCAUCACUAUUUAGAUUAGAAAAAUGAUGUUAAAUCAACUCACAAAAUAUAUCAAGCCAUCUAAAAUCCAAAUAUUAUUACAUUUGUAUUUGCAUUGUUAAAUUGUUGGAACGACGGCAAAGCAAUUGAAAAGAUAUUAACAAAAAAGUAAAGAUUGGCCAAGGAUUAUUCAUGUUUAGGAAAUGCCUUAACUUUUGAUAUAAUCAUUGUUAUAAUUAUAUUGUAGAAAUAAUCAAUUACCUAAUGUUUGAGGUGGUAAAUAUUAUUAACUUGUUUUACUAUACCCGUGUUUAUGUUGGUCUCCUUUUUGUCCAUUUCUGUACAACGAAAUAUUUGCAUGUUUUGAUAGAAAUUGGUUUAAAUGACAUUUAAAAUAGUAUAUCCCCAGACAAUUAACGAAAUAUUUGGAUGGUAGGAUGAAGUAAUAAAUAGUUUUACAAAUUACCAUAUUAGAGGUAAAAAAAAAAUCGAGAGGUUACUUGACAAUUAUGACAUUACUAACUACAAAUUUAACACAAAAAGUUUAAUUAACUUUUCAUUUUGAGAUGACAAAAUCUCUGCUGUUGAAAACAAUGAGGUUUGAGGUUCAAGCUUGAAUAUCAAGUUACAAUUAGUAGAUAGUCUUAGGACAUAUCAAAGAUUUCUUUAAAGACAAAAUAAUAAUUACAAGCAAUAGGAAAUUAUGGUAUUCAGAACAUGUAACCUUCGCACAUGAAGCUUGAGUCCAGCAAAAGAUGCAGCUAGCCAAUCCUUCAACUUCCAAAACCCCACAAAAUCUGUCAACAUAUCUGCUCUACUUCAAUAUUAAGCACAUUCAUAGCGGCAUCAACAGCUUACAGCGCCAAAAUAUUUUCCCCAAAAAGAGUGAGAGAUUUCACAGAAGCUAAGUUGUGACUUGUGACUGCCCAAAUGUUCUAUAACACGAUAUGAUUAUUCUAGUAACACAAAUCCAAUAGCAUGCAACAUAAUCUACUCUCUAACAUUGUGCAUUAGUAAAAUAAAACAGAGUAAAAAGAGAAACCAUGCCUGUGAAUCUCUUCUUUUCCCCCUGCCACCCCUUUUUUUGGUGAAGUCCAUCAAAUGAAAAUGCAGCAUGACCACGUUGGCCACUGCCACUGCCAUUGCUUCUUCAACUGUGCCUUUUGUUGCAGGAAAUAUUCAAGUGAAAGAUGGUUUAUAUAAUUCAAGAUUCCAAUAGACCUGAGCUGCAAAGGUUGCCUUCCACUAGCCUAUCAGAGAAUAUGCUUUCUAUUUUCCUAGUUUUUUAAUCAAAAUUUGCAAGAUUUAUUUAUGGAAUACUUGAACAAAAUUUUAUGUAAGAUACCAUAAAGCCAAAUGCAAUCUUUUUAAUUCUCAGCAGCAACAUUUAAAGUGAAAAAUGGAAGCCAUAUAAACAUAACUAUGUUUGCUACGAGGAACAAUUAUUUCAAGCUUUCAGAAAUGCUAGAAAGAAAUUGUAAAGAGAACUUUACCUAGUCACAGAAUAUGUCAAACAUACUACCACCAACUGUCUUUAGCACGAUUGUUAUGGAAGUAGCUUUUGAAUCGGAAGAUUCCAGCUUCCACCGGGCACCAUUUUUUUCAUUCUUGAUACAAUCUGCAUCACUGGCAUUAGUUAUAUCAUCAACAUUUGCAUCCUCACUCUCAUCAUCCCAAUCAAGGCUUCUUCUCCAGCUCUGGAUUAUAAGUCCACUCCGACAUCUUCAAACAUCUCGGUCCUUCCAUUUGCCAACAACCGAUAUGGCUUCCUUCCUUGCCUUUCCCAUUAAUAUAUCACUCGAAGGAAAAAAAGCAUCAGCAAUUCUCUUCAACGCCUCAUCGUUUAUAACCCCCCAAAAAAAGGGUCUUCAGACACCUCAACUUUGCCUUCUGCAAAAUCUCCACAAAAUCUGAAUUAUCCAACACAAAAGCCAGACACUCAAUCCUUCUUUUGUCCAUCAUAUCCACCGUAUGAUUCCUCAACAAAAUAUCUACAGCUUGUGGCUUAUCUAACACUGUCUUGAUCCAAAACCCCGCUCUUUUCAACUCAUCUGCCAAACCAUAACCCACUUUUGGAGUCAAAAUUGUCCUUGCAGCCCUUUUAUAUUUUUCCAUCUCCAUCGAAUACUUGCCACUCAAAUGGAAUUACCAGACAGGAAUCCCAGUAACAAGUCCACUCAACUUCUUCUCAUCUGAUCCCUCUUUCACUCUGGCGGAAACAUUAAUAACCAUUCACCAGCCACAAAUUACCCAAGUAAGUACUCGUGUCGUCAACACUUACCCUUCACUUCAUCUACGCAAACAAGAAUUCAAAUUGCUUACUAGCUAGUGCUCGAGCGAAAGCCAGAAUAAUUUAAAUAUGUGUGUGUGUGUGUUAAAAGAGAAACGGUAGCGAAGUUAUUAUACAAUAAAGCAAACCAAAAUAAAUUCUACACUCAUGUGGCGCUCAAAGCCAUGAAUUUGAUAUCAUCCAUGAGGGGAGUUCAAACAACAGCAUGUAAGAAGCAACAAGUGUUGAGAAAAACAAAGUGACAAAAACAAAGCUAAUCACAAUGAAUGAUAAGGUUUAGAGUAAACAUAAAGUUAUAAUCUUGAACAUAAGUGGCGCUCAAAGCCAUGAAUUUGAUAUCAUCCAUGAGGGGAGUUCAAACAACAGCAUGUAAGAAGCAACAAGUGUUGAGAAAAACAAAGUGACAAAAACAAAGCUAAUCACAAUGAAUGAUAAGGUUUAGAGUAAACAUAAAGUUAUAAUCUUGAACAUAAGUGGCGCUCAAAGCCAUGAAUUUGAUAUCAUCCAUGAGGGGAGUUCAAACAACAGCAUGUAAGAAGCAACAAGUGUUGAGAAAAACAAAGUGACAAAAACAAAGCUAAUCACAAUGAAUGAUAAGGUUUAGAGUAAACAUAAAGUUAUAAUCUUGAACAUAAGUGGCGCUCAAAGCCAUGAAUUUGAUAUCAUCCAUGAGGGGAGUUCAAACAACAGCAUGUAAGAAGCAACAAGUGUUGAGAAAAACAAAGUGACAAAAACAAAGCUAAUCACAAUGAAUGAUAAGGUUUAGAGUAAACAUAAAGUUAUAAUCUUGAACAUAAGUGGCGCUCAAAGCCAUGAAUUUGAUAUCAUCCAUGAGGGGAGUUCAAACAACAGCAUGUAAUUAAGAAGCAACAAGUGUUGAGAAAAAAAAAAAAUUCAUUCUAACACAGCAGAAUAAAUUGUAAAGAAAUCCCAGUUUGUAUAAAAGAAAGAAAACAAAAUUAAGGAAAACAUAAGCACAACAAAAUUUGACUGAUUAUUAAAAAUGAGAAAUGAGUUAUAAUGAGAAUUUUAGCUUUGUUGUGAAAUAAAUUGGGAAGUAUCCAAAGUACGCAUGUAAAUAAUAUAAAUGAUAAGAAGACGAAGGGAACAAAAUGAUAAUAAGCAAGCCAAAUAUUAAAAUGCAGAUUCUACGCUUCCGCCACCCCCCCUGAUGGGUGUCGAAGCCAACAAAAAUAAAUUCCUACUCUAAAUAAAUUGUGUAUAGUGAUUGAGCAGGGUCGUGUCCACAGAGAUCGGUAAUUAUUUAAAUCCUUUUGAAACGUAAAACGUAAAAUGGGGGAAUUGUUGACAAUAAUAAAAAUCAAAUUGAAAUAAACAAGAAUGCAAAUUAAAGUUGUAAUUCAAAUUGGAGAAAGCUCUGGUUGAAGGAAUUAACUCAGCUUGAUUCGACUACUGAUCAUUGAUUCAAAUAUAGAUUAUUAUUAAUGCAUUCCUCUUGCCAAAAUCGCCUUGUCUUUCCCUCGAGCAACUUUUCCAGCAAAUUAUUUGCUAGCGGAUCUUGUUGGAGGCCUUCCUUGAUGCGUGAGACAAGGUCGGACUUCGGUUGGCUCAUGCUAAGUGUUGCCAAUUCCGCCUUGCGGCUUAGAGCGUCCGUAACGACAUUGGCUUUCCCUGGUUUGUACUCGAGCCGAUAGUCGAAUUCCGCUAGAAAAUCCUGCCACCUUGCUUGCUUCGGACUCAACUUCUUUUGUGUUUGAAAGUAGCUCGUUGCUACGUUGUCCGUCAUAAUCGUGAAGUGAGAGCCUAGCAAGUAAUGUCGCCACACUCUUAGACAAUGGAUGAUGGCUGUCAUCUCCUUCUCUUGCACCGUGUAGCGGCGUUCCGUAUCAUUUAGCUUUCGACUCUCGAAUGCUAUAAGGUGGCCUUUUUGCAUGAGGACUCCCCCUAUGGCGAAAUCCGAGGCAUCCGUUUGGACUUCGAAGGGCUUUGUGUGGUCCGGAAAGGCGAGGACUGGUUCCUCCGAAAUUGCCUUCUUCAACUCCUCGAAUGCGCGUUGGCAUCCUUCGGACCAAUGCCACGUUCUGUUUUUCUUGAGCAUAUCCAUCAAGGGUGCCGCCUUGGCCGAAUAGCCCUUGUUGAAGCGGCGGUAGUAGUUCACCAACCCAAGGAAUGAGCGAAGCUCGGGCACUUUUGAGGGAGGUUCCCAUUCGAGGAUGGCCUUUACUUUGGCGUUCUCCAUCAUGAUCUUCCAGCCCGCAAUCUUGUGGCCAAGGAACUCUGGUCCGUAAUGAUGUAGUCCAUAUCUUUGUCGAACGCGGUGACAACGGCGGUUGGCGCGGGCCUUGAUUCUCCGCGACUUGGGUCUCCCAUGUCUUCGUGAUAUGGCUUGAGAAGACUCACAUGGAAGACCGGAUGGAUCUUGAGUUUUGGCGGAAGUUGAAGUUGAUACGAGACGUUGCCCACACGUCGAACAACUCGGAAGGGUCCCUCGUAGCGCCUCACUAACCCCUUGUGGACUUUCCGCAACGUCUUGAAUUGUUGGGGUAGGAGCUUGAUCAUGACUUGAUCACCUUCCGUGUACUCAACACGCCGUCUCCUUGUAUCCGCCCAUUUCUUCAUUUUCCUUGCGGCUUUGUCGAGGUAGGCUCGCGUGAUGUCUGUUUCCUCAUGCCACUCGCGGGUGAGCUUGUGUGCCGCGGGGCUUUUCCCUCCGUAAGUCGAGGCUAUGGCAUUGGGGGUCAUGGGCUGGAAUCCCAUGAUGAUCUCGAAUGGACUCUUGCCCGUAGCCUCGCUUCGCUGCAAGUUAUAAGAAAAUUGGGCAUCUCGAUUGCUCACAAUGCUCUUUAGAACUCCCCAAAGCUUUACGAUGUGCUUGAUGAAUAGGCGGGCUGCCUCGUCCGCUUUGCAAUCGACUGGUGCGGCGAUGAAUGUGGCGUACUUGCUGUAUCGGUCGACAACGACCAUGAUGCUACCGCAACCUUCGGACUUGGGCAGCGAUGUGAUGAAGUCCAUGGAGACACUUUCCCAUAGCCUUGUUGCUAGUGGUAGCGGCUCCAACAAUCCCGCUGAAAGUUGAUGAUCCACUUUGUCUUGUUGGCAAACAAGACAAGUUCGCACAUAUGCCUCGAUGUCGUCUCUCAUGUGUGGCAAAAAAUGCGAGGCUUGAACUAGUGCGGUGGUGCGCUCGAUUCCUGGGUGACUAGCCCACUUGGAGUCGUGGCACUCCUUGAUUACUUCCUUCCGUAAGUUUCCCAACCUUGGCACGAACAACCGAUCUCCCUUGGUGAGGAGGAUGCAUUCCUCUUGCCAAAAUCGCCUUGUCUUUCCCUCGAGCAACUUUUCCAGCAAAUUAUUUGCUAGCGGAUCUUGUUGGAGGCCUUCCUUGAUGCGUGAGACAAGGUCGGACUUCGGUUGGCUCAUGCUAAGUGUUGCCAAUUCCGCCUUGCGGCUUAGAGCGUCCGUAACGACAUUGGCUUUCCCUGGUUUGUACUCGAGCCGAUAGUCGAAUUCCGCUAGAAAAUCCUGCCACCUUGCUUGCUUCGGACUCAACUUCUUUUGUGUUUGAAAGUAGCUCGUUGCUACGUUGUCCGUCAUAAUCGUGAAGUGAGAGCCUAGCAAGUAAUGUCGCCACACUCUUAGACAAUGGAUGAUGGCUGUCAUCUCCUUUUCUUGCACCGUGUAACGGCGUUCCGUGUCAUUUAGCUUUCGACUCUCGAACGCUAUUGGGUGGCCUUCUUGCAUAAGGACUGCGAGGCUUGAACUAGUGCGGUGGUGCGCUCGAUUCCUGGGUGACUAGCCCACUUGGAGUCGUGGCACUCCUUGAUUACUUCCUUCCGUAAGUUUCCCAACCUUGGCACGAACAACCGAUCUCCCUUGGUGAGGAGGAUGCAUUCCUCUUGCCAAAAUCGCCUUGUCUUUCCCUCGAGCAACUUUUCCAGCAAAUUAUUUGCUAGCGGAUCUUGUUGGAGGCCUUCCUUGAUGCGUGAGACAAGGUCGGACUUCGGUUGGCUCAUGCUAAGUGUUGCCAAUUCCGCCUUGCGGCUUAGAGCGUCCGUAACGACAUUGGCUUUCCCUGGUUUGUACUCGAGCCGAUAGUCGAAUUCCGCUAGAAAAUCCUGCCACCUUGCUUGCUUCGGACUCAACUUCUUUUGUGUUUGAAAGUAGCUCGUUGCUACGUUGUCCGUCAUAAUCGUGAAGUGAGAGCCUAGCAAGUAAUGUCGCCACACUCUUAGACAAUGGAUGAUGGCUGUCAUCUCCUUCUCUUGCACCGUGUAGCGGCGUUCCGUAUCAUUUAGCUUUCGACUCUCGAAUGCUAUAAGGUGGCCUUUUUGCAUGAGGACUCCCCCUAUGGCGAAAUCCGAGGCAUCCGUUUGGACUUCGAAGGGCUUUGUGUGGUCCGGAAAGGCGAGGACUGGUUCCUCCGAAAUUGCCUUCUUCAACUCCUCGAAUGCGCGUUGGCAUCCUUCGGACCAAUGCCACGUUCUGUUUUUCUUGAGCAUAUCCAUCAAGGGUGCCGCCUUGGCCGAAUAGCCCUUGUUGAAGCGGCGGUAGUAGUUCACCAACCCAAGGAAUGAGCGAAGCUCGGGCACUUUUGAGGGAGGUUCCCAUUCGAGGAUGGCCUUUACUUUGGCGUUCUCCAUCAUGAUCUUCCAGCCCGCAAUCUUGUGGCCAAGGAACUCCACUUGUUGUUGGGCAAACGAGCACUUCUCCAACUUGAGGAAGAGCUCAUUGUCUCGGAGCACUUGGAGGACUUGUCGCAAGUGUUGGGCAUGAUCCUCGAGCGUGGUGCUAUACACCACGAUGUCAUCCAAGUACACGACCACGAAGCGGUCGAGGAAUGGUUGGAGCACCUUGUUCAUGAGCGUGUAAAAUGUGGCGGGUGCAUUAGUAAGGCCAAAAGGCAUCACAAGGAAUUCGAAAGACCCGUACCUUGUUGUGCACGAUGUCUUCGGUUCGUCUCCCUUGACGAUGCGCACUUGGUAGUACCGGGAGCGCAAGUCGAGUUUGGUGAAGUACCGCGUUUUGCCAAGCUGGUCGAACAAGUCCGCGAUCAAGGGAAUCAGAUACUUGUUCUUGAUGAUGAUAUUGUUGAGCGCUCUAUAGUCGAUGCACAUCCGCAGCGAUCAAUCCUUUUUCUUUUGGAAGAGCACGGGUGCACCGAAUGGGGCCUUUGAGGGGCGAAUGUAGCCUGCAUCCAGCAAGUCUUUGAGUUGUCUCCGCAACUCUUCUAAUUCGGGUGGUGCCAUGUGGUAAGGCGCCAAGGCUGGUGGCUUCGCACCUUGUUCCAGCUCGAUCGCAUGAUCUACCUCUCGUCUAGGUGGGAGCUUCUUCGGAAGUUCUGGAGGCAUCACGUCCUUGUACUCGUUGAGGACUUUUUGUAUUUGCGGAGGGACUUGGCUUGGCUUGUUUCCGCAAUCUCCUUCCUCGUUUAGUUCCCGAAUGGAGACCAAGAAGCUUGGGUCCUUCUUGAAAGCCCUUUUGAAUUGCAUGGCGGAGAGUGUCUUCUCCUCGGACUUGCCUCGUUCCAUGGGAACCAUGCAUGCCUUGCUCCCAUCGAGGAUGCCUAGGGAGUUUGUAGCGGGCAGCGGGAAGGCAUGGACUUGAUCGAAGAAUUCCAUGCCGAGGACCAUGUUGAAGUCAUCCAUGGGCACAAUGGAGAAGUCAAGCUUUCCGCUCCACCUACCAAGUGUAAUGUGCACGCCUUGUGCGAUUCCCGCAAUUGGCUUGGCGGGUGAGUUCACAGCCUUCAUCGUGCCUCCCGUGUUUAGCAGUGCGUGAAUAGACUGGCCAUUUAUUUUCGCGCUUACAUACAUGAGCCCUUUCUUGACAAGUGUGGGCUGUUGGCGAUUGAGUGGGCCGAGGCGUUAGAGAGAACCCAUGCUGAGUUGGGGUUCCUCCGUGGACAUUGUGGGGUUGCUAUUGAGUUGGGCAGCAAGAGCAUUAAGCGACCUCUUCUCCGGACAGUCGCGUACCCAAUGAGGACCGUUGCAUAUGAAGCACGGGCUUCGUGGCUUUGGCGCCUCCUUUUUGCCCUCCGAUUUUCCUUACUCGCUCUUGUUACUAGGCGGCUUUUUCUGCCCCCAAUCUUUGCGGUUGUUGCCCUUGUCCUUGCGACUAUCUCCCCCACCUUUGCCUUUGUUGGCCUUUUUGUCCUUGGAUUGGGUAGAGUAUUCGGUGAGCGACUCCGCAAUGGCGAUGGCAUCGUCAAGUGUUUGAACACCACGCCUAUCAAGCUCGGUCUUGGCCCAAUCCUUGAGGCCAUCUUGGAAGUAGAAGAGCGAAUCCUUGUCGGACAUAUCGCUUAUCUCCAACAUAAGGGUAGUGAACUCAUUGAUGUAGUCCCGAAUGCUACCCGAUUGCUUGAGGCGACAUAAGCGCGCUCGCGCUUCCUUCUCCGCAUUGCUUGGGGCGAACUGCUUUCGGAGUUCUUGCUUGAAGUCAGCCUAAGUGUCGAUGGUGCAAAUGCCCUUGCCCAUCUCGCCAUGCUUGUGACGCCACCAUAGUUGUGCAGUACCUCUAAGAUAGGUGGGUGCAGUGCCCACUUUCGAUGCCUCAUCUCGAACACCCAUGGCAUCGAAGUAUUGAUCAAGCCUGAAUAGGAAGUUGUCCACGAUUGUGGCGUUGCGUGUGCCAUCGUAGGUGUCGGGCUUUGGCACAUCAAUGCGGCGCGCAUCACUCGAGUUUGCGGAAGCUGGACUUGUGGAGAGUGUGCGCUUGUGCCAUGCCCAAUCUAAGCGGACUUCAUCCACUUCCGCACGGACAGCGCGUAGUUCGUCCUGAACAAAACUACGAAGUUUGAGUAACUCAUCAUGGAAGGAACGAAACUCACCUCGGAGAGUGUUUGCUUGCUCUUGGAUGAGAGCUUUGGUUGCCACCGUGAACUCGGCGUAUUCCCCUUCGAAACCGUCCACUCUUUCCUCCAAUCCCUCGAGGCUAUCUUGAGUGGUGGACUAAGCGGACUUCAUCCACUUCCGCACGGACAGCGCGUAGUUCGUCCUGAACAAAACUACGAAGUUUGAGUAACUCAUCAUGGAAGGAACGAAACUCACCUCGGAGAGUGUUUGCUUGCUCUUGGAUGAGAGCUUUGGUUGCCACCGUGAACUCGGCGUAUUCCCCUUCGAAACCGUCCACUCUUUCCUCCAAUCCCUCGAGGCUAUCUUGAGUGGUGGACAAAGUUAUUUCGAGAGUAGUCACACGAGGCUCCAACACAUCCACAGAUGGGGCCUUGGACUUGCCACGAGUCUUGCCUUGGGCGCGUUCUCCCUCUCGGCCGCGGCUUGGUUCCGGUGGAACAUCCACACCAACAACACCCUCUUGUGCUACGUUCGAAGGGUUGGCCAUUGCUCGUGAGCUAACUUGCGUGUGUGCAAACCUUAGCUCUGAUACCACUUGUUACGGGAUGAGUAUUUUACGCAGCUAACCCGUGCGGCACUUAGACAGUUUUGCCGAAUGUUGCUAAGUAAGCCUAGAGCUUCUCGAACUAGAGAAGAGAGCAAUUGAGCCGAAUAAGAGAAAUUGUAUUGCACAAAUAGAGAUUACAAUGCUUGAGUUGCUUACAAUGCUUGUUGUAGUGUUUGUUGGAUGCAAAUGCCUAAUGCCAUCCCAUAUUUAUAGGGGAGGCUUGCCAAGCUCUAGAGAUUCUAGAGAAUUCUACCACUUCCUAGCUAUUUACAUGUACUGGAAUUGUAAGGAGAAUUCUAAAGUAUUUACAAGCUCAUGUGCUAGAGUUGCCUAGAAUGUUCCGGAAUUGGGCCAAGCUAGCACUCUUGGCCUUGUGUUGGCUCUCUAGCCCGAAAUUAUGGGCAAUUGGGCUAGCGAAUUGGGCGGACCGUAUGAUAAAGUUUGUUGCACGUGUGAGUUGGUUAAGUCUGCUAGAAAUGCAAACGUGUAAAGCUUAGUUAGUUAAGGUUGUUACGAAUGCUUAGAUUCAGUUCACGUGUAUUGUAUGUAAUGCUUAGAUUCAGCUCAUGUAGAUUGUGAAUACAACUUUCUAAUAUUCUUUAGAUCUCAAUAUAAAUACUUGUAAUCAACAAAUACAAUAAUAAGAGUCAUCAUUCUUCAUUUUCUCUCUGUUUCUCUCAUAUUUUCUCUGCAUCCAAACACAAUAUUCUCAAUUCUUGACUUGGUAUCAGAGUUGCAGUUUAAUUGUCAUGGCUUCCUUAAGCACAAAUUCAAACACAAAUCAGUCUCCUUCAUUCUUUACCCUCACAAAUGCGAUCAAACUGGACAGAUCUAACUAUAUGAUCUGGAAAUUUCAGAUCCUCUCUUCAGUGCAUGCCAAUGGACUUGAAGGCUUUCUUAAUGGAACUAAAAUUUGUCCAGAUCAGUUACUUACUCAAGAGAUUGAAAGUUAUGGUGUUGAAAAUGCUGUUGGUGAAAGCUCAGUUGAUAGAUCUCAAGAGAAUCCAGCCUUUGUUGCUUGGAAAAGGUAGGAUCAAUUGUUAUUAAGUUGGCUCAUGUCCUCCAUCAGUGUUGAGAUACUUAGUCUUGUGGUAAAUUUUGAUUCUUCUUAUAAACUUUGGACUAAUCUUGAAGAAAAUUUUUGGAUUAGAAACUAUGGCUAAGAAAGCACACUUAAAAAUUAUGUUAAGCAAUCUCAGAAAUGGAUCAAUGCAAUAACUGAGUAUUUUGCCAAACUUAGAGCUGUAACUAAUAAACUUGCUCUAAUUGGUAGCCCUGUUUCUACUCUAGACUUUAUUACUCAUCUAAUCUCUAAUCUAGAUAUGGAGCGAAAAAUAUAGAUCCAUGACGGAUCUGAAACAGAUACAGAUUUUAAUUUUUAUUACGGAUUUGGAUCUGGAGCAAUGUAGAUCCAAUCCAUAUCUGCUCCAUUGCCAUCCCUACUGUGAGAUAUAGCAUUCUUCAAUUAAUCACAUCAUACUUGUUGGAUGAGUUUCGAAUAACCCAAAAACGACACGUACAUUACUUCAUUGCAUUGGUAGCAGUUUGGUGCUUUGGGUUUGAAAAUGGACCAAGCUCGUGCAAUUACAAUUCUUUUAUGCCAAUAGGAAAACUAGACCCUAUUUUUACUUAAAUGUACACAAAAUAGGAAAACUAGGUCCUAUGGUUUAUUUAAAUGUACACAGACAUCUCUCAAUUUUUUUUAAAAAUUGUUACAUAAUUUUUUUCUUUUACUAUCACAAUCUUUACCUAUGGCAACCAAAAAAAAAAUGAUUUUAUCAUAAUCGUCCCAUGCAACACCUCUCUCAUGAUCACGCAUGUAAUGUACCUCAUCAAACCAAGCCACUUCACGCGUAAUCUCCGAACCUUAUAGUUUAUACUGCAUACUACGCCAGAUUUCAGUAGUCAUCACCUGAAAUUAAACUUCAUAUAAGCAAUCCACAAAUCAAAGCGCUGCAACACCCAAAAGAUGACACUACCAAGUUGACCUACCAAACAAGAAGCAUUAGGGUCAAUUGUGACAUCCCCAGUCAUCAAACCGACAUCUGAAAACUCUUCUUUAAACUCCCUGUACUUCUGAUUGCUGAGUGCCUUAAUCGGUGAAGUAUAUAUCACACGUUGCUUAUUCCGCAACGACAUAGCAAUAGCAUACAAUGCUACCACAGUCUUCCCAGCAGAUGUAUGGGCCGAUACCUGUCAAAUAAAUGAAAGGCAAACCCGAUUUUUUUAAUAAAAAAAAAGAGAAAAAAAACUAUUUUUAUUUUUCACACAAGAUAACACUUAAUGCAAAAAUUAUUAUCUGUGAGCUGAAAAGAAGAGCGCUUUGUACGAAAGCACUUCCAAAUUCAAAUUACAUCUUUUACAAAAAAUUAGAGCUUUAUACGUAUGUGUGUGCGCGCGGGCGCGUGUCCGUGUAUAUAAUAAUAAUAAUAAAAAACGAACCAUAACGGACUCGCCGUUGUCGAGGCACUUGAUAGCUUCGGACUGGAAUGGGUCGAGAGUGAAAGGGAAUUCCUUAGCAGGUUUGGCGUCAGCUUCAGCGGCAGCUGCUCCAGUUGAAGAAGAAGAAGGCACGUAACCGGGGGGAAACGACACGUCGUGUAGACAAGCAACUGGCUCAUCGUCGUUAACAAUCAUUGUCCCGUUGCCGUUCGAAUUCUGCAUUGGUUGAGGAGUCUCGUACGAGUCUUCCAUUAUUGACUUUCUCUUCAACGAUGCCAUGCUUCUUCUUAUUAUCUGGCUGUUUGCUAACAAUAGUAAAUACUGAAAAUAAGAAACCCUAGGGACAAAGAGGUAAUUUUCUGAUUGAAAGAGAAGCGGACCUCUCUUCCUCUUCUUGCUACCACAGACGGUGGUUGUUUAGGCGGCUACUAACGAGCGCUGAAGAGACGACAAUCAUAAAAUUUCACGGCUUUUAUACUCCCAUUAAAACGGGGCGUUUUUAUGAGUCAUGAGGUGGGAUCGGAACCAAGACGCACUAAACAUAAAACGCGGCGUUUCAUGGACUAGUACAUCAGUGAGCUGAAAAGCAGUAAUGCAAAAAUUAAUGCAAAAAUUAAUUUUUAUUUUUGUACAUGGACUAGUACAUCAGACGCACUAGAUAAAAAUUAAUUUUUAUUUUUGUACAUGCAAAAAUUAAUGCAAAAAUUAAUGCAAAAAUAAAAACUAUUUUUAUUUUUCACACAAGAUAACACUUAAUGCAAAAAUUAUCAUCAGUGAGCUGAAAAGCAGAGCGCUUUGUACGAAAGCACUUCCAAAUUCGAAUUAAAUUUUUUACAAAAAAUUACAGCUUUAUAUAUAUGUGUGUGCGCGUGCGUAUAAUAAUAAUAAUAAUAAUUACCGAACCGUAACGGACUCGCCGUUGUCGAGGCACUUGAUAGCUUCGGACUGGAAUGGGUCGAGAGUGAAAGGGAAUUCCUUAGCAGGUUUAAACAUAAAACGCGGCGUUUUCAUGGACUAGUACAUUCCAUGCUUCGAAAGUUUAUGUUUUAAACUGAUUGGUUUGAUACAUUAUUUGUUUAUUGCGUUUUUCUUGCUUUAAAUAUUAUGUUGGAUUGAUAAGUUUUGUACACAUUUAUAUUGCUCGCAGUAAAUAAUUUAUUACAUUUAAAAAACUAUCAACCGUCUAUCAAAAGAUUUCUACCAUAAAUAUAUAUACACAAAAAAACUUUUAAUUUGGUCAAUUUGUUCUCUUAUUUAUUUUUGUUCUAUUUCUCUUUUCCUUUCAUUUCAUUUUAUUGUUUUAUGGUACAAAAAAAAAUAACCUUAAAAUUUAAGGGUAAAAUACUCAUUUUACUAAAUUCCGUUUAAUAUCAUAAUGCUGUCAAUGGACAAUGGCAAAGUACACGGGGAAAUUUAUAGUAAUAAUCAUUAAAGUUUUGAUUUUUUUCAUCUUAACCCCCCAAAAAUAUUUCUAUCAAUAUUAGCCAUAAAACAACCUUUGAGACCAAAAUACCCUUCUCCCUCAUCUCUCCCCCAACACUCCCUUUCACUCAUCUCUCCCAAACCGAUCCAACUCCCAUCAUCGGUGGCAACAUCAACCCUCGUCAGCGGCGGCUCCAUCUCUCACCGGCAUCCGAUCUACGAUCUACAACCUUCAACAAAACCUAGGUUAGUCAUUUUUCUUAUUUUCAUUAAUUUAAAAUGAAAUUUUAGAAUAAUAAUGGUUAUAGUUUGAGAAUAAUGUUGAUGGUGGUGGUGUUUGUGGUGGUUGGUGGUGUUUGAGAGUAUUGUUUUUCGAUUUUGGAGUGUUGUGGAUUAAUUUUGGGGGUGGGGAGGGAGGGGGGUAGGGCGCGCGCGCGCGCCCAUCGCUGGAUAGCAGCGCGAGCCCAUGCGCGCCCCGCUGUCGCACCAAAUCUGGUGCGACAGGCCCUGUCGCCAGAUUCACCUCUCGACUCAGUUCAGCAAGUUCAGAAAAUAACUCAUACCACUAAGUGAUGCCGAUUAGUGUUGAUCCAGAUAGAUUAUGAUCGGAUUUCACUUUUAUCGUUGUCUUUUGCUGUCGCCGUUGGCUGAUGAUUCAAGAGUGGCAAGCUGCGUUUGGUUUGACGAUAUGGGUGAAACAAUGUUGCUUUUGGUCUGUAAAGAAGGGUAAUUUGGGGAGAAAAGCUUGUGUUUGGCUAAUGUUGAUAGAAAAAAGUUGAGAGGGUUAAUUAUGAAAAAUAUUUAUAGUUACUUUCGUAAAUUUCCCAAGUACACGAGUGAUACAAAUUAAAAACAAAUAAAUUGAAAGUUUUUAUGUAUUUUCCUUUUAUUUUUUUAUAGCCGAUUGAGAUUUCCCUUCGUAUUCUUAAAUUCAAUACGUUUAGACCGUUUAAAAAAUUUUAAAUUAAAAAAAAACCCGUGGUGUAAUAACAAACUCACAUCAAACCCUGUCCACUGUCAUCCCUAAUAAUAUUUACCACUUCAUACUCAAGAGUGAUAAUAACUGUGUAUCACAAUUGAUUUUGCAUACGGGUAAAAGUUCCAAGUCCGGAUAUUUAGUUAAUGAAAUUGAUGAAAAGGGCAUGAAAGAAAAUAAGAAAUUAAAUAAUACAGGUGGCAUUAAUCAUUACAUAUUUAGUUAAUGAAAAUUGAUGAAAAUAUUUCUGCAGACAUGAGCCGUAAUUAUAAUACCGUUAAGAAUGAAGCAGAAAAGGUUCCCCAAACAAGCUAAAACACGGCACCUGAAUUUAAAGAAUUUUUAUGUCACAGUAUCGGGACAAAAAGUUUAAUGCAACAACAUACAUUAAGUUAAUUCCAUAAUCUAUCACCAAAGAAAGACAAACACAAGCUUAUAAGAUUAGAACUUUGGAAAACAUUGAAGAGUCGGACAAAAUUGUGUAACCUUCAGAGUUUAGAGCCUAGUUCAUCCAGGAAAGCAAAAGAAAAAUAAUAACAAUAAUAAUGGUGGUUUGAUCUCAAAAGGUGGCAUCAAAGUGGUAACUUUGAGGUAUUGGAAGCAAUAACGUCUUCAACUUUGUCCUGAUUUCGAAGUCCCUUAACCCAUCCGCCAUCAAUGGAUUGAAUGCUUCCAUUCAACCAUCAUCCACAAACUCACCAACCCGUUUCACCUUCAUCUCCUCCGGCUUAACAGGGUACUUCCCAGAGAAGCAAGCAUAACAAAAAUUCUGAGAAUCAUCGCCUAACAUCUUGUUCAAGCUGUCAAUCAGCAGAAAAGCAAGCGAAUCACACCCAAUAAACUCCCUGAUUUCCUCAACGCUCAUCCUGUUGGAAAUCAACUCCUCACUACUUGGAGUGUCUACUCCGUAGUAACAAGAAGCUAUGAUUGGUGGGCUUGCAAUUCUCAUGUGAACCUCUUUAGCUCCAGCCUCCUUAAGCAACCUAACAAUUUUCGAUGAAGUUGUUCCUCUCACUAUCGAAUCAUCCACAACCACAACUCUCUUUCCCUCCAACACUCCCGUUACAGGAGAGAGCUUAAGCUUGACACCAAAGUCCCUAAUCUUCUGGGAAGGCUCAAUGAAAGUUCUCCCAACAUAGUGUGACCUUAUCAACCCUUGUUGAAAUGGCACCCCGGCUUUCGCAGCGUACCCAAGUGCAGCCACCACUCCAGAAUCUGGUACUGCAAUCACAACAUCACACUCAACAGGAGCCUGGGUAGCAAGUACUUCCCCAAAAUGAUACCUCGACUCAUAAACAGACCUUCCAAAAACAACAGAAUUAGGCAAAGCAAAAUAAAUAUGCUCAAAGAUGAACUGCUUAGGUUCAGGGUGAGGCAUCAAACAAAGUGAUUGAACCCCAUCUUUAUCCACCAUCAAAACUUCACCGGGAUAUACCUCUCUCUCGUAUGUGGCCUCAAUCAAAUAGUGCACAAGUCUCUGACGCAAAAACCACAGCACCAUUACUCCUCCUACCCAUCACCAACGGCCUAAACC